RNAcentral lists this long non-coding RNA (107541 nucleotides) under Triticum aestivum (bread wheat). Its description in RNAcentral is "long non-coding RNA (TAES_LNC019705)". The stretch from base 20443 to 20787 matches the Rfam family "Bacterial large subunit ribosomal RNA", at positions 1309 to 2039 of the family's 2925-position model. The record is from RNAcentral. Lineage: Eukaryota; Viridiplantae; Streptophyta; Magnoliopsida; Poales; Poaceae.
UAUGUGAUAUGUUUUUCCCUCCGUUGUCGGGUUUUGUCUUUCGUUUUGUAUUUUGUCAUGUUAUGCAUUUUCAUAUCAUGUCAUCAUGUGCAUUGCAUUCGCAUACGUGUUCGUCUCAUGCAUCCGAGCUUUUCCCCCGUUGUCCGUUUUGCAAUCCGGCGCUCCUAUCUCCUCCGGUGCACCCCUCUUGUUUUCUUUCGUGUGCGUGUGUCAAACUUUCUCGAAAUGGACCGAGGCUUGUCAAGUGGUCUUAAUAUAUCACCCGGAGACUACCGGUCAAGUUUCGUUCCAUUCGGAGGUCGUUUGGUACUCCAACAGUUAACCGGGUAUCCGCAAAGUCCAUUUGAGUGUCCAGCAAAAAACCCCUCCAAAACCAGCCCAAAACCCACCAAACUCUCUUCCAUGCUCUAGGUCGUUCGAUCACGAUCGUGUGGGCGAAAACCGCACCUCAUUUGGAGUCUCCUAACUCCCUCUACCUAUAAAUAUGUGGGCAUCCCGAAUUACAACCGCAGACAAACCCUAGCUCCUCCCUCCGCGCCGCGCCGGACGUGUCCGCCCGCGCAGGACAACGUCCGCCGCCGUGCCCCGUCCAAUCCCGUAGCGACACGUGUCGGCGCCGGCCUCUCCACCGCGCCGGCCCGCGAAGCCCGCCGCGGGCCCGNNNNNNNNNNNNNNNNNNNNNNNNNNNNNNNNNNNNNNNNNNNNNNNNNNNNNNNNNNNNNNNNNNNNNNNNNNNNNNNNNNNNNNNNNNNNNNNNNNNNNNNNNNNNNNNNNNNNNNNNNNNNNNNNNNNNNNNNNNNNNNNNNNNNNNNNNNNNNNNNNNNNNNNNNNNNNNNNNNNNNNNNNNNNNNNNNNNNNNNNNNNNNNNNNNNNNNNNNNNNNNNNNNNNNNNNNNNNNNNNNNNNNNNNNNNNNNNNNNNNNNNNNNNNNNNNNNNNNNNNNNNNNNNNNNNNNNNNNNNNNNNNNNNNNNNNNNNNNNNNNNNNNNNNNNNNNNNNNNNNNNNNNNNNNNNNNNNNNNNNNNNNNNNNNNNNNNNNNNNNNNCCUGCCUCCCGUGCCCGCGCCGGCGCCCGCCGCCCCCGCCGGCGACCCCCACCUCCGGCUUCCACUCCCUCCGCCGGCGACCGCCGCUCCCUCUCCCUCCUUCCUCGCUGGCAACGACGAGCCCCAGCUCCUGUAGCUCGUGCGAUCCAGAUCUGGUAACCCCCCCGUUGACUUCUCCUCGCCCGUUUUUUUCUCUAAGUGUUGAAAUUCUACAGCAUAUGCACUUGUUCCCGAUGCGAUAACUUCGUGCAUGUAGCUCCGAUUCGCGCGUGUAAUAUGUCAAAUUGUUCGUCUCGUGAUGCUCUUCAUUUUGUCCAAUUGCACCAUGUUCAUUAGAGGUCUAUUGACACUGGUGAUGCUGAUUUAAAUGAGUUGCGUUUAGAUGAUGAACAUUGAGAUGCAAAUUUGGAGGAAAAUUAUAUAGGGCAACUUAAAAAUGUUUUCUCUAAAGGGAAUAAAUUUAAGAGAGAGUGAUCUCCAACAAAAGGAUGUGUGAGACACUCUAUCUCUAUUGGGGGGCUUAAUAAAACUAUAAGGAAAAGAUCUUAAUUGACUUAUGUAGUGCUUGUGAAGAUUAAAGGUUUUUUUUGGAAAAUGAGAGGGUUGGGCAUGAUUUCAGACAGAUAUAUAUGUGAGAGAGUUAAUUAUUGAUCGUAGACUUGACUUUGUUGGUAUGUUUGGGACUAUCAAAAAGACAUUCACUAGAAAUUAGCUACACUCUUUGUGUGUGGGGGGGGUGUUAAUUGGCACUGGACUCCCCCUAGAGGUAAAUAUUGGGGGUCCUUGUAGGAGUUAACAUAGAGUUGUUUGAAGUAAUCCAUGUGGAAAACGGAAAUUACUUUAUUAGAACUUUGGUGUAUGAUAAGAUUGCUAAAUUUAACUGGAACCUUAUCACUAUAUAUGGGGAUGCUCAAGUGGAAAGAAUAGUUGGGUUUAUAGCUGAAUUAGCUAGGGUAUAUCAUGAUAACCCCUUGCCUUCCUUGGUAGGUGGUGACUGUAAUAUUAUCACGAAGAGCUGUGAAAAAGAACAAACCAAAUACUCCUAGCCAUUGGAGCUUUGUUUUCAAUGCCAUUAUUGAACAUGCUGGAGUUAGAAAGAUGCCUCUAAAUGAGAAGAAUUUCACUUGGGCUAAUGAUCUAGUUGAUCUUACAUAUGAAAAGUCAGAUGGAGUAUUGUUUUGUCCUGAUUGUGAUGAGCAUUACCAUUGUCAAUGCUACAUGCUUUUACCAGGGAGGUCUCUGAAGGAAAUAUGCCCUAGAGGCAAUAAUAAAGUUAUUUAUUUAUUUCCUUAUAUCAUGAUAAUGUUUAUUAUUCAUGCUAGAAUUGUAUUAACCGGAAACAUGAUACAUGUGUGAAUACAUAGACAAAUAGAGUGUCACUAGUAUGCCUCUACUUGACUAGCUCGUUGAUCAAAUAUGGUUAUGUUUCCUAGCCAUAGACAAAGAGUUGUCAUUUGAUUAACGGGAUCACAUCAUUAGGAGAAUGAUGUGAUUGACUUGACCCAUUCAGUUAGCUUAGCACUUGAUCGUUUAGUAUGUUGCUAUUGCUUUCUUCGUGACUUAUACAUGUUCCUAUGACUAUGAGAUUAUGCAACUCCCGUUUACCGGAGGAACACUUUGUGUGCUACCAAACGUCACAACGUAACUGGGUGAUUAUAAAGGUGCUCUACAGGUGUCUCCGAAGGUACUUGUUGGGUUGGCGUAUUUCGAGAUUAGGAUUUGUCACUCCGAUUGUCGGAGAGGUAUCUCUGGGCCCACUCGGUAAUGCACAUCACUAUAAGCCUUGCAAGCAUUGCAACUAAUGAGUUAGUCGCGGGAUGAUGUAUUACGGAACGAGUAAAGAGACUUGCCGGUAACGAGAUUGAACUAGGUAUUGAGAUACCGACGAUCUAAUCUCGGGCAAGUAACAUACCGAUGACAAAGGGAACAACGUAUGUUGUUAUGCGGUCUGACUGAUAAAGAUCUUCGUAGAAUAUGUAGGAGCCAAUAUGGGCAUCCAGGUCCCGCUAUUGGUUAUUGAUCAGAGAGGUGUCUCGGUCAUGUCUACAUAGUUCUCGAACCCGUAGGUCCUAAAAGUUUUGUCGGGGUGUCAAUUUAGUCCUAAUUCUUCCAAAAUGCACAUUUAGGUCCUAAUUCUUUAGUAAGUAGUUCAACCAAUGUCCUUUUUUCACGAGCACUCGCUGACCUGCCCGCUUGGCCCGUUGACCCACGCCACGUCGACUGAGGCCCAACCGCCAGGCGAGAAAAAUAUACUGGAGGUCCUAAAAGUUUCUAGGCAGUGUCACUUUAGUCCUACUUCUUUCAAAAUGCACGUUUAGAUCCUAAUUCUAUAGUAAGUGGUUCACCAAAGGUCGUUUUUUGCAUGAUCGUUCGCUGACCUGCUUGCUUGACGCGUUGACCCAUGCCAUGUCAACUUAGAGGCCGCUGCGGUUGCUCUUUUUUUACAUAAAGCCCCUUGUGAACCCCCCUCCUGACAUUUCCCAUCCCUCUCUCUCUCUCUCUCUCUAAUGCACUCACCGUCACCAUGGCUGGGGCAGCAAGGUCCUUGCCAGGGAAGCGGGUGACGAAGAGGAGCGUUGCAGCAUCGUCGGCGGCAAGGCCUCCUCCACAAGCUUCUACCGCCCAACUUCAAAUCAAAGCAAGAGGUUUGAGAAACUUAAAGAAGAGGUUUGAGAAACUUAAAGAAACAUUGCAAAGAAGUAAAUCAAUGCCUACAACCAGUAAUUGUGGCUGAGUAGAGGAAAUCACAUAGCUACAGGAUGAUAUCAACAAAAAAAUUAGUUUUUUUUUUUGCAAUGUUCCUCAUCUGCUAGUGACCCUAAGUCGACGUGUCGUGGGUCUACGCACAACCAAGCAGGUCAGCGAACGAUCAUGCAAAAAAGGACCUUCGGUGAACCACUUACUAUAGAAUUAGGACCUAAACGUGCAUUUUGAAAGAAGUAGGACUAAAAUGACACUAUCUAGAAACUUUUAGGACCUCCAAUAUAUUUUUUUUGCCAGGCGGUUUGGCACUCUGUUGACGUGGCAUGGGUCAACGUGCCACGCGGGCAGGUCAGCGAGCGCUCGUGAAAAAAGGACUUCAGGUGAACCACUUACUAAAGAAUUAGGACCUAAAGGUGCAUUCUGAAAGAAUUAGGACUAAAGUGACACCCCGAUGAAACUUUUAGGACCUCCAGUGCAUUUAACUCUUAGCUAAACAGACUUGGCGAUUAAUUGAAACUCCGGAUAGUUUGUGUGCUCGCCUGCUUCGGGCAAAAUAUUAUCCGAAUGGAAAUCUUCUCGACACGGUAUUUUCAGGUAAUUCUUUGGCUGUUUGGAAUGGUAUUGAAUAUGGCCUUCAACUAGUGAAAAAGGAUUUUAUUUGGAGAAUCGGUAACGGCUGUAUGGUGCGUACAUCGCGUGAUCUUUGGAUCCCAAGAGGUAAUGAUCUUAGACCGAUUACUCCGAAAAGGAAUUGUCGCUUUAAUCAUGUUUCAGACUUACUGUUCAACCAUGGUGGAUGGAACAUGGAGCGUCUCCAACAACAUUUUUGGGAUGUAGAUGUGCAGCAAAUUCUGAGAAUACGUACAUCUCCGAGAGGCCGGGAAGAUUUUAUUGCCUGGUUUCCAGAAAAGUCUGGAAAAUUUACUGUUAAGAGCGCCUACAAACUCGCUACUAGAGAACAUGACGAUUCAUUUGCAGGAGGGACUUCAAGUAUGUGUCGAGAGGGAGAUCGAUCCAUAUGGAAUUAUGUUUGGCGGGCUAAAGUUCCUCUUAAAAUGCGUAUUACAGCUUGGAAGGCCGCGUCAGGUGCUCUUGCCACUGAUCAAAACAAGUUAUACCGACAUAUUGGCACUACUGAUUGUUGCAGGGUGUGCGGCCGGGAGAGGAAAGGUUCUUACCAUGCCCUAGUUGCAUGCCCUCAAGCACGACUUGUGUGGCAGAGGAUGCGAGAGUUAUGGCCAUUGCCAACUGAUGAUGUGUUACUAGAUAAUGGUAAAGAGUGGCAUUGCAUGUGCUUGCUGCAUGUGAUAAUAAGGUACACGAUAUGGUCAUUCUACUUAUAUGAAGAAUUUGGCAACUUCGCGAUGAUGUUGUGCAUGGCAAGGAAGUGCCACCGGUUGAUGUUACUAUGAAAUUUCUGGAUAGCUAUUAUAAGUCUCUGGAUCUAGCCAGGAAUUAUAGCAUGGAAGAAAUUGUAAAAGGGAAGAUGUGGGAAAGUAGGAGGUUAUUCUUAUUAGUAUUCAGCAGGCCACGGCUCCUGUUCCUUGGCCACCACCUCCAGCAAAUUGGGUUGCGCUGUCUAUUGAUGGAUCUUUCUCAGCUCACGAUGGCAAGACAGGUGCUGGUAUGAUCUUACGUCGUGAUGAUGGCUCUAUUAUCUUUGCUGCUUACCGUGUUAUAUUUAAUUACAAUGAAGCGCUCGAGGCGGAGAUACAUGCAAUAAUGCAAGGGAUGGCCCUUGCUUUACAACAUACUGAUUUACCAGUUAAGGUGCAAUCUGAUUCCUGUAAUGCACUUUCGAUACUCUCUGGUGAUAGUAUGUCCCAAUCGGCCUAUGGUCAUCUAGUAGCAGAGAUUAAAUUUUGUAUGGAUGAGAGGGAGUUUGUUCCACAAAAGAUUAGUAGGUCUCAAAAUAGGGUAGCAGAUUGUAUGGCAAAUUAUAGCCGUACUGAGUCUUGUACUGCGGUAUGGAUGAGCAGAUGUCCUCCAUGUUGUGAGGACUUAUUGCCUCUCGACUGUAACCCUGUGACUUUGGAAUAAAAUUUUCGUAUUAUUCGCAAAAAAAUACUCCCUCCAUUCCAAAAUAUAGUGCGCCCGCGCUUCCUGGGGUCCAACUUUGACUAUAAAUUUAACCAACGAGACCGACUGCGGUGAGAGAAAAAAUUAUAUAAUUGAGAACUUCCUUUGAAUACGAAUUCAGUGGUAUAACUUUUGCUCCCGCCGCAAUCGGUCUAGUUGAUUAAAUUUAUGAUCAAAGUUGAAGCACGGAAAUAAAGGAAGCACUAUAUUUUGAAACGGGGGGAGUAUGUGAUUAACGUAAGUAGCACACAACAAUACAAACUCACACUACUUGCUAGCAGCAAAAAUUCUUUGAGCCAGAUUAAUACCCAUCAGGGACUCACUCUGGAGCACAUCCAACAGUUUGCGUCUCUUUAGGAGAUGUUAAGCUCCAUUUAACUAAACCCAGAUGUCCCGGACAAGAUUACCUGGAAGUUCAUCUCCGAUGGUGUUUACCCCGCGCCUCGGCCUACAAAGCUCAAUUUGAGGGACACACAGUCUCGCAUAUAUAUGCAUCCGUUUGGAGUUUGGGCACCCCAAAAUGUAAGCUUUCUGUGUGGCUUGUGAUUCAAACCCAUGUUUGGACUGCAGAUAGGCUUGAGCGCCGAGGAUGGCCCAACUGCAGCCUUUGCCCUCGACACAUCUCCUUAGACUACCCAUAGUGGGAGUAACAUAGGUAGUAACAUCACAUAUAUCUAGUUUAAAUAGAUGAUGUGACAUGCAAUAAAUGAAGAAAGAGAUGAAAGUGGUAACAUAGCUAGUUACUACUAGUAUGAGUAACAUCACACAUAUCAAGACAAGAUGUGUCUAUAGCUUAAUAAAUGAAGUGCUCCAUGUUACCACACAUAUGUUACUGCCCACUAUAGAUGUAGUAACAUAGACUAGUAACAUUACUAGUCUAUGUUACUACCCAUUAUGGCUAGUCUUAUGCCAUUACCGCUUCUCGAUGCGAGUGCGGUGUGACAUUGUGGCUUGGCACGCAAAUAAAAAACAUCCCCUGGAUAAGCCUCACGGCCUGGAGGUCUUCUUAAUAGAAGGGACAUUUGGCGAUAAGCUUGUGCCUGUUUGGAGAGAUCAUCAUAAAUUAUUAAAGUAUGCCGUUCGUGGUACAUAAAAUACGAGAAAUUGGAUUGUACAUCUUUCAUCUUUUUGAUUUUGAUAUCGAUUUUGAUACAUAUAAGGUGUCCUACGAAUAAUGCAAAUCGAAGCUAUUUGAUGUCUGACUCAGAGUUUUUCUUUACGGAAAGAUAAUGAGAUGGCUCUCUGUGCUCUGAUUGAUUUUUUGUAUUAUGAUCUAUCUAGGAGCAAUACCAAAGUGUUUCAAAGGAGGAUUACCUUGACUUAGGUCUGCCUCCGGUCUAAAUUAAAUCAACCUAAGAUCCAUUUUGCAAGUUCGUUAUUACGGGUAGUUCCUACAAAGAAUCGGACUAAUGACGUAUACAAUGCUUGAAUUAUCGAUGUAGAUGCUACAUAGUGGCCCUCCGAUUACUAUUACUAUAGAGAUGAACCCAAUCCAGAAUAUGAACCAUAAAAGAAAACACCUACUAAACCAAUCACAUCAGUAUUUAGUUAGGUAUUUGCAUUCAAAAUAAGAAAAGAGAACUAUUAAGAACUUGUAAAAUAAGGAUUAGGAAUUAAUUUGGGUUGCGCUAUAUCUAUCAAAGACAUUCUCUAGAAAAGGUACUGUCAAUAAGCCUGUUGACACAGAAACCAUUAAAAGAACGCCCAAUAACUUAUUGGGUACCGUACGGAGUAUUUCAUGUUGCUAUUCCCGCAUCCAGGGGGGAGUACGUUCGAUGGAAUAAUUUCUUAGAUGUAUUACCCUAUCCCCAGGGGUUGGGACCCCUUUUGACGGGUCAAUGGAAUCUGUCAAUUUUAUUUCUCAUGAAAAUAGCAAGUUAACUCAAAGAAUUUAUCACACAAAUAGUCAAUUUGUUAGAACUUGCUUAGUAGUGAAUUGGGAACAAGAAGAAAAAGAAAAGGCUGGUGCUUCCCUUGUUGAGGUAAGAGCAAAUGAUCUUAUUCGCGAUUUCCUAAGAAUUGAGUUAGUCAAGUCCACUAUUUCGUAUACACGAAAAAGGUAUGGUAGGACAAGUGCAGGACCGAUUCCCCAUAAUAGGUUAGAUCGCGCCAAUAUCAAUUCUUUUUAUUCCAAGGCGAAGACUGAAUCACUUAGCCAACAUCCAGAAGCUAUUGGCACUUUGUUGAAUCGAAAUAAAGAAUGCCACUCUUUGAUGAUUUUGUCGGCAUCCAACUGUUCUCGAAUUGGUUUAUUCAAGAAUUCAAAACAUCCCAAUGCGAUAAAAGAAUGGAAUCCUAGAAUUCCUAUUCGAGAAAUUUUUGGUUAUCUACAUCUAUCCCAAUAAGCUGUCUAUCGAAUCGUUGCAAUUGAUGUUCGAUCUUGAAGAGAAGGAAGAGAUCUUCAAAAAGUAGGUUUUUAUGAUCCGAUAAAGAAUCAAACUUGUUUAAACGUUCCAGCUAUUCUCUAUUUCCUUGAAAAGGUAUUUCAUUUCUUUUUUAUUUAUACCUUCUUUAUCUUUAGUUUUAUCUAGUUAAUCAAUAGUAUCUACCGGCAAAAAAGAGGACGUUUGAAACUUUUAACAGGCGUAAUCGUGAGUCAGCAAGUGACUCGAACUGUGUGUAAAAAAAGAAGACUCCCGCUCUCAACCCAUGAACAAUAUGAGUCCGAAGCUUCUUUCGUAACUCCCAUAAUUUCUUCGUAGAGGCUCCGUUCCAUGCCUCAUUUCAUAGGGAAGCCCAAAGUGGCUCUAUUUCACUUCCUCUUUUAUCUGGUGAAUAUCCAACAAGAGGUUCCAUUGAAUGAAUAACGGAUCCGGAUCCCAAGAACAAUAAAGCUUUUGAAUAAGCAUGAGUUAUCAAAUGGAAUAAAGCAGCUUGAUAAGAACAUAUACCUAGAGCUAACAUCAUAUAACCCAAUUGAGACAUUGUAGUUCAUUUAUGAAUUUCAUAGUAAUAGAAAUCCAUGUCCUACCGAGACAGAAUUUAGAACUUGCUAUCCUCUUGCCUAAAGAAAAGGAGGUUCAUGGCCAAGGGAAAAGAUGUUAGAAUUAGAGUUAUUUUGGAAUGCAUCAGUUGUGUUUGAAAAGGUGCCAAUGAGGAAUCGACGGGGAAAAGCCGGUGGUUUCUUGGUCACGACCAGCUAAAACGAAAGUUCCAUUAAAGAGCGUUUCCACGUGGUAGAACCUCCUCAGGGAAUAUAAGAUUUUCAUGAGGCUGAUCCUGAGAUGCCAUCCACGCACGAAUACCCUCGUUUAAAAGAAUAUUUUUGGUGUAGAAAGUCUCAAAUUCAGGAUCUUCCGCUGCACGGAUUUCCUGGGAAACAAAGUCAUAGGCACGUAAAGUGACUACGAAUUCCCCUUUUUAUUUGCGAAUCCCUGUUUGUAUCCAGUAAAUGGAAAUUUCAUUGAUAAGACUGAAGGAAAUAUGCCCUAGAGGCAAUAAUAAAGUUAUUAUUUAUUUCCUUAUUUCCUGAUAAAUGUUUAUUAUUCAUGCUAGAAUUGUAUUAACCGGAAACAUAAUACCUGUGUGAAUACAUAGACAAACAGAGUGUCACUAGUAUGCCUCUACUUGACUAGCUCGUUGAUCAAAGAUGGUUAUGUUUCCUAGCCAUAGACACGAGUUGUCAUUUGAUUAACGGGAUCACAUUAUUAGGAGAAUGAUGUGAUUGACUUGACCCAUUCCGUUAGCUUAGCACUUGAUCGUUUAGUAUAUUGCUAUUGCUUUCUUCAUGACUUAUACAUGUUCCUAUGACUAUGAGAUUAUGCAACUCCCGUUUACCGGAGGAACACUUUGUGUGCUACCAAACGUCACAACGUAACUGGGUGAUUAUAAAGGUGCUCUACAGGUGUCUCCGAAGGUACUUGUUGGGUUGGCGUAUUUCGAGAUUAGGAUUUGUCACUCCGAUUGUCGGAGAGGUAUCUCUGGGCCCUCUCGGUAAUGCACAUCACUUAAGCCUUGCAAGCAUUGCAACUAAAGAGUUUGUUGCAAGAUGAUGUAUUUCGGAACGAGUAAAGAGACUUGCCGGUAACGAGAUUGAACUAGGUAUUGAGAUACCGACGAUCGAAUCUCGGGCAAGUAACAUACCGAUGACAAAGGGAACAACGUAUGUUGUUAUGCGGUCUGACCGAUAAAGAUCUUCAUAGAAUAUGUGGGAGCCAAUAUGAGCAUCCAGGAUCCGCUAUUGGUUAUUGACCGGAGACGUGUCUCGGUCAUGUCUACAUAGUUCUCGAACCCGUAGGGUCCGCACGCUUAACGUUACGAUGACAGUUAUAUUAUGAGUUUAUAUGUUUUGAUGUACCGAAGGUUGUUCGGAGUCCCGGAUGUGAUCACGGACAUGACGAGGAGUCUCGAAAUGGUCGAGACAUAAAGAUUGAUAUAUUGGACGACUAUAUUCGGACACCGGAAAUGUUCCGGGUGAUUUCGGAGAAAACCGGAGUGCCGGAGGGUUACCGGAACCCCCCGGGAGAAGUAAUGGGCCUUAUGGGCCUUAGUGGAGAGAGAGAGGGGCAGCUAGGAGGGGCCGCGCGCCCCCUCCCCCUCUGGUCCGAAUUGGACUAGGAGAGGGGGGGCGGCGCCCCCCUUUCCUUCUCCCUCUCCCCCUUCCUUUCCCCCUCCUAGUAGGAGUAGGAAAGAGGGGGGUCCUACUCCUACUAGGAGGAGGCGGACUCCUCCUGGCGCGCCAACAAGGGCCGGCCGGCCUCCCCCUUGCUCCUUUAUAUACGGGGCAGGGGGGCACCCCAUAGACACAACAAUUGAUCUAUUGAUCUCUUAGCCGUGUGCGGUGCCCCCCCCACCAUAUUACACCUCGAUAAUAUCGUAGCGGUGCUUAGGCGAAGCCCUGCGUCGGUAGAACAUCAUCAUCGUCACCACGCCGUCGUGCUGACGAAACUCUCCCUCAACACUCGGCUGGAUCGGAGUUCGAGGGACGUCAUCGAGCUGAACGUGUGCUGAACUCGGAGGUGCCGUACGUUCGGUACUUGAUCGGUCGGAUCGUGAAGACCUACGACUACAUCAACCGCGUUGUGUUAACGCUUCCGCUUUCGGUCUAUGAGGGUACGUAGACAACACUCUCCCCUCUCGUUGCUAUGCAUCACCAUGAUCUUGCGUGUUCGUAGGAAAAUUUUGAAAUUACUACGUUCCCCAACAGUGGCAUCCGAGCCUGGUUUUAUGCGUUGAUGUUAUGCACGAGUAGAACACAAGUGAGUUGUGGGCGAUAUAAGUCAUACUGCUUACCAGCAUGUCAUACUUUGGUGCGACGGUAUUGUGAGAUGAAGCGGCCCGGACCGACAUUACGCGUACGCUUACGCGAGACUGGUUUCACCGUUGCGAGCACUCGUUGCUUAAAGGUGACCGGCGGGUGUCUGUCUCUCUCACUUUAGUUGAACCGAGUGUGGCUACGCCCGGCCCUUGCGAAGGUUAAAACAGCACCAACUUGACAAACUAUCGUUGUGGUUUUGAUGCGUAGGUAAGAACGGUUCUUGCUAAGCCCGUAGCAGCCACGUAAAACUUGCAACAACAAAGUAGAGGACGUCUAACUUGUUUUUGCAGGGCAUGUUGUGAUGUGAUAUGGUCAAGACAUGAUACUGAAUUUUAUUGUAUGAGAUGAUCAUGUUUUGUAACCGAGUUAUCGGCAACUGGCAGGAGCCAUAUGGUUGUCGCUUUAUUGUAUGCAAUGCAAUCGCCAUGUAAUUGUUUUACUUUAUCACUAAGCGGUAGCGAUAGUCGUAGAAGCAAUAGUUGGCGAGACGACAACGAUGCUUCGAUGGAGAUCAAGGUGUCACGCCGAUGACGAUGGUGAUCAUGACGGUGCUUCGGAGAUGGAGAUCACAAGCACAAGAUGAUGAUGGCCAUAUCAUAUCACUUAUAUUGAUUGCAUGUGAUGUUUAUCUUUUAUGCAUCUUAUCUUGCUUUGAUUGACGGUAGCAUUAUAAGAUGAUCCUUCACUAAAUUAUCAAAGUAUAAGUGUUCUCCCUGAGUAUGCACCGUUGCGAAAGUUCUUCAUGCUGAGACACCACGUGAUGAUCGGGUGUGAUAGGCUCUACGUUCAAAUACAACGGGUGCAAAACAGUUGCACACGCGGAAUACUCAGGUUAAACUUGACGAGCCUAGCAUAUAACAGAUAUGGCCUCGGAACACGGAGACCGAAAGGUCGAGCGUGAAUCAUAUAGUAGAUAUGAUCAACAUAGUGAUGUUCACCGUUGAAACUACUCCAUCUCACGUGAUGAUCGGACAUGGUUUAGUUGAUAUGGAUCACGUGAUCACUUAGAGGAUUAGAGGGAUGUCUAUCUAAGUGGGAGUUCUUAAGUAAUAUGAUUAAUUGAACUUGAAUUUAUCAUGAACUUAGUACCUGAUAGUAUUUUGCUUGUCUAUGUUAAUUGUCGAUAGAUGGCCCGUGCUGUUGUUCCGUUGAAUUUUAAUGCGUUCCUUGAGAAAGCAAAGUUGAAAGAUGAUGGUAGCAAUUACACGGACUGGGUCCGUAACUUGAGGAUUAUCCUCAUUGCUGCACAGAAGAAUUACGUCCUGGAAGCACCGCUGGGUGCCAGGCCUACUGCAGGAGCAACACCAGAUGUUAUGAACGUCUGGCAGAGCAAAGCUGAUGACUACUCGAUAGUUCAGUGUGCCAUGCUUUACGGCUUAGAACCGGGUCUUCAACGACGUUUUGAACGUCAUGGAGCAUAUGAGAUGUUCCAGGAGUUGAAGUUAAUAUUUCAAGCAAAUGCCCGGAUUGAGAGAUAUGAAGUCUCCAAUAAGUCCUACAUCUGCAAGAUGGAAGAGAAUAGUUCUGUCAGUGAGCAUAUACUCAAAAUGUGUGGGUAUAACAAUCACUUGAUUCAACUGGGAGUUAAUCUUCCGGAUGAUAGCGUCAUUGACAGAAUUCUUCAAUCACUGCCACCAAGCUACAAGAGCUUCGUGAUGAACUAUAAAAUGCAAGGGGUGGAUAAGACGAUUCCCAAGCUCUUCGCAAUGCUAAAGGCUGCGGAGGUAGAAAUCAAAAAGGAGCAUCAAGUGUUGAUGGUCAAUAAGACCACUAGUUUCAAGAAAAAGGGUAAAGGGAAGAAGAAGGGGAACUUCAAGAAGAACAGCAAACAAGUUCCUGCUCAGGAGAAGAAACCCAAGUCUGGACCUAAGCCUGAGACUGAGUGCUUCUACUGCAAGUAGACUGGUCACUGGAAGCGGAACUGCCCCAAGUAUUUGGCGGAUAAGAAGGAUGGCAAGGUGAACAAAGGUAUAUGUGAUAUACAUGUUAUUGAUGUGUACCUUACUAAUGCUCGCAGUAGCACCUGGGUAUUUGAUACUGGUUCUGUUGCUAAUAUUUGCAACUCGAAACAGGGGCUACGGAUUAAGCGAAGAUUGGCUAAGGACGAGGUGACGAUGCGCGUGGGAAAUGGUUCCAAAGUCGAUGUGAUCACGGUCGGCACGCUACCUCUACAUCUACCUUCGGGAUUAGUUUUAGACCUAAAUAAUUGUUAUUUGGUGCCAGCGUUAAGCAUGAACAUUAUAUCUGGAUCUUGUUUGAUGCGAGAUGGUUAUUCAUUUAAAUCAGAGAAUAAUGGUUGUUCUAUUUAUAUGAGUAAUAUCUUUUAUGGUCAUGCACCCUUGAAGAGUGGUCUAUUUUUGUUGAAUCUCGAUAGUAGUGAUACACAUAUUCAUAAUAUUGAAGCCAAAAGAUGCAGAGUUGAUAAUGAUAGUGCAACUUAUUUGUGGCACUGCCGUUUAGGUCAUAUCGGUGUAAAGCGCAUGAAGAAACUCCAUACUGAUGGACUUUUGGAACCACUUGAUUAUGAAUCACUUGGUACUUGCGAACCGUGCCUCAUGGGCAAGAUGACUAAAACACCGUUCUCCGGAACUAUGGAGAGAGCAACAGAUUUGUUGGAAAUCAUACAUACAGAUGUAUGUGGUCCGAUGAAUAUUGAGGCUCGUGGCAGAUAUCGUUAUUUUCUCACCUUUACAGAUGAUUUGAGCAGAUAUGGGUAUAUCUACUUAAUGAAACAUAAGUCUGAAACAUUUGAAAGGUUCAAAGAAUUUCAGAGUGAAGUUGAAAAUCAUCGUAACAAGAAAAUAAAGUUUCUACGAUCAGAUCGUGGAGGAGAAUAUUUGAGUUACGAGUUUGGUCUACAUUUGAAACAAUGCGGAAUAGUUUCGCAACUCACGCUACCCGGAACACCACAACGUAAUGGUGUGUCCGAACGUCGUAAUCCUACUUUACUAGAUAUGGUGCGAUCUAUGAUGUCUCUUACUGAUUUACCGCUAUCGUUUUGGGGUUAUGCUUUAGAGACAGCUGCAUUCACGUUAAAUAGGGCACCAUCAAAAUCCGUUGAGACGAUGCCUUAUGAACUGUGGUUUAGCAAGAAACCAAAGUUGUCGUUUCUUAAAGUUUGGGGCUGCGAUGCUUAUGUGAAAAAACUUCAACCUGAUAAGCUCGAACCCAAAUCGGAGAAAUGUGUCUUCAUAGGAUAUCCAAAGGAGACUAUUGGGUACACCUUCAAUCACAGAUCCGAAGGCAAAACUUUUGUUGCUAAAUUCGGAAAUUUUCUGGAGAAGGAGUUUCUCUCGAAAGAAGUGAAUGGGAGGAAAGUAGAACUUGAUGAGGUAACUGUACCUGCUCCCUUAUUGGAAAGUAGUUUAUCACAGAAACCAGUUGCUGUGACACCAACGCCAAUUAGUGAGGAAGUUAAUGAUGAUGAUCAUGAAACUUCAGAUCAAGUUAUUACUGAACCUUGUAGAUCAACCAGAGUAAGAUCCGCACCAGAGUGGUACGGUAAUCCUGUUCUGGAGGUUAUGUUACUAGACCAUGACGAACCUACGAACUAUGAAGAAGCGAUGGUGAGCCCAGAUUCCGCAAAAUGGCUUGAGGCCAUGAAAUCCGAGAUGGGAUCCAUGUAUGAGAACAAAGUAUGGACUUUGGUUGACUUGCCCGAUGAUCGGCAAGCCAUUGAAAAUAAAUGGAUCUUCAAAAAGAAGACUGACACUGACGGUAAUGUUACUGUCUAUAAAGCUCGACUUGUUGCGAAAGGUUUUCGACAAGUUCAGGGGAUUGACUACGAUGAGACCUUCUCACCCGUAGCGAUGCUUAAGUCUGUCCGAAUCAUGUUAGCAAUUGCCGCAUUUUAUGAUUAUGAAAUUUGGCAAAUGGAUGUCAAAACUGCAUUCCUGAAUGGAUUUCUGGAAGAAGAGUUGUAUAUGAUGCAACCGGAAGGUUUUGUCGAUCCAAAGGAAGCUAACAAAGUGUGCAAGCUCCAGCGAUCCAUUUAUGGAUUGGUGCAAGCCUCUCGGAGUUGGAAUAAACGCUUUGAUAGUGUGAUCAAAGCAUUUGGCUUUAUGCAGACUUUUGGAGAAGCCUGUAUUUACAAGAAAGUGAGUGGGGGCUCUGUAGCAUUUCUGAUAUUAUAUGUGGAUGACAUAUUGCUGAUUGGAAAUGAUAUAGAAUUUCUGGAUAGCAUAAAGGGAUACUUGAAUAAGAUUUUUUCAAUGAAAGACCUCGGUAAAGCUGCGUAUAUAUUGGGCAUCAAGAUUUAUAGAGAUAGAUCAAGACGCUUAAUUGGACUUUCACAAAGCACAUACCUUGACAAAGUUUUGAAAAAGUUCAAAAUGGAUCAAGCAAAGAAAGGGUUCUUGCCUGUGUUACAAGGUGUGAAAUUGAGUAAGACUCAAUGCCCGACCACUGCAGAAGAUAGAGAGAAGAUGAAAGAUGUUCCCUAUGCUUCAGCCAUAGGCUCUAUUAUGUAUGCAAUGCUGUGUACCAGACCUGAUGUAUGCCUUGCUAUAAGUCUAGCAGGAAGGUACCAAAGUAAUCCAGGAGUGGAUCACUGGACAGCGGUCAAGAACAUCCUGAAAUGCCUGAAAAGGACUAAGGAUAUGUUUCUCGUUUAUGGAGGUGACAAAGAGCUCAUCGUAAAUGGUUACGUCGAUGCAAGCUUUGACACUGAUCCGGACGAUUCUAAAUCGCAAACCGGAUACGUGUUUACAUUGAACGGUGGAGCUGUCAGUUGGUGCAGUUCUAAACAAAGCGUCGUGGCGGGAUCUACGUGUGAAGCGGAGUACAUAGCUGCUUCGGAAGCAGCAAAUGAAGGAGUCUGGAUGAAGGAGUUCAUAACCGAUCUAGGUGUCAUACCUAGUGCAUCGGGUCCAAUGAAAAUCUUUUGUGACAAUACUGGUGCAAUUGCCUUAGCAAAGGAAUCCAGAUUUCACAAGAGAACCAAGCACAUCAAAAGACGCUUCAAUUCCAUCCGGGAUUUAGUCCAGGUGGGAGACAUAGAAAUUUGCAAGAUACAUACGGAUCUGAAUGUUGCAAACCCGUUGACUAAGCCUCUUCCACGAGCAAAACAUGAUCACCACCAAGGCUCCAUGGGUGUAAGAAUCAUUACUGUGUAAUCUAGAUUAUUGACUCUAGUGCAAGUGGGAGAUUGAAGGAAAUAUGCCGUAGAGGCAAUAAUAAAGUUAUUAUUUAUUUCCUUAUUUCAUGAUAAAUGUUUAUUAUUCAUGCUAGAAUUGUAUUAACCGGAAACAUAAUACCUGUGUGAAUACAUAGACAAACAGAGUGUCACUAGUAUGCCUCUACUUGACUAGCUCGUUGAUCAAAGAUGGUUAUGUUUCCUAGCCAUAGACAUGAGUUGUCAUUUGAUUAACGGGAUCACAUUAUUAGGAGAAUGAUGUGAUUGACUUGACCCAUUCCGUUAGCUUAGCACUUGAUCGUUUAGUAUAUUGCUAUUGCUUUAUUCAUGACUUAUACAUGUUCCUAUGACUAUGAGAUUAUGCAACUCCCGUUUACCGGACGAGCACUUUGUGCGCUAUCAAACGUCACAACGUAACUGGGUGAUUAUAAAGGUGCUCUACAGGUGUCUCCGAAGGUACUUGUUGGGUUGGCGUAUUUCGAGAUUAGGAUUUGUCACUCCGAUUGUCGGAGAGGUAUCUCUGGGCCCUCUCAGUAAUGCACAUCGCUUAAGCAUUGCAACUAAAGAGUUUGUUGCAAGAUGAUGUAUUACGGAACGAGUAAAGAGACUUGUCGGUAACGAGAUUGAACUAGGUAUUGAGAUACCGACGAUCGAAUCUCGGGCAAGUAACAUACCGAUGACAAAGGGAACAACGUAUGUUGUUAUGCGGUCUGACCGAUAAAGAUCUUCGUAGAAUAUGUGGGAGCCAAUAUGAGCAUCCAGGUUCCGCUAUUGGUUAUUGACCGGAGACGUGUCUCGGUCAUGUCUACAUAGUUCUCGAACCCGUAGGGUCCGCACGCUUAACGUUACGAUGACAGUUAUAUUAUGAGUUUAUAUGUUUUGAUGUACCGAAGGUUGUUCGGAGUCCCGGAUGUGAUCACGGACAUGACGAGGAGUCUCGAAAUGGUCGAGACAUAAAGAUUGAUAUAUUGGACGACUAUAUUCGGACACCGGAAAUGUUCCGGGUGAUUUCGGAGAAAACCGGAGUGCCGGAGGGUUACCGGAACCCCCCCGGGAGAAGUAAUGGGCCUUAUGGGCCUUAGUGGAGAGAGAGAGGGGCAGCUAGGAGGGGCCGCGCGCCCCCUCCCCCUCUGGUCCGAAUUGGACUAGGAGAGGGGGGGCGGCGCCCCCCUUUCCUUCUCCCUCUCCCCCUUCCUUUCCCCCUCCUAGUAGGAGUAGGAAAGAGGGGGGUCCUACUCCUACUAGGAGGAGGCGGACUCCUCCUGGCGCGCCAACAAGGGCCGGCCGGCCUCCCCCUUGCUCCUUUAUAUACGGGGGCAGGGGCACCCCAUAGACACAACAAUUGAUCUAUUGAUCUCUUAGCCGUGUGCGGUGCCCCCCUCGACCAUAUUACACCUCGAUAAUAUCGUAGCGGUGCUUAGGCGAAGCCCUGCGUCGGUAGAACAUCAUCAUCGUCACCACGCCGUCGUGCUGACGAAACUCUCCCUCAACACUCGGCUGGAUCGGAGUUCGAGGGACGUCAUCGAGCUGAACGUGUGCUGAACUCGGAGGUGUCGUACGUUCGGUACUUGAUCGGUCGGAUCGUGAAGACGUACGACUACAUCAACCGCGUUGUGUUAACGCUUCCGCUUUCGGUCUACGAGGGUACGUGGACAACACUCUCCCCUCUCGUUGCUAUGCAUCACCAUGAUCUUGCGUGUUCGUAGGAAAAUUUUGAAAUUACUACGUUCCCCAACAAAGACCUCCUCAAUUGUAGCCAAUAUUUUAUUGCGAAUAAUUCCGACAACCUCAGGAGAAAAAAAGGCAUUUACUUAUUAUAGAGAUGGUGCGGUUUGACUCUUUUUUUGCUUUUUUUAGCCCUACCUAUACCUCAGUCUUACGGGUUGUCUUCCCCAGCAACAGGCUCGAUGUGACAGCAUCGUCCUUUGUAACGAUCAAGACUGGUAAGUCCAUCAGUCCAAACAGUUGUCCAUGUACCAGUAGAAGAUUCGGCAGCUACUGCAGCCCCUGCUUCUUCGGGCGGAACCCCAGGCUGAGGACUUACUCGGAAUGCUGCCAAGAUAUCAGUAUCCUUAGUUUCAUACUCUAGGGUGUAGUAAGUCAAUUUAUAAUCUUUAACACCAGCUUUAAAUCCAACACCUGCUUUAGUUUCUGUUUGUGGUGACAUAAGUCCCUCCCUAUAACUCUUGAAUUAAGAAUUCUCACAAUAACAGGGUCUACUCGAUGUUAAUUAGGCGUAAAUGAAACUUUAGCAAAAAUCUCGUAAAACAAAAAGGAUAUUCAAUUAAUAUAAUAUCAACUCAUUAAAGAAAAUUGAGGGCAUGCUUAGGUUAAUGAAUAUGUUUCAUUCAUAUAUAAUGCGUACACCCUGUGUAUGUUCUAUCCUAUAGGAAUUCCACUAUAGGAAUUCGAUAGGAAUUGAGUUGUUGUUAUGGUAAGNNNNNNNNNNGGGGGGGGGUAGUCCUAUGCAUUGUGCAUGGUUUACUUAAAUAAAACUUAAAAAUAGAGUGAAUAACCAAGAUUUCUCGCCGACACUCUAAUAAAAAAGAAAUCUAUUCAAUGAAUAGGAUAAGAUCCAUUGAGUUCUCUUCGCAUUCCUUUGUGAAAGAGUAGAAUGAGAAAGCUAAUGAAUCUUAAACCCAUCCAAAUGGGAUAAGAGAAUUCUUAUUAGUCUCUUUCUUUAUCUCAAUUGAAGAAGUAGUUGGAAAAUAAAACAGCAAGUACAAAAAUGAGUAAUAAACCCCAGUAUAGACUGGUACGAUUCAGCGGAAGUUGCGGGUUCGAGCCCCGUCAGUCCCGAACUAGGGUUGAAUGAAUGGAGAAAUUGAUAUUUCCUUUUUCCAUGAAAAAAAGGGGCAGGGAGCAAGAUCAAAUACCCACAGGGCACCCUUAUGAGCCUCGUGGAGAAGCAAUCGCUAGUCCAUGGGGCUCAUACUUCAGCGCUGCAGCGCUUGGUACUCGGACCUCGGCUCGAGGCAUUUUCUCUACCCCUUCUUACCCUGAAAAAGCAGGGUCACCUUGUGUCCUUAAACCUAUAACCAUCUUUCGGCUGUGUAUGAAUCACUCACCUAUUCUUCCGAAUUAUAUGUAUCUGCGAGAUUAAUUUUUGGUUUCGAUGUGCAAAAACAAAUGAAAUGAAAAUGAAUUGAUAAAACAUUCCUAAAAAAAUUCUGUCACUUAUACUUUAUGUUAUGAUAUUCUAAUCAGAUUGGAUGGCAAAGAGUAAAGAAGGCAAUGCUUUUUUUUCAUUUUUGAUCUGUAAAUGGAGUUGUUAAUGAAUAUGCUUCAUUCGCUGACUCUAUUCCAUUCCCUGACCUUCUUUCUCCAAUCUUGGAUUAGGGAAGAAGGAGAUAUUCGUGACUACUGGCGAUUUCAUUAUGGGGCAGCUCAUGAUCUUAGGAAUUCUUCUAUAAUUUAAAUGACUCAAUAAAAGCUUUUUUUUAUUCUUUUAGUUACUGAUUAUUAUUUUUGGAUUUCACUCCACCCGUGGUUGGGAACUAGUAAUUCGUUGGGUCUACAACGAUUUUGGAUGGGCUCCUAACGAGCUUAUUUUCACUAUUUUUGUUUGUAGUUUUCCAGUAAUUCUAGAUACAUGUUUGAAAUUUUGGGUCGUGGCAAUUCCACCCAGAAGGUAAUGGGUUACUCCUACAGCGCGUCCUUGUAUAAUGCUCAAGGCUCUAGGCUGAGUAGCAGGAGCAACUUUUAAUUUGUUAUGAGCCCAAACGAUAGAUUCAAUGAGUUCUUGCCAAUAACCACGGCCGCUGGUUUCAUGUUACGCCAAUUUGAAUUUGCUCGGUCUGUUCAAUUGCGGCCUUAUAAUGCAAUCUCAUUAUCUGGUCCAAUUGCUGUUUUUGUAAUCGAUCUUAUUGCAAAACCAAUGUCUUACUUCAUAGAUUCGAGAGAAUAGGAGAACAGUAGCCUGACAAACAGUCGGUUCAGUCCGAUUCAGGUGCCAAUCUGAUAUUAUAGUGCCAGUGUAGAUAGAAAUUCCCUUAUGAUCUAAUUCUGAGCGGUAGUAAAUACCAGGACGUAGCAAUAUUUGAUUGAUCACAAUUCGGUGUCUUCCCCAGCAACAGGCUCGAUGUGAUAGCAUCGUCCUUUGUAACGAUCAAGACCGGUAAUUCCAUCAGUCCAAACAGUUGUCCAUGUACCAGUAGAAGAUUCGGCAGCUACUGCAGCCCCUGCUUCUUCGGGCAGAGGGAAUUUCCGGUGGAGCGGUGAAAUGCAUGGAGAUCGGAAAGAACACCAACGGCGAAGACUUAAAGAUAUUUUGGAGGCUCACAAGGGCCCAUUUACAGGACAAGGCGACCUUCAACAAAAGGGUACCUGUACCCGAAACCGACACAGGAGGGUAGGUAGAGAAUACCUAGGGGCGCGAGACAACUCUCUCUAAGGAACUCGGCAAAAUAGCCCCGUAACUUCGGGAGAAGGGGUGCCCCCUCACAAAAGGGGGCCGCAGUGACCAGGCCCGGGCGACUGUUUACCAAAAACACAGGUCUCCGCAAAGUCGUAAGGGAAUCCAUCAAAAUAAUUCAAUAAGCUGUAGAAAAAAUUCCUGGAGGACCUUAUGAGAAUUUAGAAGUCCGACGCUUUAAGAAAGAAAAGAAUUCUGAAUGGAAUGAUUUUGAUUAUAAAUUUCUUGGUAAAAAACCUUCGCCCGGACUUUGUAUCGACUAAAGUAUAUACUUCGACUUUCAUGCGCUAGAACUUUAGCUCGUAAACAUAAAAGCACGGUGCGAACUUUUAUGCAACGAUUGGGGGUCGUCUCGGAGGAAAAGAAAUUGCACGCGCCGAAUCUAUUAAAAAGGGUAGACUUCCCCUCCAAACAAUUCGCGCUAAAAUUGAUUAUUGCUGCUAUCCAAUUCGGACUAUCUAUGGAGUAUUAGGGUGUUAAAGAUUAUAAAUUGACUUACUACACCCCAGAGUAUGAAACUAAGGAUACUGAUAUCUUGGCAGCAUUCCGAGUAAGUCCUCAGCCUGGGGUUCCGCCCGAAGAAGCAGGGGCUGCAGUAGCUGCCGAAUCUUCUACUGGUACAUGGACAACUGUUUGGACUGAUGGACUUACCAGUCUUGAUCGUUACAAAGGACGAUGCUAUCACAUCGAGCCUGUUGUUGGGGGGUUCUUCUCCUACCAGUAUCGAAUAGAACAUGCUGAACAAGAUCUUCUUCAUGGAAACCUGCUCGAUUUAGAUCGGGAAAAUCGUACAGAUUUUAUGAAACCAUGUGCGAUGGCUCAAAUCCAUAGUCAAUCCUACUUUCGAUAGGACCAGUUGACAAUUGAAUGGGAGCAGCCUAAACCGUGAAAACAGGGUUGUGGGAGAGCAAUACAAGCGUUGCGCUGCUAGGCGAAGCGGUUGAGUGCCGCACCCUAGAUGGCCGCUUAUGUAAUAGAGCCGAUCCACUAAGGGAUUAAGCAGCGGUGUAGUAUCAGAUCCCAAAGAUAGUAAGUUCUUUUUUCUUUCUUAUGGAAAAAAGUCCCUUGCAAAGGUAUCUCGGCGGGAUCAAAUAUAUGACGAGAUUGCCAGACAUUGUGAUCGUCCUUGAUCAGCAAAAAGUGUUUCGGAUAUAUUUACUUACAUUUGAUGGGUAUUUGCGUGUUCAUUUUCAAAAUUACAGUAGCACUAAAGAGAGUUCCUGCUUGAACAAAACGAAAGAUAUUAUCGAUAAAUAAAAGCACGUCUUGCUAAUUAACAUCUCGAAAAUAUUCCGCCAUAGUUAGGGCAGUCGUACUGUGCUUUCCAAAGAGCAACUCUUCUCAAAAUCUCAAAACAAAAGGUGCUGAGUUGGAAUUCGAACGAGCACUCGAAAAGAUUCUGGAGGAUCCUCAUGAUUAGGUUUUUUUCCCAGAUCGUAGCAUUAAGUAUUUCUUGGCACCAAAAUCCCCGGGUUCCGCGGGGUAAAUCCAUUAAAAAGGACAAAUUUUAGCAGAAGGUUUCGAGAACCUUUUAGAAGUUCUACCCAUAUGUGUUCUGAUCGCCAAUUCAUAUUAGAUAUACUAAAUCCAGAAGCGGUCGAUUGAAAUUGAGUCAAUCCAUAACAUCCCUUAUUCAAUCCAUAAUCAAGAAUAAUUAGGAUUUCUAAAAAAAAAGAAAAAAUAAAGGGUCCACUCAUAGGAAGAAACUUAAGGCCACUCUUCCUCCGGGCUUUCUUUCCGCACUAUUAUGGAUAGUUAAAUAAUGGGAAAAUUGGAUUCAAUUGUCAACUGGUCCUAUCGAAAGUAGGCUGCUCCAAGUAUAAUUUCCAGGCGUUCCGUAUACGAACCUCUUCAAACAGGGCUUAUUGCUAUCGAUUCGAUGAUCCCUAUAGGGCGUGGUCAGCGAGAGUUAAUUAUUGGGGACAGACAUACUGGCAAAACAGCUGGCGGACCUGCCGCGCAAGAUCUUUGGUCUUUCCCUGGAACCGAUAAAAAAAGUGGAUCGCUUCUUAUGUACUCGCCGUAGCACGAGGGCACCGGCCCAACGACCAGCAACCCAUGAAGAGACUAGGUCCAUAAACGAGGGUGGGAAACAAACGAAAUCACCACCACCGUUGUCGGCGUACCCGCAGGCAACUCCUAACCUCCACCGCCCGACAUCUGAUAGCACGACCAGACCACAGCACCUCUACGGAGGUAGAACGAUGCCUGCCGGAAGGAGUAUUUUCAUUUGCUUCCGGCUGGAGUGGCCGACUACUACGAGCGACCUGCCGCAUGCGUGCUCGUGCGUCGCAUGAUAAAGACGGCGAGGAGUCGUCCUCGGAGUAGUAAACUUUGCCGCUAAAUACACUUGGAUGGAACGUCAACACAUCCAAAGAGAAUAUCCGAUGUACUUUACAGCAGUUAGCUUGAGUGGGGCAAAAGACAUGAACGAUGGUGAAUUUGAACCGCUUCCUUUCUGCGAUCGACAGGUAGUACUAAAAAUCACGAAAAAAGACGACCGCUGGACGCAUCGGUCCAACGGGAGUCAAUAAAAUCACCAAAUCUUAAAGUCAGCUGAAGUAGAAGAAACAGGGCAAGCUGGCAUGGGGACUAUCAUACGGGACUGCCGUGGCGCCGAAUUUCCUUGCCUUGACGGACCUUUUUCUCUUCUUUUUUCACAAUGUCGGGAGAGAGAGUGUAAUUUUAACAGGUGCAGGUAAUUGCUCCGGCACAUCAUUCAUGACAUCAACGUGACGGCAUGCGGAAUCACAUGUUUAGAGCAUCUACAGCCGGACUUCCUAAACCCUCUUCGAACGCUCGGGCGGUCUGCCCCAUCACUGACCGGUCACGAUUUUUUGACCCGGACGGACGGCUCAAACGGGCCUCAAACGCUCAGGCUGACCGGCACCCCUCAUAUCCAGCCCAAGUAAGAGGCGGAUACGGGGGCGCCCGGGCACUUCCGUCACGUCGGACCUGGCCCAUGCUAGCCCACCCGACCCCACAUAUAUGCCUCUCCAUCCGCUCACCGGACCAAACCCUACCCACUUCACUUCACUCCCCUCCGCCACUCGAGCUCACCUCGACGGUUUUCGACCUUCUCCGGCAUGGCAGGCAGCGGAUAUGACUCCGACGCGUCUGAAUCCGUCUACUGGGGUGUCAUUCCGUGCAGGUUGAAGGAGAGGAUAAGGGGCGCCGCGACUCCAUAGUGUCUGCUCAAUGGGCGAUCGGGUCCUCGGGGGGUGGAUCCUCGAGGUCUAGGCAGCCGGAAGCCCUCUCCUUCCGCAUCACCGGGCGGGCAGACUAUGAGUCCCACCGGGAAUGGGCGGCCCGCCGUGGAAGGAGAGGAUAAGGGCCGCCGAGGCCCGUAUCGCGGCGGAAAUGGCAGCGGCGGAGGCGGCUGAUGCGGCGGCACGGGCGGCCACAGAGGAGGAAGCCAUUCGUGUCGGUAUUGGAAGAAAUAGCAGCGGAGGAACACACGCGCCCUCGCCUGAGAGCAGAAUCAGGCGGUCUGUGCCAUGACCGGACUGCCACCAAAGGAGGACAGCGACAGCGAGGACAGCUCUGGCGACGAGCAAAUUCGGCUCGACCCGUACUGCGUCUUGGACCGGUACUUCCGCGAGAAGGACGGCAAGGGCGCCGGGAAGGACAAGGGCAUCCGUGGAUGAACUCCACCAUAGCCAAGCAUGCCAAAUUUUGGUAGACCGAUGGCAUGUUUAGUUAGUAGUGAUGGAGUAGCCGGACAAUGUGUGUGCAUUGACGUAGUUGUACGAGUUUGUAUGGAUUUGAGAUAUGAUAAUUGAGGUGUUCGGAUAUGGAUUGCAUUAUUUAAGAGGUGCCCGGUCAGUGCCAGCGAACGCGCGGCCGGAUUUGCCCAUCACGGCUGUAGAUGCUCUUGGGACGAUAUGUUGAGCGUGCGUGCCAUAUGGUUCACCGUUUUAAAAUUGCAAAAAAGAAUUACUUGCAUGCUGCCUUCUCCUAGGCUAGCUCGCAGUGCUCGAUCGGCGACCACCCGCUGUCGCUGCUUUCCUACCGACGUCACGUUAGUGGAUCAGGAUCGAGUCAUCGGGCACUCCGACCAGCCAUGCACGCAUGCUGCAUGCAACUGGUGCAAUGAAACGGCGGGCUCGCGCCGUGCAGCUCCUCACGUACGAGUACGUGGAUGCAACGAAUGGACUUGGACUCGACUUCCGGGGAGAGACGGCCGGCGACCGGCGACGUGGCUACUUCCGGUCGGCUGAUUGACUAUAUCCAGUCCAGCAGCGUCCGCUCCAAGUUGAAGCACCACGGCGUCGACUCGAGUCGACUGGGCACGUGUGUUGCGUGGUCACUCCUCUGGACUGGAGCGGCCGACGUGCGACUUUCUUGCAACUUCCAAGUGUCACUCCGCGGCGCGCGUUUAAACACGUACGGCGUGGACUCGUGGUCGAUCGGAACGGAGUACGUGGUAAACUUCGCUACCACUACGUAUAUAUUCUCCUAAGCAAACUUGGCUGCUAAGCAUAUACAACUACGUAUACAAAGGAACAUCAACACGUCCACGUAGGAAAAACAUGCGUGGUGACUGGUCAGUACGUACUCCUUUACCACAAGUCUCUCGAACGGGCCAAGAAGAUGCAUGGACGGCGUGAUCGGUUCGAAUCCGUUACUGCUUUGUACGAUAUACCGCUUUUCAAGGAUACACUGCUUGCUACAUCGACAGGUCCUGAUAGGAGAAAUCGCGAAAAAAGCCGUCCGCUGGACAGAGUACGUACGUACAAUGACUUGGGAGUCUGCCGUCUACACUCAUCUUUUUUUUUUCGAAAAAAACUUUUAAUCUAUUCAUCUUCAAUCAUGGUAGUACAACGAACACUGGAAGUAAUAAAAAUUACAUCCAGACCCGUAGACCAUCUAGCGACGACUACAAGCACUGAAGCGAGCCGAAGGCGCGCCGCUGUCAUCGCCCCUCCCUCGCCGGAGCCGGGCAAACCUUGUUGUAGUAGACAGUCGGGAAGUCGUCGUGCUAAGGCCCCGUAGAACCAACGCACCAGAACAGCAACCGUCGCGGAUGAAGAGUGUAGAUCAAAAAGAUCCAACCUGAAAACACACGAACGGAGACGAACGACGAACAGAUCCGAGCAAAUCCACCAAAGACAGAUCCGCCGGAGACACAGCUCCACACGCCCACCAACAAUGCAAGACGCAUCACUGGAACGGGGGCUAGGCGGGGAGACCUUUAUUCCAUCUUCAGAGAGCCGCCACCGUCUCGCCUUCCUGAGCAGGACACAAACCCUAACAAAGCUCCAAAAAAGAUCUAAAAACGGAGCCCUCCCACCUGCAAGGGCCGAGAUCCACUCCGCCUCCAUGGCCAUAGGGCCACCGGAGACGGGAUGGACCGGCGCCGGCGCCGGUGGGAGGCAGAAAGCUAGGGUUUUUGGAGGCGGCGGCUAGGUGUGCGUCCUACUUUGGUUUGUUAUUUUAGUUUAAAGUUAGUUGGUUAAAAAAAGCACGAGCUGUGCUGAGAUCGUCUGCACCCAUCUUGCCUCUAUUGGUCAAGUCGCUUGCACGGGGCGGAGAUCCUGUGUUUAGUUUGUGUCCAAGAUUGCCCCACCAAAGCAUUGGCUAGCCAAAAUUUUGGUUGAGGUUUUUGUUGCUCAUGAUUUGAAUAACAUUAGCAAGAAAAAUUUGUUGAGUAGAGUUUAUUCGCAUGUCAAAAAAUUGACAACCAUUCAAACAAAGAUCAAUCUUUGAGUCAGAGUAAAUUGUAGAAAACCAUCAGUUUAAAGGCUAGGUUUGCAGAAAACACUACAAUACAUUUUUUUUCUUCAAAAAACACUACGUCUUCAGUAAUCUUUUUGCAAAAACCACUGAUCGACGGAUCUGGCUCUGUUAAGCGUGUUUAUGACAGAUGGGGCCCAUUUUCUGCUUACAUGGCGUAACUUUUUGUGCUAGAUGGGGUUUAAUCUAAAAUUACAAACUAGACCCUCAAAUUUUACACAGCCACCCCCAAAUAAAUAAAAAUAAAAAAUGCAAUUGACCACCACCGGAGCUCGUGCAAAUUGGCCUUAUCCCCCGCCCUCGACCUCAUGUUGACCACGGCCGAUCAGCUAUCCCCCACCACCUCAUGUCGUCCUUCUCCUCCCCAAUGCUCCUCCGUGGUGGAACUGCUCCUCCCCGACGAGGAUCUGGAUCGGGGGGCCCUCGUCCUCCUCUGUGGUGGACGUCGUCGUCCUGCCGCCGUGGUCCCGGCCGCGGAACUUUGUGCCGGCGUCGGAGAAGCUGUCCCCUCUGCAUCACUGGAGUGAUCCCGCCUGCUAUGUUCGGCAGCGUGCACAUCCGCGUCGGCGCGAACGCCCACGGCCGCUGCCCAGCUCCGUCGACCAUGGCCAUCGGCGAGAAGGCGGCGUGGGGCUCGCCCGUCUGGCUCCGGCCUCAGGCUCUAAAUCGAGGAUGAUGGCGGCAGCUCAAUCCAGACCGAGGACGGCGGUGGCGAGGCGGAGAAGAGGACAUGGGGCGGAGGCGGGGCGGCCCAGAGCGGUGGCGGGACGGACAAGUCGACAAGGGGUGGCAGCGGCAUGAUCCAGAUCGAUGCUCGCGGUAGGAGUGGCGGUGGCUCGAUCCAAAGAUGGAGCGGGGCCGGCGAAGAUGGGGAAUAGGGGAAGGGCGGACGCUGUAGCCCCAGACGCUCACCACGUCGAGCUGGCCAGGGCAUUCCCGCCAGAUCCGGUGCCCUGCGGGGACGGUGGAGGCCGAUGUGACCGGAUCCGGUUGGGGGCAUGACGACGGCGGCCCGGGGAUGGAGGGGCGGCGCUGAGCUCGUGUGCACGCUUGCCGGCUGCGGCAUGAUUAGAGGGCCUAGGAAGCNNNNNNNNNNNNNNNNNNNNNNNNNNNNNNNNNNNNNNNNNNNNNNNNNNNNNNNNNNNNNNNNNNNNNNNNNNNNNNNNNNNNNNNNNNNNNNNNNNNNNNNNNNNNNNNNNNNNNNNNNNNNNNNNNNNNNNNNNNNNNNNNNNNNNNNNNNNNNNNNNNNNNNNNNNNNNNNNNNNNNNGGGGCUUUUUGCAUUAAACCUAAACCGUUAAUGCCACGUAAGCAGAAAAUGGGCCCAUCUGUCAUAAACACGCUUAACAGAGCCAGAUCCGCCGAUAAGUGGUUUUUACAAAAAGAUUACACAAGACGUGGUGUUUUUUGAAAAAAAAAAUAUGUAAAGUUGUGUUUUCUGCAAACCUAGCCUUCAAAGUGAUGGUUUCAUGCAAUUUACUCCUUUGAGUCAUGAACAAAAUUUUAAUAAGAUACACUUUGACCACAAUCCAAACACACCCCUAAACUUCUCCCGGGACUUGCAGUAAUUUUCAACGCGAGGGAAUCAAACAGCAGAAGAUCGAGAGAGAGGAGAAAGAGACGCGCAAACCACUGGGCACCACCGACGUUCGUACGUAUCGUAACGUAACGUAGGCCUUAUGCCCUUAACAUCACUCACUGUUCAUUCAUCAAACGCAUGCCUCAGCUAGCCAUCAUCAAGGCUAGAUAAACUCUUUUUUGCCAGCUCUCCAAGACUCCAACCAAGCACUAAGAUGUAGUGGAGUAGUAAUUUUUCAUUCUAGCUAUGCAACCAUUCCACUCCGAUCAGUCAUGAGAUUCUGUUCUACUCUGUCUCCCUAGCCCCUACCAAAGCGCACCACGUAUCUACAACAAGACGGAGCCAAGCGGUGCAGACCACGACCACGGAGUGCAAACGCUGCGCACCAUGCAUUACCGCGGAACACACACCCCAGACCCAGAUCCAGAACCAGAGGUGGCAAGCAAAGCAAGCGUGUGAAAUGGAUCAGACCAGGCCACCAACCGUGUCGGACUCUCGGUCACCACGUAAGACGGACAUGGACUUGACUUGCCGGAGAGCGACGGCCGGCGACCGACGACGUGGCGACGACCUCGAUCCAUCGAUCACAUGGAUGACCAGGAUGGGUGCACGAAUGUCGGGAUAUGCCCUGCCCAGGAAACCGAUCGAGUGGUCAGGGCAACUCCAAUUCAACAUCCAAAUGGUCCGGCCGCGUCUGUUUAAAGUAAAUGCACAGAAAAAACGGCACAACGCGCGGGAGCAAAUCGAUCAACGUCCGUUUUUUAUCCGCUUUUGAUUCAUUUCUGGUCCAAAUUUCGGCGGCGUUUGCGUCGAAACGGAUACGCGCGGACGGACACGACGUGUGCCAUGUCCUCCCCUGGCCCGUCAGUCGGGGACCCAUGCGCCCAUUUUUCUAUUCCAUCCGCCAGUCGAGCCGCACCCCGCUUCACUCCCCUCACGUCCCUAGGCGCCAUCACCGCCAUUUUUCUCGGCCGCGUCGCUGUCCAGCACAGCCGCGCGCCCGCCCCUACCCUUGUCGCGUCCCCCGUGUUCUCGACACUCCUAGCUGUCCAACCCCGGUCGUAUGAUCUCAGCGCAUUCGGUCGCCGGAUUUGGAGCGGAUCCAGCCGGACUUGAGCGUACCCGGCUGCCGGAGACCGCGCCGUGCCAUGGACUGGCCAUGUACCGAACUGCACAGCCCCCGCAACACCCCAGGCCGCAUGUAGAUAUUGACUCCGCCUAUAAACGCUCGAAUCUACCCUGUCGUCGGUUCGCCGGCAAAUACACCAACGAUUGUCACCCAGACUCGGUGCUGGCCCAAAGGCUCGUCGACGCACCGUUGCCACUUAUAAAAUGCGACGAUUGUCCACGAAAGGUCGUACGCCGCGCGUCUACAACGCCGGAACAUCAUGGAUGGGUGUUCGUCAAGUGCAUAAACGAUGGGGUGUGUGCUAUUUUAGCUUCGGUUGUGCUACCGGAUUGGGGGCAUUUUGGAUGGCUCUUUGCUUAUACUCAAACUUUUUGUGAGGAUGGAUCCAACUUUUGGUAUUGGGAAGAAGAAUACAUCGAUCUAUUCAAAGAACGCAAUUUGAUAGAUGUUUGUGCACCUGUUGCUAGAAUAGAAGUUAGAAAUGAGACUAGAUGCGAAGAAGCAAUGUCUACUUCUUUAGAAUCGAAGAAGGAAGAAGUAUGCAAGAUCGAGAAUCCGUAGAUCAACAAUGAAGGCAUCGAAAGGAUAGUAAUCCAACUUCUGGGAGCAGUUACGAAAGUUGGACAUCUUUUAAAAUGUUUGCUUGUGGUUCUUGUUUUUUUUGUCUUGCUAUUCUAGCCAAGCUUUGGUGAAUGUACUCCAAUGUAACAAAAAAUCAUUGAUGGAAUAAUAUAGGAAAUGAGGCGGAAAAAAUGUAUGCAGACAUGAUGCGGCAAAAAUGAGACCACGCAUUGAGCGCAGAGCCGGUGCAUCGACAAAUCUGAAUGGACACUGCCACAUUGCCAUUCUCAAACGGACGAAAUUCAGACAAAACAGACGCCCGUUUAGGGUCGUGCCUUUGGAAUUGCCCUCAGGGCAAGCUUCUCACUUGUCACGUCGCGGUUUUGAUACUUUUUACCGCUGGAGGGAGCCGACCUGGACAUGUGUGGCCGGCGUUUGGAGAUGUGUAGAUGACCAUCGAGGACUCGUAAUCGAAGUACAGGACGGUGAUGAAUCCAAUCCGUUACCGAGAAGUACUUCGGUACAACCAUCCCCCAAUUAACGUAGAAGGGAUAGUAUUGUCCAUAUUAAAUUUCGUAUUUGCGUACCCGUCGUCCGUCGUAGGCCGUCCGCCCGUGUACGUCCCGCCCCGUACGCCCGCGUCGUACGCAUACCGUGGCGUUCGUUAGUUCGAUCGGGAAAGGAAAAAAAACGACACCCCAUCCCCGCCUACGAAACCCUAGCGGCAUCAACGCCGCCGUGGUCCACCGCCGUCAGGACGUCGGGCGGCGUCCGUAGUCACCCACGCGGCGUGUCGCCGGUGUCGCGUGAAACCGACACCCCAUCCCCGCCUAGGAAACCCUAGUGGCAUCAACGCCGCCGUGGUCCACCGCAGUCACGACGUCGACCCCGACGUGCCCGUCUAGUCGCGAGCACGGGCGGCGUCCGCAGUCACGCACGCGUCGUGUCGCCGGUGAAACGCCCAGCGCUCCCGCGUCAACUCCUGGUACGCGCCCUCCACGACGUGGGUAGCGGCAUCGGAUCGGCGUCGACCCCAGGCGAGGACCCCUCGACGGUGGAGAGUAGGUUCUCUGGCUCUCUUUUUUUCUUUUUGAUUUGUUCAUUGCAUUUUUUAUGCCACAAAAUGAUACCCUACUUGGCUAAAUAAGAGAGGAGAGUAGUGGCCUCUUAAUGACCUCUUAAUGAUUUUGUACAUUCAAAUUUGUAUGCAUGACACAUAGUCAUGUCACUGUUGAUGAAUUUACUGUAUUCGCGAUGAUGUUGUGGAAUGUUGGCAUUGAUCUCACACCUUAUUUGUAUGUGUAUAGAUGGAUCAAGAAACCGGAUACGCCAGUGAUGAUUCUGGUAGCGAUAAUGGAUCAUCGUCAUUGAAUGCGAACCAACCUCCCGGAGACAACUAUAUGAGUCAGGAUGAAUCGUACAGUGGUAAUGUAAGUGCCUUGAAUGUUGACCAAAACAUAUUGAAUACAAACUAGUUCUUUGACACUUACAUGUCCUUUUAAAUUUGUACAGCUACAUGGUAAUGAUGACGAUGAGGAAUAUGAUAUAGAUGAACAAUUUUAUGCAGAUGGUGUGAGCCAGGUACGUUGAAAAAAAUGUAGGGCAAUGAUUGACAUUAAAAUUGUAUUACCACUUAUUUUACUUUAAAUGUGCACAGAUAAAUGCUCAUGGUGACAAUAAGCAUAAUAAUAUAGAUGAUGACAAUGCCGAGAGCGAGGUCGAUGCAUCUUGUAGUGGGAGCGCUAGCCAAGUAAGUUCUUUACAUUAUUUAUGGUAAGUAAUAAUACAAGAACAGAUUGACAUGCAAGGUUAUAUGUCAUAUUUUGCAGGGAGGUGUUGAUGGUCCUAGCGGGAACGAUGAGCACAGCGAUGAUGAUCAGUUUGACCUUGACAUGGGUUAUGAUGAAUAUCAGCAAGAGUCACUUGAUAGGUAUUGGGAAGUGAUGGCAAAGACAUUCAGGUCAUUAGAUGAGGUGUACAUGUUCUACAACAAGCACGCGAGAGAACGUGGGUUCAGCAUCAGGAAGGACUCGCUAAAACGUUCAAAGGAUCGCGCAAGGACUGUGCGCUUGAGGAGGUAUCUCUGUUCCGCCGCAGGAAAACGACAGGCCAAGUUCUGUACCAUGGAAGGCCGGACCCGCAGGCUUAGACCGGAGAGUCGAUUCUUCUACAAAGCCCAUUUGACAGUUAAGCUUGAUAAAAAGCUUAAUCUUUGGUAUGUCAGCAGUUUCUCCGAUGAUCACAGCCACAUUCUUGCACGACCGGACGAAGUCCCUUUCCUCCGAUCUCAUAAUCAGAUCAAAGCAUUUGAGAGAGCAGAGAUCUUAGCUAUGGCAGGAGCUGGGAUAAGAAAACAUAUUAUUUUUGACAACAUGGUUAGCAGGUAUGGGUCGCAUGCAAAGUCACCGUUUCAGAGGACAAAGCCGUAUAACAUGUGCUAUAGGGAGAAGAUGAAAUUGCUUGCACAAGGUGAUGCUGAUACUGCCAUAGGAAUCAUGUUGACUAGAAAGGACAGAGAUCCAGAUUUCUUCUUUGAGCACACAGUUGACGCUGAAGGCAGGCUCCAAAACCUGUUCUGGUGUGAUUCGCAGUCACGCCGUGAUUAUCUUGACUACGGUGAUGUUGUCGUCUUCGACAGCACAUAUAAGAUGAACAGGUAUGGAAUGACGUUCAUCCCUUUUGUGGGUCUGAAUAACCACCGUUGCACUACGGUAUUCGCCUGCGCCAUUGUUUCAGACGAGACUGAGGCUACAUAUGUUUGGUUGCUUAACACGUUCUUGAAAGCUAACUGUCAGAAGAGGCCCAAAUCUGUAAUUACCGAUCGAGAUGCAGCGAUGAUAAGGGCUAUCAGGAAGGUGCUUUCUGACGUGUGGCAUCGUCUAUGUAACAUCCCAAAUUUUCAAUUUGGAAUGUUAUACAUUAGAUCAUCAUUGCAUAGCAUAUUUUAUUGCAUUUUGGCAAAUCUUCGAAAAUCCUAAGCAACUCAAGGACCCUCGGAGAGAGUUGGGGAUUUUUCCCGGUUUUCAUAUUUGAUUUUUAUCAAAUAAUAAAACGAGGAUUUUUGGUUUUAAUUAUUUUUCUCUCCGAAAAAUAUUUCAUAUUAAAUAAAUGAGAGGAGAAAAUAUGACUUCUUCAAAAUAAUUGAAAUAUUGGAGGAAAAAUAUUAAAAUCAAAUAUUUGAUUUUAUUCGGAUUUUAUUGGCAAUUUUAAUUGCAUUAGAAAAAUUGCAUGUUUUCAAAACUGCAUUUUUGGGCCAAGAAAAUGUUCAUCUCGUUCUAAUUAUUUUAAUUAGACGGUGAAAAUUUGUUUUGGCAUUUUUGAAUUUUUAUUUAUUUUUCUAUGAUUUUUUUUAGAUUCGGCGGAAUAUUUAAAAAAAAUCGCCCGAGCGCCGACUGGGCCGAAGCCCAGCCGACGGCCUAGCUCCCCGCGCGGCCCAGCCGCGAGUCGUCUCCCACCUGGAGACGGAGCCGCCGCCCGACUCCCGCACGGCCACGACGCCGCCGCCGUCGCCCCUUCCCCAAGGCAACCCCCUCCCCCUUCUUAUAUACUCCCCCCCGUCCCUCUCCUCACCCCGCCGCCCCGNNNNNNNNNNNNNNNNNNNNNNNNNNNNNNNNNNNNNNNNNNNNNNNNNNNNNNNNNNNNNNNNNNNNNNNNNNNNNNNNNNNNNNNNNNNNNNNNNNNNNNNNNNNNNNNNNNNNNNNNNNNNNNNNNNNNNNNNNNNNNNNNNNNNNNNNNNNNNNNNNNNNNNNNNNNNNNNNNNNNNNNNNNNNNNNNNNNNNNNNNNNNNNNNNNNNNNNNNNNNNNNNNNNNNNNNNNNNNNNNNNNNNNNNNNNNNNNNNNNNNNNNNNNNNNNNNNNNNNNNNNNNNNNNNNNNNNNNNNNNNNNNNNNNNNNNNNNNNNNNNNNNNNNNNNNNNNNNNNNNNNNNNNNNNNNNNNNNNNNNNNNNNNNNNNNNNNNNNNNNNNNNNNNNNNNNNNNNNNNNNNNNNNNNNNNNNNNNNNNNNNNNNNNNNNNNNNNNNNNNNNNNNNNNNNNNNNNNNNNNNNNNNNNNNNNNNNNNNNNNNNNNNNNNNNNNNNNNNNNNNNNNNNNNCGCCGCCCCUCGCCGCACCCCCGAGCCCCGCCGGAGUUGCCCCGACGAGGUAGCCGAGCCGCCGCCGCCGAGCCGGGUUUUUUUCAAAAAAACCGUUCGGUUUAUUUUUUUCGAAACCCUAGUUUUUUUUAAAUAGAUCGGUUUAUUUUUUUCGGUUUAGUUAAUUAGCGAACGUUCACCGAUCCGUUCGUUUUAACGAACGUGUUCGUCGGUUUGUCGCAACUAACGAACGUCCGUUCGUUUAACUGUUCGUCAGUUUUCUUUUUCGUCGGUUUUUCCGCGAUUAUUCCAGAUCGCGAUUUCUGAUCAGAUUUUCGUUCUGGUUUAUCUUUUCGCUCGUUUAUCGGAAUCAGGCGAUUCAAGCGCCUAGAGUUUCGUCUCGAAAUUCUCUUUCCGUUUAACCUACUCAAACAAGUUUUUGCUACUGUAAAAUUUGACCUAGAUCCAGAUUAGUAAACGAAGCUUGUUUCUUUCGCCAUUUGACUUUCGUUGCUUCGUUCGAUUUGUUUCUUUUUGCAAACCGGAGUUCUUAAGUUGAACUUUCUGGUUAGAUCUUUUAUUUGAGUUUUACCUGUGCAUUUGAUGAGUGCUUAUUGUAUGCUUGUUUGUUUGCGAUAGAGUACCCGGAGUGCGCCGCUUGCUACUUCGAAUCUCUAAGUUUCACGGAUCAUCAGCAAGGCAAGUAACACUUUGAUCAUACCUCUUUACUACCCAGUUUUAUUGCAUUAGAUCAACCCUCAAACAUUGCAUGGUUAGGAUCUAAUUAAAUUAUGGGUAUUGGGAAGUAGUUGAGGUAGUACCUAUUACAUGUUUUAUUAUCAAACCCUUGGGAGUUACUUCUACGUUUGCUUAUAUUGCUAUGCUAUGCUUGUAGACGUGGAUUGGGUUUGAGUGUAUCCAUGACAGAUGUGAGACUGUUAAUAUAUGGUUAAACUUAAGGUGGCAACUAAAACUCACAUCUGUGUGGAUUGAGGUACCUGGGUAUUCCAGGAUUGCCUGUUUUUCUAAGGACCGCCACCCAGGCUCAAAGGGAUCAUGAGAUUAUUCAUGCUAGAAACUUCCGUGUGCAGCCACAAGCUAUUAUGGGCUCUAGCAUAGUUGAUUAAGUUGUGUGAGCUCUUGAAGAGGUAGACUAGCAGAUGUAGGGGUUGUAGGUGGUACUGUCUACCCGGAGUAGAGAGUUAACGCUUCUGAAAGACUGUGUCUCGGUCAUCCGUUUCUCAAACAUCAUGUAGUGCGAGAACCAAGCAGAGGCGAUCGAGUCUUGUGGGGAAAAGUGCACAAACCUCUGCAGAGUGUACAAUCUAAUCAUAGUUAGCCGUGUCCCCGGUUAUGGACAUCUUGAGUAUCUAGUACUUGGAUUAUCAUGUGAAUCUCAUCAUCAUGUUACUUUAAUUAAUUUUGUUGGGUUAAUGAUGAUACUUAAUUGGGAUUGAGAAUGCUGUCAACCAUUCUCAAUGUUUAAUAACCACCAUGAUAGUUAAAUAAAAUUUAUUCCUUUGCAGUAGGGAAAAAUUGGCUUUUCGCGAAACUGUAACCAUAGAGCCUUCUACCAGCCAUAUAUGCAUGUAGUAUAGCAUUAUUAUGUUCAUUACUCUCUAUGUGUUACAUUGCCAGCAUAUUCCAUAUGCUGACCCGUUUCGGGCUGCAACGUUUCAUGUUGCAGACUUUUCAUACGACGAGUAAGGUGCCUUAGGUCGUGGUCUUAUACUCAGUGAUGCCGUUGGAGUUGAUGGACUCACUUAUCUUCCAAGUCUUCCGCUGUUAUCGUAUUUAGAUGGCCUUAAGCCAUAUUUAUCAUACUUAUUCUCUUUUAAGAUACUCAUUGUAAUAAGUGUGUGAUUGCUAGUCUGUUAUAAAUCCUCCAUUUGUACUGUGCGUGUCAGCAUUACUGAUCCAGGGAUGACACUGGUGCACAGCAGCACAGACUGUUUGAGGUCUGGUCGCUACAAAGGUGGUAUCAGAGCACACGCUGACUGUAGGACACGACCACUAAGCUUAAACCCUAGAACACUACUCUCUUCUCAUUUCUGACUCCUCUCCACUUUCUACUCUUUUAGGAAUGGCGGAUGCAAGGAACAAGUUCAUGCAACCGGAUGAAGAGACACCUUUUGGACGACACUUGAAGGAAGUCACUAAGUACCUGAACAUCGGAAUACCAAGCUUCACCGGAACCUACAACGCCAUACUACCAGAAGAGGAGCGCUGGAAGAUUCAAGUUCAAGUUCCAGGAAGGACGUUCACGCCAGUCACUGAGCCUAUAGAGUUUUCCUUUGAUGCACCAACCUGGAGUUUAGGGAAGAGCAUGGCAGCCCACAUCUCUAUGGGACGCAUUGGAGAAGUCUACCACAAGGAGCUUAAGGAUACUAUUUAUUAGAUUUUUGGACGCCGAGAUGACCAAUGGGAGAUGAUCAGCACCAAGAAGGAUGGAUCAAUUGUAGCUUUCAUCCAGGAGCAAAACCAACACAUUCGUCGCCAGGAGAACCAGAUGUGCGCAGACAUGAUAGAACUGAAGAAGGCAUUGACCAAGAUCACGGAGUUGGAGGAAGAACUCAAGGCUACACGCAAGGAUUAUAUGGAAUAAAUCGUCGCACUAGUGAGGAAGAACGGCGACCUGACACAGAAGAUCGGAGUUUUCAUGGGAGACCCAGCUCCAGGAGAAGAAGAUGACGAUUCUACUUGCCCGAAUAACUACAUCAUCAUCGACGACACCGACUCAGACCCCAGUGAAGAUGAUUUUGUUGAUGAAGCUGGAGCAGAUAUCAUGGAGUCUUCGACUGAUCAAAAUUUCUAGUAGACCACCAUAUCAGUAGUAGUAUUUCUCCAUGUAAAUAGUAUAGUCCGAGCACUUUUGUAACGAUAGUUAGAUCGAUUGUUAGCCUUGUUUGAAUUGAUUGAGUGAUAUUGAUUGUGUUUGUCUCAUGAGCAUAUGGGUAGUGUUUCCUCUCUAGACCUCAUUCUAUUCUAAAUUCUGAUCUUUUCUAAACCUAUCAGAUGCCUCCGAGACGCGACACCGGAUUUGUUUUCCCACCGGAGAUCACUCAGUUGAUUCAGCAGCAGAAUGCCCUGAUGCAAGUGUUAGUACAGAACCAAGGCAACAACAACAACAACAACAACAACCCACCACCACCACCUGUUGAUCACUUAGCCCGUUUCUUGAGGCUAAAUCCGCCAGUGUUUUCCAGCAGCACCGAGCCGAUUGUUGCCGAUGAUUGGCUCCGCAAAGUUGGAAGGGAGUUGACCACUGCAGGAUGCACAGAUGCGGAGAGAGUGGGUUUUGCCGCACAUCAGCUUGAUGGACCCGCAGCAUCAUGGUGGGAGAAUUACACAGCCACACACCCUAUUGACACUGUCGCAUGGGACCAGUUUUAGCAAGCUUUCCGUACUGCCCAUGUUUCAGCAGGAGCUAUGGCUAUGAAGAAGCGUGAGUUUCGCAACCUAAGCCAAGGAGGACGCACCGUAGGCCAGUAUGUGGAGGACUUUAGUAAGUUAGCACGUUAUGCUCCAGAUGACGUUGCUACAGAUGCAGCCAAGCAGGAGAAGUUUCUGGAAGGACUGAAUGAUGAGCUGAGCAUGCAGCUGAUGGUAGCAACCUUCAACAACUACCAGGAGUUGGUAGAUAGAGCACUCAUGAUUGAAGGGAAGCAACAGCAGAUUGAAAACCGUAAGAGGAAGUAUGGACAAGGGAAGUACAAUUCUGGAGCUCAGUAGAAGCCACGUUUUACCCCGAAAUCGGGAGGACAGUUUCAGCAUACCCAUGGAGAAGGUAGUUCGCACAACCAUAGUGGACCCAAGAAUGGUAAUGGGAAUGGAGGAAGCAACGGGCAGAACCGUAAUAACCCAUCUACCCCAGCCAAGAGAGAUCUAAGUCACGUUACUUGUUACAAGUGCCAGAAGACUGGACAUUAUGCAACUGAAUGCCCUGAAGCCCAGAAUGGAAAUGGAAAUGGAAGCUCUGGGAAGAAGCCGAACCCUUUCAACAAAGGACAUGUGAACCACGUUAGCGUGGAGGAGGUAGAAGCUCAGCCAGAUGUAGUAAUAGGUAAGUUUUGGGUUAAGUCAUUUACUGCACUCGUUCUUUUUGAUACUGGUGCAUCGCAUUCAUACAUAUCAAGGGGAUUUGUGGAUAAGUAUAAACUGCCAACCCAAGCCCUUAGGUCACCCAUGUUAGUAACCUCGCCAGGAGCAGAGUAUAUGGCUAGUUAAUGGUGUGAUCGGUUACCAUUAAGGAUUGGUAACUACGUGUUUCCCUCGGACCUAAUAGUACUGGAAUCGCAAGGAUUGGAUGUGAUAUUAGGCAUGGAUUGGUUAUCAAAGUAUGGAGGGAACAUUGAGUGCGCCAGUAAGGCGAUUUUGCUUACCACCCCAGAAGGAAGAAGGAUUAAGUAUGUAUCCCGGCAUAUGCCGAAGAGGACUCAGGUGAAUUCCUUAUCAGGAGUUGUACAGGAGGAAGUACCAGUGGUGAAGGAUUUCCCUGACGUAUUUCCAGAAGAGUUGCCAGGCAUGCCACCGAAUAGAGACAUUGAGUUUCUGAUUGAACUUUUGCCACGCACAGGACCAAUAUCUAAGAGACCGUACAGGAUGCCCGCCAAAGAUUUGGAGGAAAUUAAGAAGCAGAUGAAGGAGUUACUGGAUAAAGGCUAUAUUCGCCCAAGUUCGUCACCUUGGGGAUCACCCGUACUUCUAGUGGAGAAGAAAGAUGGAUCGUUGAGGAUGGUUGUUGAUUAUCGUGGAUUGAAUGAAGUGACCAUCAAAAAUAAGUACCCACUGCCGAUGAUCAAUGAUUUGUUUGACUGCUUACAAGGAGCUAAGGUAUUUUCUAAGAUCGAUCUACGAUCAGGAUACUAUCAGUUGAAGAUUCGAGAGCAGGAUAUACCUAAGACGGCUUUUACCACCAGGUAUGGGUUGUAUGAGUAUACCGUUAUGUCAUUUGGUCUGACUAACGCACCUGCCUAUUUCAUGAACCUGAUGAACAAAGUGUUUAUGGAGCUUUUGGAUAAGUUCGUCGUGGUGUUCAUUGAUGAUAUUUUGGUCUACUCAAAGAACGAAGAGGAGCAUAAGGAGCAUUUGCGUUUGGUACUUGAGAAGCUCAGAGAACAUCAGUUAUACGCCAAGUUCAGCAAAUGUGAGUUUUGGCUGGAGGAAGUUGGAUUCCUCGGACAUGUUAUAUCCGGAGAAGGAAUAACAGUAGACCCCGCCAAAGUUGACACAGUAACAAGCUGGGAAGCACCCACGUCAGUUGGAGAGAUCCGGAGUUUUCUUGGACUUGCUGGAUACUACCGGAGGUUCAUUGAGAAUUGCUCGAAGAUUGCUAAACCCAUGACAGAGCUGUUAAAGUAGGACACCAAGUUCAAUUGGACUGAGGAUUGUGAAGCUAGUUUUCAGGAGUUGAAGAAACGUUUGGUUACAUCACCAGUGUUGAUUCUGCCAGACCAACGCAAGGAUUAUGAAGUUUAUUGCGACGCUUCUCGUCGAGCACUUGGAGCAGUGCUUAUCCAGGAAGGAAGAGUUGUUUCAUAUGCUUCACGGCAACUUAAACCCCAUGAGAAGAAUUAUGCCACGCAUGAUCUGGAGUUAGCAACCGUAGUGCAUGCGUUGAAGACAUGGAUACAUUUUCUCAUCGGAAAUCACUGUGAGGUGUACACGGAUCACAAGAGUUUGAAAUACAUUUUCAUGCAAAAGGAGUUGAAUCUCAGGCAAAGGAGAUGGUUGGAACUCAUAAAGGAUUAUGAUAUGAGAUUGCAUUAUCACCCCGGAAAGGCUAACGUAGUAGCAGACGCGUUGAGCCGCAAGAGUCAUGUCAACACACUCAUGACCGGAGAGUUACCGAAAGUAUUAGCCGAGGAUCUUCGCGAGCUAUGUUUGGAGAUAGUACCGAGAGGUUACGUAGCAACGUUGGAGAUUCAGUCUACCUUGAUGGAAAAGAUCAGAGGAUCUCAGAAGACAGACAAGGAGAUUGACGAGAUAAAGGAAAGAAUGAGUAAAGGAAAAGCCAAGGGAUUUCGUGAGGAUGAGCACGAUACCUUAUGGUUUGAGGACCGCGUUUAUGUGCCUAAUGAUCCGGAGAUCAGGAAGUUGAUCUUGCAAGAGGCCCAUGAUUCACCGUAUUCGAUUCACCCAGGAAAUACCAAGAUGUAUUUGGAUUUGAAGGAUACUUUCUAGUGGACCGGAAUGAAGAAGGAUAGCGGAGUAUGUAGCAGUUUGUGAUGUAUGUCAGAGAGUAAAGGCAGAGCAUCAGAAGCCAGCAGGAUUGCUACAGCCAUUGCCGAUACCCGAAUGGAAGUGGGAUAAACUAGGCAUGGAUUUUAUCACGGGAUUGCCCAGGACUCGUUCAGGCUAUGACUCAAUAUGGGUUGUAGUCGAUCGUUUGACGAAAGUAGCUUAUUUCAUCCCAGUGAAGACCACUUACACCAGUGCUAAGUUGGCAAAGAUAUACAUGACCAGAAUCGUAUGUUUGCAUGGAGUUCCGAGGACCAUUGUAUCAGAUAGAGGAACCUAGUUUACCUCGAAGUUUUGGAAUCAGUUACAUGAAACUUUGGGAACCAGGCUAGAAUUCAGUACAGCUUUUCACCCACAGACAGAUGGACAGACCGAGAGAGUCAAUCAGAUUUUGGAAGAUAUGCUGAGAGCUUGUGCGCUAGAUUAUGGAUCUAGUUGGGACGACAAUUUGCCAUAUGCAGAGUUUUCUUACAACAACAGUUAUCAAACCAGUUUGAAGAUGGCCCCUUUCGAAGCUUUGUACGGAAGGAGGUGUAGGACACCAUUGUUAUGGGACGAAGUUGGAGACCGCCAGUCGUUUGGACCAGACUUGAUUAAGGAAUCAGAACAGAAAGUGAAGUUGAUUCGCGAUAGGCUCAAGGUAGCCCAGUCCAGGAAGAAGAGUUAUGCGGAUUUUAAACGCAAGGAGACAGUUUACGAAGUCGGAGACAGAGUUUACCUACGAGUAUCACCACUUCGAGGAGUGAAGCGCUUUGGAGUUAAGGGAAAGUUAGCGCCACGUUUUGUAGGACCAUACAGAGUUUUGGAGCGUAUGGGAGAAGUUGCUUACAAGCUGGAAUUACCUGAAGGAUUGUCAGGAGUUCAUGAUGUAUUUCACGUUUCCCAGUUGAAGAAGUGCCACGCAGAGAUGGCUGAGAUACCACUGGGAGAUACAGUGCCACUGGAAGCGAUUCAGUUGGAAAGUGAUUUGACCUAUGAGGAGAAACCAGUUAAGAUUCUUGAGUAUGCCAGCCGAGUCACCCGCAGCAAGGUUAUCAAGUUCUGCAAAGUUCAGUGGAGUCACCACACUGAAGAUGAAGCCACCUGGGAGCGAGAGGAAGAUCUAUGAAAGAACCACUCUCACCUAUUUUCUAGCCAACCCGAAUCUCGAGGGCAAGAUUCAUCUUAAGGGGGUUGUUUGUAGCAUCCCAAAUUUUUAAUUUGGAAUGUUAUACAUUAGAUCAUCAUUGCAUAGCAUAUUUUAUUGCAUUUUGGCAAAUCCUCGAAAAUCCUAAGCAACUCAAGGACCCUCGGAGAGAGUUGGGGAUUUUUCCCGGUUUUCAUAUUUGAUUUUUAUCAAAUAAUAAAACGAGGAUUUUUGGUUUUAAUUAUUUUUCUCUCCGAAAAAUAUUUCAUAUUAAAUAAAUGAGAGGAGAAAAUAUGACUUCUCCAAAAUAAUUGAAAUAUUGGAGGAAAAAUAUUAAAAUCAAAUAUUUGAUUUUAUUCGGAUUUUAUUGGCAAUUUUAAUUGCAUUAGAAAAAUUGCAUGUUUUCAAAACUGCAUUUUUGGGCCAAGAAAAUGUUCAUCUCGUUCUAAUUAUUUUAAUUAGACGGUGAAAAUUUGUUUUGGCAUUUUUGAAUUUUUAUUUAUUUUUCUACGAUUUUUUUUAAAUUCGGCGGAAUAUUUAAAAAAAAAUCGCCCGAGCGCCGACCGGGCCGAAGCCCCGCCGACGGCCCAGCUCCCNNNNNNNNNNNNNNNNNNNNNNNNNNNNNNNNNNNNNNNNNNNNNNNNNNNNNNNNNNNNNNNNNNNNNNNNNNNNNNNNNNNNNNNNNNNNNNNNNNNNNNNNNNNNNNNNNNNNNNNNNNNNNNNNNNNNNNNNNNNNNNNNNNNNNNNNNNNNNNNNNNNNNNNNNNNNNNNNNNNNNNNNNNNNNNNNNNNNNNNNNNNNNNNNNNNNNNNNNNNNNNNNNNNNNNNNNNNNNNNNNNNNNNNNNNNNNNNNNNNNNNNNNNNNNNNNNNNNNNNNNNNNNNNNNNNNNNNNNNNNNNNNNNNNNNNNNNNNNNNNNNNNNNNNNNNNNNNNNNNNNNNNNNNNNNNNNNNNNNNNNNNNNNNNNNNNNNNNNNNNNNNNNNNNNNNNNNNNNNNNNNNNNNNNNNNNNNNNNNNNNNNNNNNNNNNNNNNNNNNNGUCGCCCCGAGCCCCGCCGCCCCUCGCCGCACCCCGAGCCCCGCCGGAGCCCGUCCCGAGCCCCGCCGGAGUUGCCCCGACGAGGUAGCCGAGCCGCCGCCGCCGAGCCGGUUUUUUUUGUUCGGUUUAUUUUUUUCGAAACCCUAGUUUUUUUAAAUAGAUCGGUUUAUUUUUUUGGUUUAGUUAAUUAGUGAACAUUCACCGAUCCAUUCGUUUUAACGAACGUGUUCGUCGGUUUGUCGCAGCUAACGAACGUCCUUUCGUUUAACUGUUCGUCGGUUUUUCCGCGAUUAUUCCAGAUCGCGAUUUCUGAUCAGAUUUUCGUUCUGGUUUAUCUUUUCGCUCGUUUAUCGGAAUCAGGCGAUUCAAGCGCCUAGAGUUUCGUCUCGAAAUUCUCUUCCCGUUUAACCUACUCAAACAAGUUUUUGCUACUGUAAAAUUUGACCUAGAUCCAGAUUAGUAAACGAAGCUUGUUUCUUUCGCCGUUUGACUUUCGUUGCUUCGUUCGAUUUGUUUCUUUUUGCAAACCGGAGUUCUUAAGUUGAACUUUCUGGUUAGAUCUUUUAUUUGAGUUUUACCUAUGCAUUUGAUGAGUGCUUAUUGUAUGCUUGUUUGUUUGCGAUAGAGUACCCGGAGUGCGCCGCUUGCUACUUCGAAUCUCUAAGUUUCACGGAUCAUCAGCAAGGCAACUAACACUUUGAUCAUACCUCUUUACUACCCAGUUUUAUUGCAUUAGAUUAACCCUCAAACAUUGCAUGGUUAGGAUCUAAUUAAAUUGUGGGUAUUGGGAAGUAGUUGAGGUAGUACCUAUUACCUGUUUUAUUAUCAAACCCUUGGGAGUUACUUCUACGUUUGCUUAUAUUGCUAUGUUAUGCUAGUAGACGUGGAUUGGGUUUGAGUGUAUCCAUGACAGAUGUGAGACUGUUAAUAUAUGGUUAAACUUAAGGUGGCAACUAAAACUCACAUCUGGGUGGACUGAGGUACCUGGGUAUUCCAGGAUUGCCUGUUUUUCUAAGGACCGCCACCCAGGCUCAAAGGGAUCAUAAGAUUAUUCAUGAUAGAAACUUCCGUGUGCAGCCACAAGCUAUUAUGGGCUCUAGCAUAGUUGAUUAAGUUGUGUGAGCUCUUGAAGAGGUAGACUAGUAGAUGUAGGGGUUGUAGGUGGUACUGUCUACCCGGAGUAGAGAGUUAACGCUUCUGAAAGACUGUGUCUCGGUCAUCCGUUUCUCAAACAUCAUGUAGUGCGAGAAUCAAGCGGAGGCGAUCGAGUCUUGUGGGGAAAAGUGCACAAACCUCUGCAGAGUGUACAAUCUAAUCAUGGUUAGCCGUGUCCCCGGUUAUGGACAUCUUGAGUAUCUAGUACUUGGAUUAUCAUAUGAAUCUCAUCAUCAUGUUACUUUAAUUAAUUUUGUUGGGUUAAUGAUGAUACUUAAUUGGGAUUGAGAAUGCUGUCAACCAUUCUCAAUGUUUAACAACCACCAUGAUAGUUAAAUAAAAUUUAUUCCUUUGCAGUAGGGAAAAAUUGGCUUUUCGCAAAACUGUAACCAUAGAGCCUUCUACCAGCCAUAUAUGCAUGUAGUAUAGCAUUAUUAUGUUCAUUACUCUCUCUGUGUUACAUUACCAGCAUAUUCCAUGUGCUGACCCGUUUCGGGCUGCAACCUUUCAUGUUGCAGACUUUUCAGACGACGAGUAAGGUGCCUUAGGUCGUGGUCUUAUACUCAGUGAUGCUGUUGGAGUUGAUGGACUCACUUAUCUUCCAAGUCUUCCGCUGUUAUCGUAUUUAGAUGGCCUUAAGCCAUAUUUAUCAUACUUAUUCUCUUUUGAGAUACUCGUUGUAAUAAGUGUGUGAUUGCUACUCUGUUAUAAAUCCUCCAUUUGUACUGUGCGUGUCAGCAUUACUGAUACAGGGAUGACACUGGUGCACAGCAGCACAGACUGUUUGAGGUCUGGUCGCUACAGUCUAUGUUCAUGGCAUAUUGAAAAGAAUAUGCAGAAACACCUCAACCACAAGUCAUUGAAGGAGUUCAGGGCAUUACUGUACUAUGCCACUACACAUAAAGUUUUUGAGGAGAGAUGGGCCGCGUUUGUGCGCAAAUGGCAGACGGAGAGAACGAAAACAUGGAUCCAUAGGAUGUACAGGAAGAGGACGCUUUGGGCUGCAUCAUAUUUGUCUGGUGGGUUUUUUCUUGGUAUGCGCAGUAAUCAGAGGAGUGAGAGUCUGAACUCCAGCCUGCACCUUCAUCUUGACUAUGGUAUGACGAUCAUUGACAUGAUUGUACACUACGAGAAUUGUAUUGUUCGCCUCCGUGAGAAUGAAGCUUAUGAUGACUACACGGCCUCACAGACUGUCCCAGUAACAGUGAUUGAGUGUACCUUUGAGUCGUAUGCUGCCAAAGCAUUCACGCAUGCAAACUUUUAUAUGUUGCAACAAGAUAUGAAGAAGGUACAGGAGCUUGAGGUAAUUGAUAGACUGACAGGGACCGAUAGUCAGAGAUUUGUGGUUGCGUGGAAGAAUAACAGGGAUCACAUAUUUAAUGUGGACUAUACGCCAGGUAACUCGGCAGAAACUAUAAAGUGCAGUUGCCGAAGUAUGACUCGCAAAGGGCUUCCUUGCAAGCAUAUUCUUCAUGUUUUGAAUGCACUGAACUUACCUGUGAUACCCAAGUGUUGUGUCCUGCGAAGAUUCUCAAAAAAAGCACGAGCUGGACUGCCCGUGAAGCGCACCAGUGAUCUGUUUGCGUGGGGUUGGUCGAGUGCUGAGGACAGAGCUAGAUAUAGUGAGUUGACCAUCAAAUCUGCAGAAGCAUCUCAUCUCGCAUGUAGUAAUCCAUUCUUAUUCGACAAGUUGAUGGCAGCUCUGGAUGAUAUUAUAGCGAAUAAGGACGUUCAGGGGAAUGAAGAUGAUAGUCAGCGAAGCUUCGUGAAUGAUAAUCUGUUUGAGCCUAACCGAGAUCAUAUUCUAGUUCGUGAUCCAGUAAAGGUUUCCACCAAGGGCGCACCUAAGCAAAACAGUAGAGGUCGCGGUAAGGGUGGCCCAGAUGUGACAAAAAAUGAGAGACCUAAAGCAGUUGACGAGAAAUCUGGACGAAAAUGUAGCAUAUGCAGCGGCACAGGUCAUAACAGGAGCACAUGCAGCAAAAAUAAGAGUAUGUCUAUUGUUUGUUUAUGUUAGUUUUGUUGUAUCAUUUACUGUACAUUGAUUCUCAUAGUUUGUAAUUUAUUCUAUGCAGCAACUGGGCUUGAAGACAGAAGUGAGCACGGUGCAUCUAUUUUACUUCAUCCAUUUAUAUGUAAUUGUAUGUCUUUUUUCUUUGUUUAUGUUAGUUUCGACUAUAAUAAAAUUACUAUGGUGACAAUUGUUAUGUGGAGACAUCAUUAUUGUUGAUAUAAAUGUACAAUAUUCACUGUUUAUACUAUGAAUUCUGUAUUGGUAUUUACUACAGUCCCGUCGGCUGUCAAAUAUAUUGAAAAACACUCAAUUUUGUUAUAGAAGAAGAAAAAAAAUAGCCCGCCCGUCCACAAGCGUGUCUUAAUAAGCACGUCGUUAUCAAGCCCAUCAGGCGACUACGACAUGCGUUUCAGAUCACGACGCGGUAACAGGCCACAGCAGGGCAGCCGAGUCGACGGGGCAGAAGAUAAGUGAAGUUCAAUGUGGCGACGGGAGCUGGAUAUAUAAGCCGGUCGACGUCUCCUUCGGCCGGCGAGGUGGGACUAUAUUUGCUUUAGUUUCCCCUGGCGCGUCGUCCCGGCGGGGUUAGCUGGGCCGGCCCAUUGCGCGUCGAGCCGUCGAGAAGUCCGCGCCGUCCAUGGCCUUAUUGGGCCGGCCCACGUCGCGGCUGGCUGUCUCCACGUCGCCCCGCGGCCAACGCAAGUUUAGUCCCACCUCGCCGUCCGAAGGAGACGUCGACCGGCUUAUAUACCUGGCGCCCCGUCGCCACUUUGAACUUCUCUGAAUUGCUAUCCUGUCGUCGAGGCUGCCCUGUUGGGCCUGGUUUCCACGGCGUGUUCUGAAACGCCUGUUGUAGUCGCUAGGUUGGCUUGAUAAUGACGGGCUUAUUAGGACACGCUGUGGACGGGCGGGCUUUUUUUUCUAAACUAUUUUUUUGCUUUUCUAAACUAACACGCAGUGUGCUGCCAUAGUAUAGUGUACAGAAAAUAAACGACGACACGAUUACAUAUAUGUAAAUCUAAACAUUAUUGUUGUUUUUCUAAAUUACUUUUUGUUUUUCUAAACAAAAUCCCAGAGUUUUUUUUAAUAAUGCGCUACCAUAGUUUAGUGUACAGAAAAUAAACGACGACACGAUUACAUAGUUUAGUGUACAGAAAAAAAGACUGAUUAUAUAAAUUUUCUGAAACAAAAUAUCAUCUGGACAUAAAAAAGCAAUUAAGUAUAUAAUCUUUUUGAAACAAAAUAGUGGCCAAAUCAAUAAAUAUAUCUAUUACAUAAAAAUUAUAACAAAGUGUGCAUCGGGAAAGGAAAAUAUAGUCCUCCAGUAACACCCAAUCACAUGGAAAACUCCUCCGUGUCGCAUCUAUUUCUUCUUCUUUGAUAUCUGAAUAACUUUGUUUUUCACUUCAUCAAGCUUGUUUCUUUCCGAAAAGAUAAGUUGCGCCAUCAUUACCUCCCUCGAAUCAUCAAUUGACCUUUGAAAAAAAAAGUGGUGUUAGCACAGCGUACAUUGUACGUCGUAGUAAAAACAUUACAUGUGUACCUGUGAAAAUAAGCCUGUCCGUUUGUCACCAUCCCAAUAUUGAAAGCAUCGAAGGAGAAAUAUUACACAUGAAUUCCUAGUGCAUACAAUUUACGAAGAUUAAAUAUCUAUUGAACAUAUAGGAUCGACAUUCUGUCAAAGUAAGAACUCACCCAUCAUUUUGUUUUGGCAUGUCAUACGUUUGAAUAGUCCAUGUGGACACAUCCGGAUAAUUCACAACUCCAGUUGCAUUUGCUUCUUGGAUAUCUUCUCCUAGUUGUUUUCUCUAAAGAUAAAAUUAACAUGCUGGAAAGAAUGUCAUUCAGUAUAGUAAACAAAACGAAUGUUACCAAAUACACAAUUGAAAUUAAAACCUACCAGGUCCUCAACGAGUUGUCUAGUAACACUAUCAAGUUUUCCAGUCAUCAACGAGUCAAGAACCUGAAACUCUCUCUUCCCGCUAUGCAUGACGACAGUAACCCAGUGAGUGUUUCCCUUGUUUAGAGGAAUAUAAGUCUGCAUGACAACGAGCAUAAAACACAAUCAGCACAUAAUAUAGUAUGUAUAUACCGUGUAACCAAUCAAACUUACCUUUGGUUUUUUGAAAUACUCGUCCUCACAUCUAUUCACGGGUCCAUUACUAUGCGACUCUGCUUCAUAGUCGUUACCGGCGGUCUUCUUUCCGGGUCUAAUGUGAAGCAGCCAAUGUACCCUCCAAGUUUUCAACAUGAAACGAUCGUCAUUAACUUUGUCGGCCAAAAAUGAUGAGUAUGCAUUAAUUACCUAUAAAUAAUGUGUCAGAUUUGACAAUGGUAUUUUGGAAUCAAUUGUAAUACAAUAGAUGAAAUUAACUUACAUCGCCACUUAGCCACUCAUGGUUAAUAAUUUGACAAGCUCUCUGCACACUGAGACCAUCUUCUGUGCCAUCAUUGAAAAUUUCUGUUUUGGCAUGUUUUUGUGAAUACUCAUGCGCACGCACGUACGUGAUUGACGCUUUCACCACAUCAUACUCAUCACUAGAUUUGUUAACACCACCAUUUUGGAACAAUUCUGUAACACACAACUCAAAUACUUAUAAACGCAAUUAUAUAAAUAAUUAUUACGCAAGAACAAUUAGAAACACAAAAAACUUACUUCCUUUCGCAGAACGUUUUGCACGCUUGUUCGGUUUAGGGACCACAUAAGGAGACUUGACAUGUUGUGACCCUUUGCGCUUGCGCCUGCCAGUAACCUCCUCCGCUUCCUCUUCCACUCCUUGAGAACCAAGCGAUGCAUGCGAUGCGGUAUCGUCCGUCCCUAAAGAUGAGGCCGCUUUUUCAUCUGAUACUUCUGGUAUUUCGAUAGGAUCAUCCAUAUCACCCUUGAAACUAUCCAUGUACUCAGGAGUGCAGUAAAAAGGUGUGUUUCCACGAGAAGUUACAUCAACGCCGUCAUCAUCCUUUUGCAAAUUCAUUUUGGAAGGUGUACAGUGUUGGGGAACGUAGCAAUAAUUCAAAAUUUUCUACGCAUCACCAAGAUCAAUCUAUGGAGUCAUCUAGCAACGAGAGAGAGGAGUGCAUCUACAUACCAUUGUAGAUCGCGAGCGGAAGCGUUCAAGAGAACGAGGUUGAUGGAGUCGUACUCGUCGUGAUCCAAAUCACCGAUGAUCCUAGCGCCGAACGGACGGCACCUCCGCAUUCAACACACGUACGGAACAGCGACGUCUCCUCCUUCUUGAUCCAGCAAGGGGGAGGAGAGGUUGAUGGAGAUCCAGCAGCACGACGGCGUGGUGGUGGAAAUAGCGGGAUUCCAACAGGGCUUCGCCAAGCGCUGCGGGAGGAGGGAGAUGUGUCACGGGAGGGAGAGGGAGGCGCCAGGGCUUGGGGUUUGGCUGCCCUCCCUCCCCCCUCUUUAUAUAGGACCCCUGUGGGGGGGCGCCGGCCCUAGAGAUCCAAUCUCAAGGGGGGCGGCAGCCAAGGGGGAAACUUGCCCCCCAAGUCAGGUGGGGCACCCCCCACCCCCAGGGUUUCCAACCCUAGGCGCAGGGGGAGGCCCAUGGGGGGCGCACCAGCCCACCAGGGGCUGGUUCCCUUCCCACUUCAGCCCAUGGGGCCCUCCGGGAUAGGGGCCCCACCCGGUGGUCCCGGUACAAUACCGGUGACCCCCGAAACUUUCCCGAUGGCCGAAACUGGACUUCCUAUAUACAAAUCUUUACCUCCGGACCAUUCCGGAACUCCUCGUGAUGUCCGAGAUCUCAUCCGGGACUCCGAACAACUUUCGGGUUACCGCAUACUAAUAUCUCUACAACCCUAGCGUCACCGAACCUUAAGUGUGUAGACCCUACGGGUUCGGGAGACACGCAGACAUGACCGAGACGACUCUCCGGUCAAUAACCAACAGCGGGAUCUGGAUACCCAUGUUGGCUCCCACAUGCUCCUCGAUGAUCUCAUCGGAUGAACCACGAUGUCAAGGAUUCAAUCAAUCCCAUAUACAAUUCCCUCUGUCUAUCGGUAUGUUACUUGCCCAAGAUUCGAUCGUCGGUAUCCCAAUACCUCGUUCAAUCUCGUUACCGGCAAGUCUCUUUACUCGUUCCGUAACGCGUGAUCCCGUGGCUAACUCCUUAGUCACAUUGAGCUCAUUAUGAUGAUGCAUUACCGAGUGGGCCCAGAGAUACCUCUCCGUCAUACGGAGUGACAAAUCCCAGUCUCGAUUCGUGCCAACCCAACAGACACUUUCGGAGAUACCUGUAGUGCACCUUUAUAGCCACCCAGUUACGUUGUGACGUUUGGUACACCCAAAGCAUUCCUACGGUAUCCGGGAGUUGCACAAUCUCAUGGUCUAAGGAAAUGAUACUUGACAUUAGAAAAGCUCUUAGCAAACAAACUACACGAUCUUGUGCUAUGCUUAGGAUUGGGUCUUGUCCAUCACAUCAUUCUCCUAAUGAUGUGAUCCCGUUAUCAAUGACAUCCAAUGUCCAUGGUCAGGAAACCAUAACCAUCUCUUGAUCAACGAGCUAGUCAACUAGAGGCUUACUAGGGACAUGUUGUGGUCUAUGUAUUCACACAUGUAUUACGGUUUCCAGUUAAUACAAUUAUAGCAUGAACAACAGACAAUUAUCAUGAACAAGGAAAUAUAAUAAUAACCAUUUUAUUAUUGCCUCUAGGGCAUAUUUCCAACAGUCUCCCACUUGCACUAGAGUCAAUAAUCUAGUUCACAUCACCAUGUGAUUAACACUCAAAGUUCACAUCGCCAUGUGACUAAUACCCAAAAGUUUACUAGAGUCAAUAAUCUAGUUCACAUCACCAUGUGAUUAACACUCAAUGUGUUCUAGGGUUUGAUCAUGUUAUGCUUACGAGAGAGGUUUUAGUCAACGGGUCUGAACCUUUCAGAUCCGUGUGUGCUUUACAAAUCUCUAUGUCAUCUUGUAGAUGCAGCUACCACGCGCUACUUGGAGCUAUUCCAAAUAACUGCUCUACUAUACGAAUCCGGUUUACUACUCAGAGUCAUCCGGAUUAGUGUGAAAGUUGCAUCGACGUAACCCUUUACGAUGAACUCUUUCACCACCUCCAUAAUCGAGAAAAUUCCUUAGUCCACUAAUUACUAAGGAUAAGUUCGACCGCUGUCAUGUGAUCCAUUCCGGGAUCACUCUUGUACCCCUCGACUAAUUCAUGGCAAGGCACACUUCAGGUGCGGUACACAGCAUAGCAUACUGUAGAGCCUACGUCUAAAGCAUAGGGGACGACCUUCGUCCUUUCUCUCUCUUCUGUCGUGGUCAGGUCUUGAGUCUUACUCAAUACUCACACCUUGUAACACAGCCAAGAACUCCUUCUUUGCUGAUCUAUCUUGAACUCCUUCAAAAUCUUGUCACGGUAUGUAUUCAUUUGAAAGUACUAUUAAGCGUUUUUGAUCUAUCCUUAUAGAUCUUGAUGCUCAAUGUUCAAGUAGCUUAAUCCAGGUUUUCCAUUGAAAAACACUUUUCAAACAACCUUAUAUGCUUUCCAGAAAUUCUACAUCAUUUCUGAUCAACAAUAUGUUAACAACAUAUACUCAUCAAAAAUUCUAUAGUGCUCCCACUCACUUCUUUGGAAAUACAAGUUUCUCAUAAACUUUGUAAAAACCCAAAAUGUUUGAUCAUUUCAUCAAAGCGUACAUUCCAACUCCAAGAUGCUUACUCCAAUCCUUAGAAGGAUUGCUGGAGCUUUGCAUACUUGUUAGCAUCUUUCAGGAUUGACAAAACCUUCUGGUUGUAUCAAAUACAACCUUUCCUCAAGAAAAUCGUCGAGGAAACAAUGUUUUUGACAUCCUAUCUGCAAGAUUUCAUAAAUAAUGCAGUAACUGCUAAUAUAAUUCCAACAGACUCUUAGCAUCGCUACGAGUGAGAAAGUCUCAUUGCAGUCAACUCCUUGAACUUGUGGGAAAACAUCUUAAGGACAAGUCGAGCUUUCUUAAUGGUGACACUUACCAUCAUUGUCCAUCUUCCUUUUAAAAUCCAUCUGCACCCAACAGCCUUACGACCAUCAAGUAGUUCUUCCAAAGUCUAUACUUUGUUUUCACACAUGGAUCCUCUCGGAUUUUAUGGCCUCGAGCCAUUCGUCGGAAUCCGGGCCGACCAUCGCUUCUCCAUAGCUCGUAGGUUCAUUGUUGUCUAGCAACAUGACUUCCAAGACAGGAUUACGUACCACUCUGAAGUAGUACGCAUCCUUGUCGACCUACGAGGUUUGGUAGUGACUUGAUCUGAAGUUUCAUGAUCACUAUCAUAAGCUUCCACUUCAAUUGGUAUAGGUACCACAGGAACAACUUCCUGUGCCCUGCUACACACUAGUUGAAGUGACGGUUCAAUAACCUCAUCAAGUCUCCACCAUCCUCCCACUCAAUUCUUUCGAGAGAAACUUUUCCUCGAGAAAGGACCUGUUUCUAGAAACAAUCACUUUGCUUCCGGAUCUAAAAUAGGAGGUAUACCCAACUGUUUUGGGUAUUCUAUGAAGAUGCAUUUAUCCGCUUUGGGUUCGAGCUUAUCAGCCUGAAAUUUUUCCACAUAAGCGUCACAGCCCCAAACUUUUAAGAAACGAUAGCUUAGGUUUCUCUAAACCAUAGUUCAUACGGUGUUGUCUCAACGGAAUUGCGUGGUGCCCUAUUUAAAGUGAAUGCGGUUGUCUCUAAUGCCUAACCCAUAAACGAUAGUGUAAUUCGAUAAGAGACAUCAUGGUAUGCACCAUAUCCAAUAGGGUGCAGUUAUGAUGUUCGGACACACCAUCACACUAUGGUGUUCCAGGCGGUAUUAGUCGUGAAACAAUUUCCACAAUUUCUUAAUUGUGUGCCAAACUCGUAACUUAGAUAUUCAUCUCUAUGAUCAUAUCACAGACAUUUUAUCCUCUUGUCACGACGAUCUUCAACUUCACUCUGAAAUUACUUGAACCUUUCAAUAAUUCAGACUUGGGUUUCAUCAAGUAAAUAUUCUUAGCAUCUACUCAAAUCAUCUGUGAAGUAAGAACAUAACGAUAUCCACUGCGUGCCUCAGCACUCAUUGGACUGCACACAUCAAAUGUAUUACUUCCAACAAGUUGCUCUCUUGUUCCAUCUUACUGAAAACGAGGCCUUUCAGUCAUCUUGCCCAUGUGGUAUGAUUUGCAUGUCUCAAGUGAUUCAAAAUCAAGUGAGUCCAAACGAUCCAUCUAUAUGGACUUUCUUCAUGCAUAUAUACUAAUAGACAUGGUUCGCAUGUCUCAAUCUUUUCAAAAACGAGUGAGUCCAAAGAUCCAUCAACAUGGAGCUUCUUCAUGCGUUUUAUACCAAUAUGACUCAAGUGGCAGUGCCACAAGUAUGUGGUACUAUCUUAUAUCUUUUGGCAUGAACAUGUGUAUCACUACGAUCGUGAUUCAAUAAACCAUUCAUUUUAAGUGCAAGACCAUUGAAGGUAUUAUUCAAAUAGACAGAGUAACCAUUAUUCUCCUUAAAUGAAUAACUGUAUUGCGAUAAACAUAAUCCAAUCAUGUCUAUGCUCAACGCAAACACCAAAUAACAAUUAUUUAGGUUUAACACCAAUCUCGAUGGUAGAGGGAGCAUGCGAUGCUUGAUCACAUCAACCUUGGAAACACUUCCAACACAUAUCGUCAUCUCACCUUUAGCUAGUCUCCGUUUAUUCCGUAGCCUUUUAUUUCGAGUUACCAACACUUAGCAACCGAACCGGUAUCUAAUACCCUAGUGCUACUAGGAGUAUUAGUAAAGUACACAUUAAUAUAAUGUAUAUCCAAUAUACUUCUGUCGACCUUGCCUGCCUUCUCAUCUACCAAGUAUCUAGGGUAGUUCUGCUUCAGUGACCGUUCCCCUCAUUACAGAAGCACUUAGUCUCGGGUUUGGGUUCAACCUUGGGUUUCUUCACUAGAGCAGCAACUGAUUUGCCAUUUCAUGGAGUAUCCCUUCUUUCCCUUGCCCUUCUUGAAACUAGUGGUUUUACCAACCAUCAGCAAUUGAUGCUCCUACUUGAUUUCUACUUUCGCGGUGUCAAACAUCGCGAGUUGCUCAAGGAUCAUCAUGUCUAUCCCUGAUAUGUUAUAGUUCAUCACGAAGCUCUAAUAGCUUGGUGGCAGUGACUAUGGAGAACCAUCACUAUCUCAUCUGGGAGAUUAACUCCCACUCGAUUCAAGCGAUUGUAGUACUCAGACAAUCUGAGCAGAUGCUCAACGAUUGAGUUUUUCUCCCUUAGUUUGCAGGCUUAAGAAACUUGUCAGAGGUCUCAUACCUCUUGACGUGGGCACCAGUCUGAAAUCCCAAUUUCAGUCUUUGGAACAUCUCAUAUGUUCUGCGACGUUUCAAAAACGUCUUUGGCGCCUUAAUUCUAAACCGUUAGCAUUACGCACUGAACUAUCACGUAGUCAUCAAAACGUGUAUGUCAGAUGUUCGCAACAUCCACAGACGACGCUCGAGGUUCACACACCGAGCGGUGCAUUAAGGACAUAAGCCUUCUGCGUAGCAAUGAGGAUAAUCCUCAGUUUACGGACCCAGUCCGCAUAAUUUCUACUAUCAACUUUCAACUAAAUUUUCUCUAGGAACAUAUCUUAAACAGUAGAACCAAAGCGUAAGCUACGACAUAAUUUGCAAAGACCUUUUGACUAUGUUCAUGAUAAUUAAGUUCAUCUUAUUAUUUAAUGAACUCCCACUUAGAUAGACAUCCCUCUAGUCAUCUAAGUGAUACAUGAUCCGAAUCGACUAGACCGUGUCCGAUCAUCACGUGAGACGGACUAGUCAUCAACGGUGAACAUCUCCAUGUUGAUCGUAUCUACUAUACGACUCAUGUUCGACCUUUCGGUCUCUUGUGUUCCGAGUCCAUGUCUGUACAUGCUAGGCUCGUCAAGUCAACCUAAGUGUUUCGCAUGUGUAAAUCUGGCUUACACCCGUUGUAUGCGAACGUUAGAAUCUAUCACACCCGAUCAUCACGUGGUGCUUCGAAACAACGAACCUUCGCAACGGUGCACAGUUAGGGGGAACACGUCUCUUGAAAUUUUAGUGAGGGAUCAUCUUAUUUAUGCUACCGUCGUUCUAAGCAAAUAAGAUGUAAACAUGACAAACAUCACAUGCAAAUCAUAAAGUGACAUGAUAUGGCCAAUAUCAUCUUGCGCCUUUUGAUCUCCAUCUUCGAGGCGCGGCAUGAUCACCUUCGUCACCGGCAUGACACCAUGAUCUACAUCAUCAUGAUCUCCAUCAUCGUGUCUUCAUGAAGUUGUCUCGCCAACUAUUACUUCUACUACUAUGGCUAACGGUUAGCAAUAAAGUAAAGUAAUUACAUGGCGUUUUCAUUGACACGCAGGUCAUACAAUAAAUUAAGACAACUCCUAUGGCUCCUGCCGGUUGUCAUACUCAUCGACAUGCAAGUCGUGAUUCCUAUUACAAGAACAUGAUCAAUCUCAUACAUCACAUAUAUCAUUCAUCACAUCCUUUUGGCCAUAUCACAUCACAUAGCAUACCCUGCAAAAACAAGUUAGACGUCCUCUAAUUGUUGUUGCAUGUUUUACGUGGCUGCUAUGGGUUUCUAGCAAGAACGUUUCUUACCUACGCAAAAGCCACAACGGUGAUAUGCCAAUUUCUAUUUACCCUUCAUAAGGACCCUUUUCAUCGAAUCCGAUCCGACUAAAGUGGGAGAGACAGACACCCGCUAGCCACCUUAUGCAUCAAGUGCAUGUCAGUCGGUGGAACCUGUCUCACGUAAGAGUACGUGUAAGGUCGGUCCGGGCCGCUUCAUCCCACAAUGCCGCCGAAUCAAGAUAAGACUAGUAACGGCAAGCAAAUUGAACAAAUCAUCGCCCACAACUACUUUGUGUUCUACUCGUGCAUAGAAUCUACGCAUAAACCUGGCUCAUGAUGCCACUGUUGGGGAACGUAGCAAUAAUUCAAAAUUUUCUACGCAUCACCAAGAUCAAUCUAUGGAGUCAUCUAGCAACGAGAGAGAGGAGUGCAUCUACAUACCCUUGUAGAUCGCGAGCGGAAGCGUUCAAGAGAACGGGGUUGAUGGAGUCGUACUCGUCGUGAUCCAAAUCACCGAUGAUCCUAGCGCCGAACGGACGGCACCUCCGUGUUCAACACACGUACGGAACAGCGACGUCUCCUCCUUCUUGAUCCAGCAGGGGGGAGGAGAGGUUCAUGGAGAUCAAGCAGCACGACGGCGUGGUGGUGGAAGUAGCGGGAUUCCAACAGGGCUUCGCCAAGCGCUGCGGGAGGAGGGAGAUGUGUCACGGGAGGGAGAGGGAGGCGCCAGGGCUUGGGGUUUGGCUGCCCUCCCUCCCCCUCUUUAUAUAGGGCCCCUGUGGGGGGGCGCCGACCCUAGAGAUCCAAUCUCAAGGGGGGGGCGGCCAAGGGGGAAACUUGCCCCCCAAGUCAGGUGGGGCGCCCCCCACCCCCAGGGUUUCCAACCCUAGGCGCAGGGGGAGGCCCAUGGGGGGCGCACCAGCCCACCAGGGGCUGGUUCCCUUCCCACUUCAGCCCAUGGGGCCCUCCGGGAUAGGUGGCCCCACCCGGUGGUCCCCCGGGACCCUUCCGGUGGUCCCGGUACAAUACCGGUGACCCCCGAAACUUUCCCGGUGGCCGAAACUGGACUUCCUAUAUACAAAUCUUUACCUCCGGACCAUUCCGGAACUCCUCGUGAUGUCCGAGAUCUCAUCCGGGACUCCGAACAACUUUCGGGUUACCGCAUACUAAUAUCUCUACAACCCUAGCGUCACCGAACCUUAAGUGUGUAGACCCUACGGGUUCGGGAGACACGCAGACAUGACCGAGACGACUCUCCGGUCAAUAACCAACAGCGGGAUCUGGAUACCCAUGUUGGCUCCCACAUGCUCCUCGAUGAUCUCAUCGGAUGAGCCUCGAUGUCGAGGAUUCAAUCAAUCCCGUAUACAAUUCCCUUUGUCUAUCGGUAUGUUACUUGCCCGAGAUUCGAUCGUCGGUAUCCCAAUACCUCGUUCAAUCUCGUUACUGGCAAGUCUCUUUACUUGUUCCGUAACGCAUGAUCCCAUGGCUAACUCCUUAGUCACAUUGAGCUCAUUAUGAUGAUGCAUUACCGAGUGGGCCCAGAGAUACCUCUCCGUCAUACGGAGUGACAAAUCCCAGUCUCGAUUCGUGCCAACCCAACAGACACUUUCGGAGAUACCUGUAGUGCACCUUUAUAGCCACCCAGUUACGUUGUGACGUUUGGUACACCCAAAGCAUUCCUACGGUAUCCGGGAGUUGCACAAUCUCAUGGUCUAAGGAAAUGAUACUUGACAUUAGAAAAGCUCUUAGCAAACGAACUUCACGAUCUUGUGCUAUGCUUAGGAUUGGGUCUUGUCCAUCACAUCAUUCUCCUAAUGAUGUGAUCCCAUUAUCAAUGACAUCCAAUGUCCAUGGUCAGGAAACCAUAACCAUCUCUUGAUCAACGAGCUAGUCAACUAGAGGCUUACUAGGGACAUGUUGUGGUCUAUGUAUUCACACAUGUAUUACCGUUUCCAGUUAAUACAAUUAUAACGUGAACAAUAGACAAUUAUCAUGAACAAGGAAAUAUAAUAAUAACCAUUUUAUUAUUUCCUCUAGGGCAUAUUUCCAACAUACGGAACUGGUCUGAAUCAUCUUUUUGAUAUACAAACUCUUUUUCCGGAAAUUCACCAUCGUUUCCAGACUCAUUAAUGCCUCCGUAUAGAUUCUCUUCUUCUUCUUCGAGGUUACCGGGUUUGUAGAGGACACCGGUUUUGUUCAGUUUCUCAAUCAUCCUCUGCAAGAAAAUAUUUCAUCUUAGUUCUUCAAUAAAGUGAUGGACAUUAAAGUGCAUGCUCAAGUGUUACCUGUGCACAUAACUCUGGCAAACGAAGCAUUUCCUUCCGAAGCUCAUUAAUCUCACUCAAAAUCCGGUCCAUAGUAGGCUUCUGGCUCGAAGCCUCCGAGGUACUGCCCUCUUUCCUCCUUCCAGUAACGUUAGAUUUUUUGGUACUAGCUUUCUUAGUUUUUUCAGCUUCUUCUCCAAUUUUUUUCAGCUUGUACUCCUCUGUAAUGUUGUCAUCGAUCUACAAAUGCAACAAGAGAAUUAUACAUACAAAUCAUAUUAACACUUAAUUUUAUUUCAUAAAUGUAAAACAAAACAAGAUUACUCGGAUUACCAUCCCAACACCACGACCAUAUUCAUAGUCGUAUUUGUCUCUUCUCACAGCCAUAUCUUCCGUCCAGUUCCUCAUCAGUGGGCUCAACAAUGCCAACGGAUCAUAUUUUGGACCGAUGACUGGUUGCACCUUCUCCCAGUAUAGGUACUGCAAAACACAUAAACUAAUUAAAUAACAUGUUCUUCGAUAACAUUAUAUAAGAAAAAUGUUAAAAUUAAUAAAAAGAACGUACUUGCAAAAGGGCCAGGUUCCCCUGUGGCCACUGCCUAACAUGGCCGUCCUGCAGAAGCUUGCCAAUCUCCGACAAACAGAAUCGCGAAGUGAAUGCAUUCCAGUUGAACUUCCUUAUCAACUUAAUAUUUUGCACUAAGGCAUAGUACUUCUUCGGAACGUAUUCAUGAGACACUGGUGCAAUUAUAGUUCCUAAGAGAACUAGAAACGUCAUCCGAAUAAAGUCAUCGUCCGUGGUCUUAUUCCUCACAAUCUUUUCGAUCAGAUCAUCAAUCAUGAUCUUACCAUUUUUUUUAACAAAACUAACUGGUAUUUUUUUGGUUGCUUUUUCUCCUUCUGUACUAAGAAAACCAAAAACAUCCACUCCAUUGUUUUUCCAACCAAAUAUGGAGUACACAUCAUCAGGCCUUAGUGAAAUAAGGCCUUUACUUCCAGCACUACUUCCAGAACUCUCUUGGACCAUGAAUUUUUUGCUACUUGGAUUGUAACCUUGGAGUAAAAAAUGAAGCAAAAAAUCACGCAUCUUUAUCGAUGGUAUUCUGAACAUGCCCUGCAUAUUCGUUUCAUAAAACCUGAAUUUCUGACUUGGUGACAAUCUGUCAACUAGACUAACCCACUUUUCAACAGAACAUGGAAUCACACCGUCGAUAUUCAUACUGCACGAAAUAGUGUUCUGUCACAUACCAUGGUACUGCUAUGACCUUCUUCGUAUAAAAAACACAGACACAAAAAAACUUACACGACGACGGCGGUGGGAGAGGCACCGGCGGCGUAGAGACGGCGACGGGUCAGGGCAGGCAGGCCGGCGCGGGCGCACCUGCGACGUUUGGACGGUGGGGCGACGGGCGGCGUACGUCGGCAGUACGUGUAGAUCGCGGCGGCGGCGAGACGGGCCGGAGGAAACUUAGACGGGAUAGAAGGUAUGUUUGCAUGCACGUCGGCUAAGGACGUCGCCCGAGCGCUGAUUGCGGCGGCGUUGUUAGUGGGACGGCCCCAUGCACGCAUGCGCGUCGGUUAGCGAGACGCCCGGCGUUUUUUAUUUUCUUUUUAGAUAGACGGCCUCAUUAUUUUAACUUAAACGAACGGGCUCAUUUUUAACUUAAUCAAACGGGUUAAUUUUUUUAACUUAAUCGAACGGGCAUUUUUUUCACGUGCUACAAUGACCGUGGCAAGCACGCAUGCCAAAUUUUUUUCGAGUUUCGACACUGUAUGGAUUUUCUACGAUUUUCUGGGCCGAAAACCCCUAAAAUACUGCCCAGACGUGACGCAACGUGCGUUCGUUGUCGGAUUUCGUUCAUUUUUGGCGUGGGGUGCCCGGGUGGGCCCCACACGCGCUGGCAAAAGUUGGGUGCAUUCCGUGAAACCGCUCAGGUACUUGGUGUGGAAGGCGGUGGUUUCGGUAUGGGCGGAGGGGGCCCUCGGUCGUACGCCUCUCCUUCGCAUCCGCCAAACGGGCUCAUUUUUNNNNNNNNNNNNNNNNNNNNNNNNNNNNNNNNNNNNNNNNNNNNNNNNNNNNNNNNNNNNNNNNNNNNNNNNNNNNNNNNNNNNNNNNNNNNNNNNNNNNNNNNNNNNNNNNNNNNNNNNNNNNNNNNNNNNNNNNNNNNNNNNNNNNNNNNNNNNNNNNNNNNNNNNNNNNNNNNNNNNNNNNNNNNNNNNNNNNNNNNNNNNNNNNNNNNNNNNNNNNNNNNNNNNNNNNNNNNNNNNNNNNNNNNNNNNNNNNNNNNNNNNNNNNNNNNNNNNNNNNNNNNNNNNNNNNNNNNNNNNNNNNNNNNNNNNNNNNNNNNNNNNNNNNNNNNNNNNNNNNNNNNNNNNNNNNNNNNNNNNNNNNNNNNNNNNNNNNNNNNNNNNNNNNNNNNNNNNNNNNNNNNNNNNNNNNNNNNNNNNNNNNNNNNNNNNNNNNNNNNNNNNNNNNNNNNNNNNNNNNNNNNNNNNNNNNNNNNNNNNNNNNNNNNNNNNNNNNNNNNNNNNNNNNNNNNNNNNNNNNNNNNNNNNNNNNNNNNNNNNNNNNNNNNNNNNNNNNNNNNNNNNNNNNNNNNNNNNNNNNNNNNNNNNNNNNNNNNNNNNNNNNNNNNNNNNNNNNNNNNNNNNNNNNNNNNNNNNNNNNNNNNNNNNNNNNNNNNNNNNNNNNNNNNNNNNNNNNNNNNNNNNNNNNNNNNNNNNNNNNNNNNNNNNNNNNNNNNNNNNNNNNNNNNNNNNNNNNNNNNNNNNNNNNNNNNNNNNNNNNNNNNNNNNNNNNNNNNNNNNNNNNNNNNNNNNNNNNNNNNNNNNNNNNNNNNNNNNNNNNNNNNNNNNNNNNNNNNNNNNNNNNNNNNNNNNNNNNNNNNNNNNNNNNNNNNNNNNNNNNNNNNNNNNNNNNNNNNNNNNNNNNNNNNNNNNNNNNNNNNNNNNNNNNNNNNNNNNNNNNNNNNNNNNNNNNNNNNNNNNNNNNNNNNNNNNNNNNNNNNNNNNNNNNNNNNNNNNNNNNNNNNNNNNNNNNNNNNNNNNNNNNNNNNNNNNNNNNNNNNNNNNNNNNNNNNNNNNNNNNNNNNNNNNNNNNNNNNNNNNNNNNNNNNNNNNNNNNNNNNNNNNNNNNNNNNNNNNNNNNNNNNNNNNNNNNNNNNNNNNNNNNNNNNNNNNNNNNNNNNNNNNNNNNNNNNNNNNNNNNNNNNNNNNNNNNNNNNNNNNNNNNNNNNNNNNNNNNNNNNNNNNNNNNNNNNNNNNNNNNNNNNNNNNNNNNNNNNNNNNNNNNNNNNNNNNNNNNNNNNNNNNNNNNNNNNNNNNNNNNNNNNNNNNNNNNNNNNNNNNNNNNNNNNNNNNNNNNNNNNNNNNNNNNNNNNNNNNNNNNNNNNNNNNNNNNNNNNNNNNNNNNNNNNNNNNNNNNNNNNNNNNNNNNNNNNNNNNNNNNNNNNNNNNNNNNNNNNNNNNNNNNNNNNNNNNNNNNNNNNNNNNNNNNNNNNNNNNNNNNNNNNNNNNNNNNNNNNNNNNNNNNNNNNNNNNNNNNNNNNNNNNNNNNNNNNNNNNNNNNNNNNNNNNNNNNNNNNNNNNNNNNNNGUAUGGAUUUUCUACGAUUUUCUAGGCCGAAAACCCCUAAAAUACUGCCCGGACGUGACGCAACGUGCGUUCGUUGUCGGAUUUCGUUCAUUUUUGGCGUCGGGUGCCUGGGUGGGGCCCCACACGCGCUGGCAAAAGUUGGGUGCAUUCCGUGAAACCGCUCAGGUACUUGGUGUGGAAGGCGGUGGUUUCGGUAUGGGCGGAGGGGGCCCUCGGUCGUUCACCUCUCCUUCGCAUCCGCCAAACGGGCUCAUUUUUUUCCACGUGCUACAAUGACCGUGGCAAGCACGCACACCAAAUGCAUGUGGAAGGCAGUGGUUUCCGUAAGGGGGAACGGAUCCCCUUGCAUAUCUCCUCUUCGCAUCCGCCAAACGGUAUCACAUUUUCUUCACGGGCUACAUUGACCAUGGCAAGCAUGUAUGCCAAAAAAAACCUACAAUAGUCCCCGGACGUGACGCAAACUUUUUUCACACGUCGAUUUUCGUGUCUUUCAAUUUUCCUAUUUUCUAUCUUUUUUUUCAUUCACUUCGAAUUGUCAGAGUCUAUAAGAUAGUACGGCUUAUUUCUUUAAUCAAUGAAUUGUUUUAUAAAUCUUGAUUUAAAAUGAUGACAUCCAUUUUCCCUCAUUUGAAAUGAUCAACUUUUUUUCUAUAAAUGUCCAACUUUUUAAAAUAUUCUAAAACUAGACAAACGCGUUUGCGGCUGUAUUUUUGGCGAUUCUACAUGCUAUCGAUAUGGUGACGAAUCGAUCAACACAGAUGAAAGGUGUGUGUUGUUGUAGUAUUUUAAUGGUGGCAGGAGAAGCCUUCAAGAGAAUCGGAUAUGUUUUAAUUUCUUUUCGCUAACUUCUAUUUUACAAAAUGAUUCAAAAUUUAAAAACAUUUUCCGAUAUUUCAUAGUAAUUUGCAUCUAAAAUUCAUUCAAACAUAAGGAUAGUUCAUUAAACCUUACGACAAAGGGUUCAUUUUACAUUCGAACAUAACGAAACUUAAUUAAACAUAAAAGGACCUAAUCUAAAUUAAUUAAACAUAAGAGGACCUAAUCUAAACCUAAUCUACCCGUCGUCGUCGGACGCGGCGAGGUCCACGAUCUCGCCCGCACCGCCGUCACCGUCGUCAUUGUUGCUGCUCUUUCCGGCGUCGCCCCAGUCGACGGCGUCGUCCUCCACCGGAGCCGCCUGCGCCGGUGCCUGCACCGUACCCGUAGCCGCCGCCGCAUCCAGUGCCGCCUGCAGCUCGGCAGCCUCUGCAGCCGCCGCCAUAGCCGCCGCGGCGUCUAGUGCCGCCUGCAGCUUGGCGGCCUCUCUGGCCUCUGCCGCCGCCGCUUCUGCCUGCGACGCCCGUAGGGCGAUGAGGUAGCCGGGGCAGUCGUCCGGGUCGCCGUCCUCACGCGGCGCGAACUGCUCCGGCGGGAUCUCGACGGCGGGAGGGGCGGCGGGCCCGGCGAGCAUGGGCACCGGACGGCGGGAGGAGCUUGGGGACGGCGCCGGAGGGGGACGGCGGGGCCGGCGCGGGGCAGACGACGGGCCGCCCGUCUCCGAAUCCCGACGAGCCUGGGCGACGACCUUCCAGAAGUCCUUGCCCAUCCAAAACCUUGUACGGUCGGCAAUAUUCCAGCGGCCGCCCUCGUGCCGGCGGAGCUCUUCCGGCGUCGCGCCGGGCCCCCUCGUCGGGUACCCGUCGGCGGUGAUGUGGAAGAUGUGCGGCAGACGGCAGCCCGGCGGCACCAUCAGCCCGAGCCAGAUGAGCUCGUCCGUGUCCGGCGUGCCCAUGCUCGUCGGCCACGCGCCGCCACGGCCGUCCGUGCCACCGCUGCCGCCGGACGCCAUGGCUGCCGUCAAGAAGGACGUGGGGGAGGCAGACGGCGCGUCUGAUGGAUGGCGUCGGUGGGUGAGGUGAGUGGGGGUGGGGGAGGCAGACGGGAAGGUGGGGGCGAUUUAACAUCGGGGCGGGGCGGCGGUAGGUGACCGACGCAGCGGCUUAACGCCGGCCUUAAUGGCGCAUCGGGGGCGGCGGCCGCCUCGGGAACCGUCCCUUGACCGACGCCACGCAACCGUCCUAGCGACGUGUUUUUUUUCCUUUGACCACGACAGCUGGUCGUCGUACGUAGACGGGCGGGCGCGUGUACGUGCACUCGCUGUACAUGACACGAUGCGGGAACAGCCCCGUUGCGCGGGCGGCGGCUUUUUUGUGAUGAGACAAUCAUACCUUUUUAAUGAAGGGGUAUGGAACGAUCUCAGCCGUUGUUGUAUUUAGAGAGUUGUACUGAAGAAGAAGCGUCCGUUACCACUUCCUUUCAACGAUCGACACGUAAACUUAGAAAAGGAGGCGACCACUGGACGCAUCGGACCAACGGGAACCAUCGCGUCGUAUUCGCGUGGGGAGAAAUGGUGCUUACGGCCAACCACAGGCGAGGUACGUACAGCGACUUGGAAGGGUCGCUUGCACGGGCCAUCCUCCCUGACAUGACAACUGAGAUCCUAAACUCGCUCCCAGAAUUUAAUUUCCUUUUGAGACCAGGGAAGCAGACAGCAAAAGAUCAAGAGAGAGUGUAGUCCGCACGCGCUGCUGUGGUGUAUCACAGGACAGAGGGACGGCCAUUUACGUACACACUAUUGGAUCAAGCUGAAGGGGGUAUGCGUGAGAGGGCCUGACCCGUUGAUGAAAAACCUGUUGAACAUCCAGUUAAUAUAGUCGAAUUUUGAGGCAUUGUUUAAUAGACUUAAUUUGCAUGCUAUGUAUUGAUGAUUUGCGCUAUUUUCUAUCCAAAAAUUGAUGAAUACCGGCUUAUUUGUAUGAAUUUCGUUAUGUUAGUUCAAAUGUGAGUUGAAAUGUAUCCGACCAGUGUUGGAUGGCGGCCUCCCGCAUACAUGUCCGUGGAUUGGGGAGGACUGGUUCCCCUGGCCGCGGACGGAUGGGGGAAAACUUACGGGUCGCCGUUGGGAUGCCGUUACGCCGGCAUGCACAGAAGGACUAAGUGCUCGGGGCCGAUUUGGUGCGUAUAUAUGUGUCGAUAGUGGGUCCGUGAUCACGACUCUACGUAGCAGUACCAUGGGCGGCCGGACAACUCUUCGGGAUUUGCAUGGUGAGGACUGAGGAGGCGCCUCAGGGUAUGACCAAUGCAUUACCCGAGGGUGAUGCCCCAUGGACCACGUAGGAUCGGAUGUCAGAAAAAGUAGAUUCGGAUUGAGCAGCGAGAUCCUCUACAAGAGGCGAGUGCUUAGGAAGAAAAAGUGUGGUCCGGUGCAUAAAGCUGGAAAUGUUAAAGUUGAGAGUAGAGAUGCAUGUGUAGUGGGAGUCUUUGUUUUCAAUUCUUUGAUCAGGUACACUAGGGUAGCUUGUAUUGGGAAGAGAAAAUCAAUAUAAAGGUCUCAAACUACGUUUUGUCAUGAGGCAUACGUAUCCAUAUGUCAUUAUUGUACAUGCCCUAAUUUGCUUGCAACGUUGGGAGGGAGAGUGUAAUUUAACAGGUGACAGCUAGUUGCUCUGCGACAUUAUCCACGGCAUCACCGUGACGCCAUGUUCACUGCAGCGACGAGUGGUCUAACGGACGGCGGAAUCACAAGUUAGGACGAUAUUAUUUUAAAUGCUGCCUUCGCCUAGGUUUGGAGAGCUCGGCCACCUCUCGUUGCUUUCGGCUUUCCUGCCGACGUCACGUUACGAUCGGGUCAUCUCAUCGGAACUCCGACGAGGCAUGCAACUGGUGCAACGAGACGCCGUGCAUCGCCACCAAUGGACUUGGACUCGACCUCUCGGGAGAGACGGCCGGCGACCGACGACGUGCCUAUACUCCCGGUCGGCUGAUUAACUAUCCAGUCCAGCGUCCAAAUUGAAAGGACUGCGGCGUCGACUCGAGUCGAGUCGACCGGGCUACGCCGGCCUGCGUGCUGCGUGGUGAUCAGGCGGGUGGAUAUAGGUUUUCACUGCUCUGGACUGGAGUGGCCGACUUGCGACUAUGCACGGCGUGGACUCGUUGUCGAUCGAUCGGAGUACGUGGCAAACGUCGCUACCGCUAUGUAUAUUCUGCCAAGUGCCAAGUAAACUUGGCUGCAAAGGAGUAUAUACCUACACAAGGGAACGUCGAAAACACGUCCAGAUAGGAAUAUGCACGGUCAGUGCACACGCCUUUACAGCAAGUUUCUCGAAUGGGCCAAGAAGAAGAUGCAUGGACGGUGGUCAAUUCGAAUCCGUUACUGCUUUGUACUCUACAGUCUACAUGGUACGUUUUUUUCCGGGAUACACUGCUUUCUACGAUUGACAGGUCCCGAAAGAAGUCGCGAGAGAAAGGCUACCAUUGGACAGACCACGUUACAGCGACCUGGAAGCCUGCCGUCUUCACCCGUCCUGGCUCUCUUGGGCAAGUCGCUUGCACGGGUCACCGUGCAGGACAGCAGGAGACCGAUCAUAAGCUCCUCCAAAAACUCAAUUUGAGAUAAAAGGCCGGGGAAUCAAAUAGCAACAGAUCGAGAGAGGAGAAAGAGACGCCCAUCCAGACCUUCAAACCGCGUAUGUCCUAAGCGCGUGGUCCGGACGUAUUUUGCUAUCCAAUGCAGGACGUUAUUGUCAGUCCGGACUUUUCUCAUAAAUUAGAAAAAGGGGUUGCGGGAAUCCAGACAGCAGACACGUAGGACUCUGACACAUCUAACCCAUCCAAACCUCCUUCCCGGUCUCAUUUUCUUCCACUCCGCCCCUGCUGCCCCAUUGCUUUGCAUCCGCACCCUCCUCCUCUGACGAUGUCGCUGUAUGACUUUAUCUAUCCGGCCGCCACACAGGCAUUAUCGGAUGUCCGCAAUCACCACCCACGCGCACGCUUAUCUUAUACUACGGGGUCGUCCACCCAGGAUCCGCCCACAUCUAGGUACCUCUGCCCCCCCCCCCUGGUCGACUACGUCCAUGGCGAUCACCACAGCCGACAGAUGUCCGACCAAAUGCCGUUGAGCUUAUUUUCAAACUUCAUGUCAUUUUUUUAGAGUAUGAAGGAUGGCGGGGUACUCGAGAAGAGAGGGUGAGUUGUUGUUGAAAGAACAUGCGGUGCCCCCAUGUUUCGUUUUGGUAAUUGAUGACAAUCUCUAUGGACUAAUGGUUGCCUUGAGUUAUAUUUGAAGGAUUUGUCCAUAGGCAUUUCUUGAAGUCCAUGUGUUGGUUUCAAGGAGUUUAUGUGGUGACCAAGGUGUUAUUAAGGAAUUAUCCAAAGAUUGGUCAUGUGAGAGUUGAGCUUAUUGCAAGCAUGUCCUGAAGAAGAAGAUUGUGUGAUCAUUCAUGUUUACCUUCAAGACAUCAUCCAAAUGAAGAGAGUUGGAAAGAGUCAAGGUUGAUCAAGACUAAGUCAAGAGUGAAUCAAGUUGAUCAACACACAAAGCGCACAAGAUGUACCGAGAGGGAUCAAGCGAUCCCAUGGUGUGGUGAGCAUUGUCAAUUACGUUUUGUGUACUAACCCAUGAUCUUCGUGAGAGUUCUUUGUGGGGUUAGGUUGCGGUGUGCAAGUUCAAGUGAAGCAUCAUGAAGAGAUCAAAUGCUUGAAGCUUGCCGUCCAUUGUGGUAACAAUGGACUUGUGAAGAUGUGCGGAAGAGUGGCUCACCCAUAGUGGAGCAUGGGGGAGCAAUCAACUAGUCUUCAUCGAGCCAACGCAACCAAGAAAGGUGGUCCAACUUGCGGGAGUCAAGAUCGUCAACAUCUAGCUCAAGUGGACCAUGUGCAAGGCAAAGGUUUGCCCUUGAUAGGUUUUCUAUUUUACCGGUCUCAUGCUGGUAGUUGGGAGACCGGGUUAUAGGAUCGAUUGUCGUACUAUCAAGGGGGGCUCUCGAUGAGUAGCUUGAUCGUAUCAUUCGUAGAGAGCUCAAAUCAUUGCAUCCUUGCAUCAUCUUUAUUGGUUCUUGUUCGGUUCUUCUCUUUGUGAGUUUUGGAGCUUAUGGUCAUCUUGAUGACAAGCUCGAGUUCAUCGAAAACGGAGUUCACUCGCACCUUCUAUGAUGUUUUCGAUGUUGGAGGUUAUGCCGGUUCUUCUCGGUUGGAGGUUUCACUCCUCUAUUUGUUGGCAUACCUCCCCUGCCUCUUCUCACUAUAACCAGUCGUCGUUGUUUUGAUGCUACUCGUCUUCCUCUAUCCAACAAGUUUGAGUUUGCUCAAUUCGGAGCUCAUUUGCAGAAGUUAUGGCAGUUUUGGUUUCCUAGCGGUAGUACCGCGGGCCGGAGCGGUAGUACCGCUUGGGUGCUACAAGCGGUAGUACCGCUCUAGAGCGGUAGUACCGCUGGUAGCCCCCAUCCGUAGUACCGCUGCGGUCUCAUACUAGUACCGCCUCGAUUCGAGGGGUCUUUUUCAUGUCGGGUUUUACGGUACUAGCCACGGUAGUGGGGGCCGUAGUACCGCUCGUUUGCGGUAGUACCGCCCUGCCACCGCGGUAGUACCGCUCUGGGCCCAGCGGCAGUACCGCGAGGGGGAGCGGUAGUACCGCUUAUAGGGGCAAGCGGUAGUACCGCUGGCCAAGCGGUAGUACCGCUCUCUACGGGGCUGAAGUGGGGGUAACGGUUGGAUUGUUCCCCCCACUAUAUAAGGAGGUCUUCUUCCCCAUUGAACCUUAUCUCUUUAGCUCGUGUUCUUCCCCCAUUGUUGACCUUCUUCGAGCUUGCUAACUCUCAAUCCUUCCAUGGAUUCUUGCUAGUUUUUGAGGGAAAAGAGAGAGGAGAUCUAGAUCCACAUUUUCACCAAUCACUUUCUCCUUUAUGUGAGGGGAACCCAUUGGAUCUAGAUCUUUGAGUUCUUGGUGUUCUCCUUCUUGUUCUUCCUCUCAUUUUCCUCCCUAGCAUUAGUUGCUUCGGUGGGAUUUGAGAGAGAAGGACUUGGGCACUCCGUGUGCCCUUGCCAUUGCAUUUGGUGCAUCGGUUUGAGUUCUCCACGGUGAUACGUGGAAGUUACAAGUUGAGAAGCUUAUUACUCUUGGGUGCUUGGUGCCCUUGAGCUUGUUCCUCUUGGGUACUUGGGCGCCCUAGACGGUUGGUGGUGUUCGGAGCUCAAUCAUUGUGGUGUAAAGCUCCGGGCAAGCGUCGGGGUCUCCAAUUAGGUUGUGGAGAUCGCCCCGAGCAAUUUGACGGGUUCCGGUGACCGCCCCCAAGGGUUGCCAAAGUGUACGGGUUCGGUGACCGCCCCCAAGGGUUGCCAUUUGUACGGGUUCGGUGACCGCCCUCAAGGGUCCCUUAGUGGAAUCACGGCAUCUUGCAUUGUGCGAGGGCGUGAGGAGAUUACGGUGGCCCUAGUGGCUUCUUGGAGAGCAUCGUGUCUCCACACCGCUCCAAACGGAGAUUAGCAUCCGCAAGGGUGUGAACUUCGGGAUACAUCGUCGUCUCCGCGUGUCUCGGUUAUCUCUUAUCCGAACCCUUUACUUAUGCACUUUACUUUGUGAUAGCCAUAUUGUUUCUUGUCAUAUAUCUUGCUAUCACUUAGUUGUUUAUCUUGCUUAGCAUAAGUUGUUGGUGCAUAUAGGUGAGCCUAGUUGUUGUAGGUUUUGUGCUUGUCAAAUUAACCGCUAGGUUUACUCCGCAUUUGUUCAAGCCAACUGUAAUUAUUUUAAAGCGCCUAUUCACCCCCCCCUAGGCGACAUCCACGAUCUUUCAGUUGUGUGAUGGGUGGUUGGUCAUAUCCGCGGAUUUUCGUAGGCAGGACCAGAAGGGGGCUCUUCUGGCAGCGAGUGCAUGAUUCGUUUCACACGUUAAAGCACAUUGUGCCCUACGACAUGCACGUCACCCAUGAACGCAAUGUAAAGUCGUAAGCGUAUCGAUGGUACACCAUUCAGACCACCGUCGCCAAGUUUUAUGGCACGGUUGAUAGGCUGGAGGCAAGGUGACCAUUGCGCGCGGCAGACGAGGAGAUCGUAAGUUUUGCUUCUUGUUCUUCAUUCACUCAAUGUUAUUCUACAUAUUGUGUAGCUUGUACGUGAUGUACCACGGGAUAUAGGGCAGACUGUUUACGCGCAUAUAGUGUUGGAUGAAUCUCAAGGGAUAGUACGUCUGGGACGACAUUUGUUCAUGAAAAACUUGUUGAUCAUCCCGUUAUUCUAGUUGAAUUUGAACUAUUCGUCGUUGAAUUUGAACUAUUUGUGUACUAGACUUAUUUGCAUGCUAUGUAUGGAUGAUUUGUGUUGUUUUUUAUCUGAACUUUGAUGAAUUCCGACGUGUUAUGAAUUACGUCCAGUUAGCUGAAAUGUGGUUUGAAAUGUAUGCGGAUAGUGUUGGAUGGCCGGCUCCACAUCUGUGUCCGCGGGCGGAUGCGAUGUCUGGUUUGCGGGUCGGUGUCCGAGAUGCCCUAAAUGAUGAUGACUUGAACUAAAUUUCUUUUAUUUCAGAUCUCUAACCAAGCACCAGCAAAUAAUCAUUUCAUUCCAUGUUGCUUUUUCCUAUUAUUAGUACCACCACAUAUAGGGAUGGAUGGAACCAUUCUAUCACGAACAAUCAUGACAUUCUACUCUACUCUACUUGAUUUCCAUACCACUUCAUCUCUCCAAUAAGACAGAUCCCAGUGGUGCAAACCGUCAAAAAAAAAACACGGAGUGCAAAUGGCCGAGCGCUGCACACCAUGCAUUGCCACGAAACACACACGCCAUAGGAAGCAAGCGAACGUCUGCAACGGAUCACGCCAGCGGCCGUCUCGGUCACUCUUGGCCGAGAUGCAGACGCCGGCGUUUCCUUCUAAACGGACACAGACUAGACUCGCGCACGCUUGCCGGAGAGCGACGGCCGGCCGGCGACCGACGACGUGGCCACGUCCUGGACCCAUCGACUGCAGCCUGCAGGGAUGACCUGGUGGGUCGUGGAUAGGCGCAGGAAUGUUGGAUAUGCUCUGCACUCGCCCAUGUCAGCAGGAGCGGAGCAAACUUUGUCACGUCGCGGCUUGGCGGGAGAUGGAGGGCGACCGGAGCAGCAGUAAACUUUGUUGCGAAGUACGUAUACGGAGAACGCAACACAUCUACAUGCGGCUACGCCUUUGAAGCAUACGUAUAUACGCGUAUCUCGAACGUGACAGGUGACGGUUUUUCCCAUAAGUGGACAAGAGGCAUAUCAUGGACCGUGGUGAAUUCCAAUCCGUUACUGCUUUCUAGUAGUACGAUUGACAGGUCGCGUGCACGAAAUCGCGAGAAACGGCGACCACCGGACGCAUGGGUCCAACGGGAACCAGCGCGUCGUGAUCGUCGUGUUGGGGGUAAAUGCCAACCACAUGCGACGUGCGUACAGUGACAUGGAAGCGUCGCUCGCACUCGCACGGGCCAUCCUGCCUGACAACCACUGAGAUCCUAAGCUCGCUCCCAGGACUUAAAUUUCUUUCCGAGGCCAUGGAAGCAGACAGCAAAAGAUCAUGAGCGCGAGGGCGAGAGAUCGAGACGCACAAACCACCACGCAUCAUCACUCACUGUUCACUCAUCAACGCCUACUCGGCCAGCAAUCUAUCUAGGCGAUGCAUGAUGCCAUGUUCAACAGACCAAAAAAUCUUGAGUAAAUAACAGCUUAAUUAGCGCCACAAUAUUACUAGUAACACGCGCUCUAAUCACAGGCAGGAAAAUGGAGUAUGUAGUUAAUAGUCUGCUAGUCAAUCGUCGGCGGCACAGUGGUACUGCACCUCGGGACGAUCUUCUUCUCCGGCGGCCUGCUACUUGGCGCCGCGGUUGAGCACCUCCUUGUAGUUGAGCAGCGAGUUGAGCCGCUGCAGCCGCAGCUGCUUCCGGAAGCUGUUGAUGAAGUCGUCCGCCCGCGCGUCCACGCCGCCCUCCACGGCCUCCUCCAUCGGCGGCGGCGGCGGAGGCGGCGGCAGCAUCCUCGCCUCCGAGCUCGACUUGCUCAUCUUCGCCUCCGCCCCCUGCUUCUCCCCCUGCUGCUUCUUGCUCUUCUUGCCCUGCUCCCGCGCCGGCUCCGACCGGCUCCUGCUGUACUGCGUCGACGUCUUCUUCUCGUCUGCCGCCGCGACGGCGGCCACGGCGUGGUCCGGCGAGGCGGAGAGUUCGGGCGCAAGGUUGCCGGAGUUGAAGCGGUAGAGGCUGAAGGAGCGCAGGCGCUCCAGGACGGACGGCGCGCGCGCCAGCGGCGCCGGCCUGUAUGGAGGGACGUACUCCUCGCAGUAGUACUGCUCCCCCUCCGGCUCCUGCUCCGGCGGCGGUGUCGUGAAGCUGUUGUAAUUGUCGGUGAACUCGGUGUCGUGCUCUACAAGGUCGUCGUCGUCCUCCUCCUCCUCCAGCACGGCCGGCUGGACCACCCGAGCCGCCGGCGCUGGGGCCACCUCGGCCCUCCUCGCCUCGGAGCUGGACCUCUUCAUCUUCGACGGCGGCGCCCGCCUCCUCUCCACACGCGCCGGGGGCUCCGACCGGCUCCUGGCGUGGUGGGCAUCUCCGGCCGUCGGCGCCGGCUCCGGAGAGACCGUCACGUCCCGCGAGUCGGUCACGGCGCCCGCGGCGUACUCGGGCGGGAAGUCGCCGGAGCGAAAGCGGUAGAGGCCGAUGGAGCGGAGGCGGUCCAGCACCGACGAGGUGCGCGCGAGCGGCGCCGGCGCCGGCGGCGGGGGCACGUACUGCUGCUGCUGCUGCUGGUCGCGGUAGUACAGGUCCUCCUGAUGCUGCUGCUGCGGCUCCACUUGUUGGAGCGGCUGCUCUUGGUGGUCGCCGUCAUGGCCGCCCUGGCGUCGGCGCUGGUGGGAGCGGGAGGUGAGCAGGAUGGUGCCGAUGACGAGGUUGACGGUGAGGAAGAGCGUGGCCGGCGUGAAGAGGCCCCGCACGGCCUCCCACGCGCCCAGCGCCGCGGCCGUCGCUCCGCCGUCCAUCUGCGCGGGCACCGGCAAGUACAGAGAGGAAGGGAGGGGACCGGCUUGGGGCUUGGCUGGGUGGGCCGAGGAGGUGGUGGGGAUUGGCGCUCGAUGAUGGGGUGGGGUGCGGGGGAGUCUCACAAGUGGCGGGGCGGCCGAGCGUUAAAUGGUGGUGGCGGGGGCUGGGCUGGGGAUGGGGGAGCUGACUUGGCGGGUGGAAAACGUGGGAAUCCAAGUCCUCGUGACGGGCGAGCCGACCCGCCGGGAUCGCGGGCGGACUGCCCGCCCGCUGCCCGCAUGGAUGGCAUCUCCCCUCCCAUCCCGGCCCACAAGGACUGACGCACGCGGUAUCUCACUCGCACUCCGCACGCGAUGGCCGGGGCCCAUCAUCUCAUGAGUGUCAUCAUCCUCGGUCGUCCCGGGCCUCGCGGGGUAAAAUUGACAAAUUCGACCUAUGGACGAAAUCAAAUCACAGAAUGAACUGCCCGUAAAACUAUUUCACCCGGCUGAUCUUUUUAUGGGACGCCCGACACGAAGGCGUCACACUACACUGUGCAACGCCUCACAGAUAGGCGCUACAUGCCUGGCCAGCGUCAGUGACCAGGCAAAAACGUCCCGCGUGCAUUAAAAGCCAAUUUACCGCGCGCGCGUUUUUUGGCGCGGCAGUUGGAGAUGCUCUAAGUUGAGAAAUUGAUUGGACGGGAGCAAUCGCACGCAACUAUUUCAGCGACUCAGACUACCCACAAUGAAAGUAACAUAGGUAGUAACAUCACACAUAUCUAGAUAAAGUAGAUGAUGUGGCAAGCAAUAAAUGAAGAAAGAGAGGAAAGUAGUAAUAUAGCUAGUUACUAGUAGUAUGAGUAACAUCACACAUAUCAAGGCAAGAUGUGUCUAUAGCCUAAUAAAUGAAGUGUUGCAUGUUACCACACAUAUGUUACUCCCCACUAUAGAGGUAGUAACAUAGACUAGUAACAUGGAAGACUAUGUUACUACCCAUUGUGGCUAGUCUCACACACACGGUUUAUCUACCUGGCACCAUAUUUUAACUCACGAUGACUUUCUUGAAAUGCAGGUGGCACAGUUGACCUCUCAGCCCAAGACCAGACAGCACAGCAGUAAUCAAUGGACGCGUCGUAACUCAGGCGCUAUACAGUUAACCAAGCUUCCUGCUUACUACAACGUCUGAAUAUCUAACUGACCACUGGCACCAUCGGUUAAGUUCCUCGGCAAACAAACGAGCACAUGCAUAUGCAUCGCCUGACGCGUAUUUGGUGAAGUAGGUGGCACACAUCGGCAGGUGGCAUCACGUGUGGCCUCCUUGAUGGACGGCUCCGCAUGGCAUCCCCUGCUCUAAGUCAAAGCCUCACCACUUGAUUAGCGUUUUUAACGACGCCACCAAGAAACCUACUGAGAAAGAGAUAAGCUCCCGCUCGUCGGCAGAUAAUAGAUUUUCUCAACCGUCACUUUCAAAGACAACAAAACGUAUCAAGUACGAUCUGAUGCACUGUUUGCUUCCGAGCAUGGAGCCCACACGGUGCGUAAUCAGCAACCGGCUCGACCUGACCUUUCUACCUAUCGAUCUAGUCAAGCAUACGCAUUUUUGGGCCUGUGUAUAAUCGAGUAAGUGUAGCCUAGCGAGUAUCAAAUCCAUUUUGCGAGUAGUUAAUUACACCAUCCCAAGAAGUUUUUUUUAGCAAGGGAAGGGUCCCGAAGUUCCCACCCAAAACACUCAUUAAUGUAGGAAAAUCAUUACAACACUACGGAAAGUGCCUGAAAAAGGACAAAUUACAAGCACAUCCUUCCAAUAUGCAAACAAGACCCUGAAAAGGAAUAUGAAAAAUUGAAAAUUUUGUCAAAAUUAGGUGUUUGAUGAUUUGCUGCUGCCCUGUGUUGUGUCAACGGAAGGUGGACCCCGAUUAUUCUGGACGAAGGGAAGGGAAAAGGUGCGAAUCGUCAAAUUGAUAGUAGGUAAAAUGGGGCCUCUCCGGAGGCGCAUUGGCCACCGUCUCCAGCCAUAUCCUUGCUCACAACGAGUAAAAGGUCAUAUGGGCCUCCCUUUGCAUGCUGAGGAUACGUAGGUUGAUUUGCAUGUGCGGCUCCGGCGAGGGAGGGGUGAUGACAGCGGCGCGCCUUCGGCUCGCUUCAGUGCUCGUAGUCGUCGCUAGGUGGUCUACGGAUCUGGAUGUAAUUUUUAUUAUUUCUACUGUUCGUUGUACUACCAUGAUUGAAGAUGAAUAUAUUGGAAGUUUUUCCAAAAAAAAAGUCAUAUGGGCCUCCCUUUGCAUGCUGAGUAUAACCGAGGGUACGUAGGUUGAUUUGCAGCCCGUGCCCAACCCUCGCAAUGACAAACCAAGAAGCUCACCGGAGACCAAUACCUCAUUGAUCUACAGCUCGGUGGCGGAGGGCGGUGCAUCGCUGGAUGAUUGACGUAGAACUCCCAUGACAGUCCUCUUCUUCCCAACCUUGCGAAAAAGAAUAUAUAAAAUACAAAGCUCUCAUGAGCCAACGGUAAUUAUUACAACUCGAGAUAAACAUGAUCCAACCAUUACUAGAAAUACACAUUUUACCCAGAGCCAUAUACCAUAGGAGAAAUGUGAAAAAACAUAAGGAAAUUCUUUACCUAGAGCCCACCCUAGGGAGAGAAAGUUAGGUAAAGUAUAGACGGAAAAUAUUCCUUUACCUACGAUGCACCUCACAAGCUCUCUAGGCUUGCAAAAGCCACCGUGUUUCUGGUAAACUACUUGCAAGAAGGACUGGUCACUUGCUUUGCCAUGUUUCAGCGUGUUUUUGAUAGGUGAGGCCGAAAAACACUGAUGUGGCGUAACGGCCGAGCGGCCGCCGCCAUUUGGAACAAAUCUAGUCAAACCGACACGGUCGGUUUGUGUCAGACAAAUCGACCGCGUCCACUCUCUCUUUCUCUCGCUCUCUCUCAUUUCUUGCGCGUGCUCUCACCGAUGGCGACGACGACGGAGGUUGUGUUGGUGAUGCUUUGCGUGGGGGUGAUGCAGAUCCACCAGAGUUCUGCAGAAGUUCGAAUCCGUCUCAGGCAACGCCUCCACAGCGGACACCGCCGCCGCAGGAUAAAUCAAUUGAAUACACAUCGGCGACUGCGUUUGCCCAGGUGGUGAGGGUAGAUCCAACGGACAACCAGCGUUGGGUAUCCUCUUUCGGCCGCGUGUAGCAAGUGAUCUUUCCCUACUCUUUUUUUCCUUGAUUUGGAUUCUAGGUUAGGGUUACCAACCCUAAUUAGAUUAGAUGGCAGUAACAAGACAAGCUAAACACAACAAAUCACCUAUGGAAUUCGUUACAACGACACAAUACAGUGCUAGAACAUGUUAAGUUUUAUUAUGUUUGGGGUACUUGUUCUUUCGGUGAACUUUUAUAAUAGAUCUAGGUAUUUCACAAAGAAAAUAUCAUUAGCGAUGACACACGGGGUCACAUUUGAUAGCAAGGUUGUUGCAGAUAACUAAUGGAUACUAGGAAGGAUCUCUUUGCUCAUGGGCCAUUGGUGGAGAAGCUGGAGAGAUUGGUGAGACAUUUUUUAGAUUCUUUAGUGAGGUCGGUUUCAUCAGUCGGCGAACAUUGCUGCUCAUAAUCUAGCACGAGAAGGCCACAUGAAUAAAUUGUGUAAAACUUGGAUGGGCAUAGCGCCUGAUUGUGUAAUCUCGGGUCUGACCAGGGAGCUACCAGACUUGAAUUAGUUAUAUAAUAAAGCAUCUAUUUCGCUUAAAAAUGACGGCUGUAUUAGGGUGGAUGGAAAGUGGGGAGGAGAAAGUGAAAGGCAAAAAAACUAUCUGGUGCUUUUAGUCUUUUUUCUAUCUUGUUAGUUUGGCUUGACAAGCAAGACAACAUAUUUUCUCUGUGUAAUUUUUUAAGACACUGUGUGUUUAAUGUGUACUGGGAUUUGUCUUCUAAAAGCCCAAAUCUGGGCCCAUGGGUCUUUUGUCGCAAAUAAUUACACGUCAUUAGUAGUGUACAAUUCUAGAAGAUGCUAGAGGGUUUCAUGUAGAAUAUGGGGUCCUUUUGAGAAAAAAAAACAUCAUGUUAAAUAGUGGGGUUUCUAAAAAAAUUGCUGGUUCAACAUGCCAUGUGUCAUCACCUCACAUGCAUUUGGCGCAUUUUAUUAAAUUGAGCACGUUGAGCUAUUUAGCGAACAAAAUAUAGCUUUUGCGAGGAAGUGAACCAAAGUGAGCGUCGGAAGCAAGUUGAUGUAUGAACUAUGCACUUUAGCUCCAAUGUAGCGACCGCUUUGAGUGAAGGAUGAACAUGCUUGUGGUGGACCGUAGACCGUUGGCUCAUUAAGGGGUACACAAAGGGGUUCCCUGGGCUAUUUUCGGAACCUUCUAGAGGGUUCCAAGUUGGGUUUCCCUUUUUGGAACCUUCAGUAACCUUCUAGAAGGUCAUUGGCAUUUUUCUAUUUCCUUACUGGAUUUUCAUUUUCAUUUCCGUUUCGUUUUUUAUUUUUUAUUUUUCCCUUUUAAACUAUUAUGUUUUUCUUCCACUUCCCAUUUUUAUGAUUUUUUCUCUACUUCAUAAAAAUUAAAAUUCCAAAAGAGUUCAAAAUCUUCAAAAAUUGUUUGGAAUUUAAAAAAAAAUUGCUUUUCCAUUUUUUGAAUUUAUUGAUCCAUGAACACUUUUUAAAUUCAUAACCAGUUUUCGAAUUUGUGAACAAUAAUUGUUCAGUAUGUAUUUGAAAAAAUGUUCUCUGUGUAACUGAAUUUUGUUCAUAUACAAAAAAAAAUCAUCGUAUAUAAAAAAUGUUCAUCAUAUAUCAAAUAUUUUUUCAGUGUAUAUUUAUAAAAAUGCUCAUCAUAUUUAAAAAAUGUUCAGUAUGUAAUUAAAGAUUGUUCUCCAUAUAUUAAAAAAAAUUCAUUGUAUGUAUAAAUAAAAUGUUCAACUUAUAUCAAAUAACUUUUCAGUGUGUAUUUUGAAAAUUGUUCAUCGUAUUUUCAAAAAUUGUUCACUUUUCCAAAUCUUGUUCGGAAUUUUUAAUUUGUGAACAUUUGUUCAAACUUACAAAAAUUGUUUGUAAUUUUGUUCACCAUAUUUUUAAUGUUCACUUUUAAAGAUCUUGUUCAGAAUUUUGGAUGUGAAAACAUUUUUGUCGAACUCACAAAUUUUUUUGGGACAAUUCCUUUUAUCCCCCUAACUUGAGCCACCACCUGGCAUUUGCCCCUAAUUUUCAGGUAUGCUAAAAAAUACCCCUCUUCCGUCAAGUCACCUUACAGAAAUGCCCUUCUGUGCCGUCACCGUCCGGUCAAAGGGGUUUGACCGUCUGGUGAAUAGUAAAUGGUGAACAGUAAAUUCGCAAAAAAUAGCAAAAAAAUCAAAAAAAUCUGAAUUUUUUUGGGAUCGAAGAUACUCAAGGGAGCAAGGCGCGUGCAAAUUUUGGCACAGUUUGGACAUUCCAGCAGCUCGUGUCAAACGAAAAACUUUAAAAUGUACUCUGUGAGCAGUAAAUUCAAAAAACUAGCAAGAAAAUUCAAAAAAAUAUGAAAUUUUUUGGCAUCAAAGAGGCUGGGGUGCGCAAGGUGCGUGCAAUUUUUUUUUGCGUUUCGACACUGUAGGAGCUCGUGGAGAAAAAACAAAAUUUGGCGCAGAAAAAAACUUUGAAAAAAUGCACUAUUUUGCUUUUUUUCUAGAGCACCUCGCAUGUCAUUUGAUCACAAAAAAUUGCAAGCGCCUUGCGCACCCAAGCCUCUUUGAUGCCAAAAAAAUUCAUAUUUUUUAAAAUUUUCUUGCUAUUUUUUUGAAUUUACUGUUCACAGCGUAUAGAUUUAAAUUUUUUCCUUUCCCACGAGUUCCUGGAAUGUCCAAACAACGUGAAAAUUUGCACACACCUUGCGCCCUUAAGUAUCUUCGAUCCCACAAAAUUUCAGAUUUUUUUAAUUUCUUUUGCUAUUUUUUUGAAUUUACUGUUCCCCAUGUUACUAUUCACCAGACGGUCAAACCCCUUUGACCGGACGGCAAGGGCAUUUCUGUAAGGUGAAUUGAUGGAAGAGGGGUAUUUUUGAGCAUACCUGAAAAUUAGGGGCAAAUGCCAGGUGGUGGCUCAAGUUAGGGGGAUAAAUGGAAUUGUCCCAAAAAAUUUAGAAUUUUCUUCACCGUAUUUUUGUUUGUUAGUCUGAAAAAUUAUCAUGAAAUAAAAAAAGUUCACAAUUUAUUUAUAAAUAAUGCUCGCAAAAUCGUAAUGUAUUCGCAAAUUCAAAAAAUGUUCACUUUUUUAAAUUCGUGAAUUGCUUUCCAAAUUCAUGAUCAUUUCUUGAAUUUUAGAAAAAAAAGGAAUCUCGAACAUUUUACAAUUCAUGAAUAUUUUUGAAUUCGUUAACUUGUUUCAAAUUGACAAACAUGUUUCAAUUUGGUUAACUUGUUUCCAGGAUUUGUCUCUGUAGCUCGGCAUCGACUAGCGGGACCAGUGGAUGGCGGUGGUUUUGGGGUCCAAGCUUCUGUGACAACGAUGAUGGUGGGGUGCGAUAUCGGCUGCAUGGCAAUGGUUGAGAUAGUCAACUCUUCUCUAGCGUGUCAACAAGUUUGCUCGGUUUGUUUGUUGCUGUGAAGUCGAAGCUGCCUCGGCGGGGUUCCCUGUGGCAUAAGAUGACUGGCUGCAGGUGGCCCAUUCGGUGAUCUUCUGUGGUGCCAGCCAUGCCUGGUUUUGUCCUUCGUAGUGCUCUAUUAGAGUUGGAGCUGCGUUGUCUCGUCGAGGUGGUUGAGUUCUGGCGUUGAUCAUCAUAUAGCUCCACACGUCCUCUACAACGCAGGAUUGAGCUGCGUUGUCUGGUCGAGGUGGUUGAGUUCUGACGCUGAUUUUCAUAUAGCUCCACACGUCUGAAGGAAAUAUGCCCUAGAGGCAAUAAUAAAGUUGUUAUUUAUAUUUCCUUAUUCAUGAUAAAGGUAUUGUUCAUGCUAGAAUUGUAUUGAUUGGAAACCUAUAUACAUGUGUGAAUACAUAUACAAACACUGUGUCCCUAGUAAGCCUCUACUAGACUAGCUAGUUGAUCAAAGAUGGUUAAGGUUUCCUAACCAUAGACAUGUGUUGUCAUUUGAUAAUGAGAUCACAUCAUUAGGAGAGUUAUGUGAUGGACAAGACCCAUCCGUUAGCUUAGCAUAUUGAUCGUUCAGUUUUAUUGCUAUUGCUUUCUUCAUGUCAAAUACAUAUUCCUUCGACUAUAAUGUUAUACAACUCCCGGAUACCGGAGGAAUACCUUGUGCGCUAUCAAACAUCACAACGCAACUGGGUGAUUAUAAAGAUGCUCUGUAGGUAUCUCUGAAGGUGUUUGUUGGGUUGGCAUAGAUCGAGAUUAGGAUUUGUCAAACCAAGUAUCAGAGAGGUAUCUCUGGGCCCUCUCGGUAAUGCACAUCAUAAGAAGCCUUGCAAGCAAAGUGACUAAUGAGUUAGUUGCAGGAUGAUGUAUUACGGAACGAGUAAAUAGACUUGCCGGUAACGAGAUUGAACUAGGUAUGUAGAUACCGACGAUCGAAUCUCGGGCAAGUAACAUACUGAUGGACAAAGGGAAUAACGUAUGUUGUCAUAACGGUUUGACCGAUAAAGGUCUUCGUAGAAUAUGUAGGAGCCAAUAUGAGCAUCCAGGUUCCGCUAUUGGUUAUUGACCGGAGAAGUGUCUCGGUCAUGUCUACAUAGUUCUCGAACCCGUAGGGUCCGCACGCUUAACGUUCGAUGACGAUAUAGUAUUAUAUGAGUUUUGUGAUUUUAUGACCGAAUGUUGUUCGGAGUCCCGGAUGAGAUCACGAACAUGGCGAGGAGUCUCGAAAUGGUCGAGAGGUAAAGAUUGAUAUAUAGAACGAUGGUAUUCGGACACCGGAAGUGUUCUGGAGGGUAUGAGGUACUUAUCGGGUCACAAGAAGGUGUUUCGGGCACCCCCGCCAAUCCUAUGGGCCAUAUGGGCCUUGUGAAGGAACACACCAGCCCACAAGGGGCUGGUGCGCCCUAUAAGGCUAUAGGAGGAGGAGAAGGAAAGGGGAAGGGAAAGGAAAGUGUGUAUUAGGAUUCCCACUUCCUUCCGUCACACCCCCCUCUUUCCUUUCCCUUCAUGCAUACAUGGAAAGUGGGGGCGCAGGGCAAGGCAGGGCUCCCAGGGGCGGCGGCCAACCCUAGGGCGGCCCUGGCUAUCUCUUCUCCCCCUCCCACCUAUAUAUGUGAGAAGGGGCGCCUAGAAUACACAACAACAAUCGUUAGCCGUGUGCGGCGCCCCCCUCCACAGUUUACACCCCCGGUCAUAGUUUUGCGGUGCUUAGGCGAAGCCUGCAAGAAUCACUUCACCAUCGCCGUAACCACGCCGUCGUGUUGACGGAACUCAUCUACUUCCUCGACACCUUGCUGGAUCAAGAAGGCGGGGGACGUCAUCGCGCUGAACGUGUGCAGAACUCGGAGGUGUCGUACGCUUGGUACUUGAUCUUUCGGAGCUAGAAGAAGCUCGACUACAUCAACCGCGUUGUCAAACGUUUUCGCUUUCGGUCUACGAGGGUAUGUGGACACACUCUCCCCCUCUUUUUGCUAUGCAUCUAUUAGAUAGAUCUUGCGUGAGCGUAGGAAUUUUUUUGAAAUUGCAUGCUACGUUUCCCAACAAUGUCCUCUACAACACGGUUUGAGUCGACGAUCCAGCGAAGUCAGAGUCGUUUGCUCAGGGUUUGGGGAUGGCGAUGACGCCUCUAGGGGAGGAGUGAUGACAAUGACGUCUGCGUGCUAUCUCGGCGAGACCCACUUUGGAGUGGUGUGCAUGGGUAUCUUGUGUGUGUCCUUCAGAUGGUUUUCGCCUGACUCUUCCUAAUUAACCGGGCAAUCUAAUUUUCGUCGGGUUUUCCCUAAUUAACCGAACAACACUUUUCUUCUUAACGAAUGCUAGAAAUAUAAAAUUUCAAAAAAAUGUAAAUAACAGAAAAAAUGGACCACACUGUGGAAUAUUAAGGUCAUGUCCAAGCCGAAUUUAUUUAUUUGGAGAUUGUGCACUGAAUCGAUUCCAGCAGUUGACGUACGGCACCACAUGCACAUGUCCACAAGUUUGGUUUGCUGCUUUUGUGUGGCAGAUGAUAUCUAGAAACAUGCGCUAAUUGAUUGUGUCAUGGCUAGAAGUGUUUGGUAGAGGAACUAGUGGAACAGAUGUGUGACAACUUAGGUUUGAAUGCAAAAAUUGGAUGUUCAUGAUGCACGAGAGUCUGUCCCAGGAAGAUUUCAUACGAAUGGUGGUGAAGAUGUGGGCCAUCUGAAGAUCCAGAAGGAAAGCUAUACAUGAAGAUAUAUUCGAUGGUCCCAUGUCAAUCCAUCUGUUCAUCAGAUCCUUCCUGAAGGACAUUUAUAUUUUGUCCAAACCGAGCCAGGUUUUUUAGCAGGAGCUACAUGACGAGGUCAUCACAUUGGAUACCACCCGCCACCAGGUCAUGUGAAAAUCAAUGCCGAUACAACGGUUGUGAAUGAGACUCAUGGUGCACUGGCAGUGGUUUUUCGUGACAUCAAUGGAGUUUUCUUGGGAGCUUCUUAUGUUACUUUCAGACAUAUACAAAUCCGGUCACACUUGAGGUGUUGGAAGUAAGUGAGGCAUUGGCAAUUACGGAGGACCUAUUCGUGCAGAGGUUCCAUGUGGCGUCCGACCGCAAGAAUAUGGUGGAAGACAUCAAGCAUGGUUCUUUGGCUGAUCAUGAAGCUAUUAUACAUGAAAUCCAGAGUUUAGGGGCUUGAAUUUCAAGGCUCACAAUCUCGCUAAGCAUGCACUUUUUCUCGGGUUGGGACGUGGUGUGUGGUUGGGCCAACUUGGGAUUUGAAUUUCAUUCUUGUAAACGUUCAAACCAUUUGAAUAAAGCUUGGGGAGAAUGUCCCAAAAAAAUAAAUAGAAAAAAAAACUACCAGCUGGGGGCCUACGUCUUUUUUACAGACUGUGGAGUUGUGCGUGGGCCUGUACCGGCGAGUAUAGCUGCUACCUCUUGAGCACUGCGUUGGUUUUCCCUUGAAGAGGAAAGGGUGAUGCAGCAAAGUAGCGUAAGUAUUUCCCUCAGUUUUUGAGAGCCAAGGUAUCAAUCCAGUAGGAGGCCACGCACGAGUCCCUCGCACCUACACAAACAAAUAAAUCCUCGCAACCAACGCAAUAAAGGGGUUGUCAAUCCCUUCACGGUCACUUACGAGAGUGAGAUCUGAUAGAUAUGAUAAGAUAAUAUUUUUGGUAUUUUUAUGAUAAAGAUGCAAAGUAAAGAAAGUAAAAUAAAAACGGCGACGGAAAUAGCUAAGUGCUGAAAGAUUAAUAUGAUGGAAAAUAGACCCGGGUGCCAUAGGUUUCACUAGUGGCUUCUCUCAAGAGCAUAAGUAUUACAGUGGGUGAACAAAUUACUGUUGAGCAAUUGACAGAAUUGAGCAUAGUUAUGAGAAUAUCUAGGCAUGAUCAUGUAUAUAGGCAUCACGUCCGAGACAAGUAGACCGACUCCUGCCUGCAUCUACUACUAUUACUCCACACAUUGACCGCUAUCCAGCAUGCAUCUAGAGUAUUAAGUUCAAAAGAACAGAGUAACGCUUUAAGCAAGAUGACAUGAUGUAGAGGGAUAAACUCAAGCAAUAUGAUAUAAACCCCAUCUUUUUAUCCUCAAUGGCAACAAUACAAUACGUGUCGUUUCCCUUUCUGUCACUGGGAUCGAGCAACGCAAGAUUGAACCCAAAACUAAGCACUUCUCCCAUUGCAAGAAAGAUCAAUCUAGUAGGCCAAACCAAACUGAUAAUUCGAAGAGACUUGCAAAGAUAACCAAUCAUACAUAAAAUAAUUCAGAGAAGAUUCAAAUAUUGUUCAUAGAUAAACUUGAUCAUAAACCCACAAUUCAUCGGUCUCAACAAACACACCGCAAAAGAAGAUUACAUCGAAUAGAUCUCCACGAGAGAGGGGGAGAACAUUGUAUUGAGAUCCAAAAAGAGAGAAGAAGCCAUCUAGCUAAUAACUAUGGACCCGAAGGUCUGAGGUAAACUACUCACACAUCAUCGGAGAGGCUAUGGUGUUGAUGUAGAAGCCCUCCGUGAUCGAUGCCCCCUCCGCCGGAGCUGCGGAACAGGCCCCAAGAUGGGAUCUCACGGGUACAGAAGGUUGUGGCGGUGGAAUUAGGUUUUUGGCUCCGUAUCUGGUAGUUUGGGGGUACGUAGGUAUAUAUAGGAGGAAGAAGUACGUCGGUGGAGCAACGUGGGGCCCACGAGGGUGGAGGGCGCGCCAGGGGGUAGGUGCGCCCCCUACCUCGUGCCUUCCUGGUUGAUGUCUUGACGUACGGUCCAAGUCCUCUGGAUAACGUUCGUUCCGAAAAUCACGUUCCCGAAGGUUUCAUUCCGUUUGGACUCCGGCUGAUAUUCUUUUUCUGCGAAACUCUGAAAUAGGCAAAAAACAGCAAUUCUGGGCUGGGCCUCCGGUUAAUAGGUUUAGACCAAAAAUAAUAUAAAAGUGUAUAAUAUAGCCCAUGAAUAUGCAAAAUAAAAUAAAAUAUAGCAUGGAACAAUAAAAAAUUAUAGAUACGUUGGAGACGUAUCAAUAGCUGGCCAAACGGGUCGUGCUAACUAGGCCAACCCGGUAGCACGCAGGCACGACACGACCCGUGCUAAACGAGCCAGGCCCAGCAUGCGGCACGCCAUGGGUCGUGCCUGGGCCUGGAGACUGGGCACGCGGGCCAGCACGACACGACUCGUUUAUUUUUUGAAUAUAUAUGUCUUAUAUAAAUACCUAUAAUACUCUAAUAUGUUCAAUGUUUUUGUAAUGCAUGCGUAUUUUAUUAGUGCUUGGAUCUGAGUAGUAGUAGUGUUAUAGUGUAGUCUUUGUAUAUUUUUUAUCCUUUUGUGAUUCUAGAGCAUGUUUUGUAUUCUUUUACUUCUUUGAGAUGAGAGUUUUUAAUGAUUUACAUGUGCUAAUAAAACUAUAGAUUUAUCCCACAUUAGUCUACCAAUUUUUGUAUUUUUCUUAAUUUGUUUGGCCUUUUUUUCGCUGUUUUCAGAGGUAUUACGAAGCAAAAAGAAAAAAAAUCGCGCCAGGCGGGUCAGCGUGCCACAACGGGCCGGCGUGGCUGGGCGUGCCGCGUGCCGGCCCACAUAGCCUACGUGCCGUGCCUGGGCUGCUAGCCUACCGGCCCGGCCUGGCCCGCCCGUUUGGCCAGGUAUGCCGGCGAGCGGAGGCGAGGCCCCAAAAAAACCAAAUAGACCGAAUCCCCCCUCUCUCUCUCUGCUUCCUCUGUACCCUUUCCUCUCUCGCACGGCACCGAAGCUCACCUGCGGCAAUCGGCACCGCUGGUCAGCAGUUGCAGCGCUCCCAUGGAGUCGCCGCCGCGGCGUCCGCCGGAGAGGAGGUACCCUCUGCGGGAAAACAGGUCUGCGUCGAGAGUCCCGCCUCGACUGCCCCCUACCCGGUCCUCCUCGUCUUCGUCUUCAGCAGCACCAAGUCCCCCUCCGACGAGCUUCGCUCGAGCCCUUGCGUUUGCGCCACCACCGUCCUCGCCACCGGCUUCGAACCGUCACCGCGCCUCCUCAUCGGCCGCAUUGGACGCGGCAACGGGCGAGGCUGUUGGCCCCAUCUCGUCCGAAGGUAUCCCGAUCCCGUCUUCGCCCUCUCCCCCCUCCCCCGCCUCCGCCUCCGUCCGCGCGCGCGCGCAUGUGGUUCGCUGGCUCCCCCCUCUCGAUGCGUGAUCCGAAGACGCGAGACCUGAUUUCGUCGCUAGGGUAGUGCAACGGCGCUUGCUGUUCAGACUGUUCCGUCUUUUUUUUUGCGGGGGCAGACUGUUCCGUUUUCCUUUGCUGUUCAGACUUGUUGCAGCAAUACUUCUAGGGUUCCUGUGUGAACUACCUGCGGAAUGCCAGAUAGGGGAUUCUGUAGAGAAUGUAGCUUCCUGUUUGAACAUUAUCUUUAUGUGGUGGUAACCAUAGAUUAUGUCAAUCAGCUGCCAGUUGAUUAGUGUUAAUAUUUCAGGUACCACCGUUUCUGUAUCAGAUAUCCCUCUGAUGGUAAAGACCAAACAUCACAAGAAAAAAGAGGUCAGCUAACUAUGUUCCUCAAAUUGAUGUGCCCUACAUUCGUGCAAUGUUCGGUUUCAUACUUUAGUACCAUGAAUAUCCAACUACCCAUACAGAAGUUACCUUGUCCGCGCAGACAAUUAUUUUGAUUUGUUGCUUUUUUGGGUCAGAGUUAUAAUGUUUGAUUAUUCUUGUGUCUUUUAAUUCUUAUGUGAAAAUACUAGCGAUGAUGAAAUUAACUGGUAUAUACUUGCCCCUGCAUAGGUUAAGGGGACUCAUGAGCCAAGAUUAAGAUAUUCGAGGUCAAUGUGGGUGAAACUCCCUACUUACAACAGCAUUUAAUUUUUUGUUGGUUGCAAUGAACUUCGCACACGUAUUAUCAUACCAUUCUGUUCUAACUUCAUAGUUGGUACAUUUAUCAUCAGCUUACGUUAUAUUUAUGUGCUGGCUACCAGUUGAGUUUGUGUUAAUAUCUCUUGUAUCACCGUUUUUUUCCAGAUAACAUCCAGGAGGGCAGAGAAAAGGGGGUCAGUCGAGUUGCUGGGAUCGGAUCAAAUCACGGUGAGUGAAACUGCUUUGCUUACAACAAUUCCACUGGUAAUAGAAAAACACACACCAUAUCAUAGAGAAGAGAGUCCGUUGUUCUCUUUGUGGAGAAAGCAUGGAAGGGAUUUUCUUGUUAGUAGGUUAUGUUUCCCUACGUAUACUGUGUACAUUAAAUUGUUCUUGGGAAGUACUUCGUGCAUAUAUUUUUGGAUUUUCGUGCUCUUCCUCCGUUGAUUGACACUUGCUUACUUUGAUCUUCUAUAAUUUGGUAGAUAGGAUACUCUUUGAACACCAUUGGCCUUCCUGUAAAGUGUUAUUAAGUUUGGAUUUUCUGUGUGGCAUGUGAAAGUUGUAAAAUACAUUGUUGAAUACCUUACAUGGUGAGAGUAGUGUGAUUUGGAUUUUUAUGAUUACACUGUCUCUUGCUCUAUGUGAGCACAUUAUUUGUGUAUACACUAUAAUUUGUGUUGGCUGCAAUGUACUCAGCUAUUGAUACACUCUUCUACCUUGCAGCAGCUGUUGAAGAGCAUGGACACUUUAUCAGAAUUAAUACAAAAGGAGCUCAGUGAUGCCUUGAAUACACAUGGAGUAUCCGAUGGUGAGAAAAGGAAGAUCUUCACUGAUCUUGUGAACAAAUGGAACAGCAUUCUUAAGGAGGCAGUCUCUACUGAGAGGGGUCGUUGCAAAAUUUUGAUCAACAAAAUCCAAGAGCUAAUUGACAAGUACAUGCCACUCUGCCUUGUUCUUGGAGAACCAGAAAAAGUAUCAGAUAUUCAGGUAUUUGGGGGUUAACCUCGAUUUUUUGUGUGAAUGCACAUAUGUCUGAUCUGAUUUUUUUUGUUUGUAGUUGACUGCUAGCCUAAAACAGAUCGAAAGCCUUCUAAUAUCUGCUGUGCCUGAAUUGGAGGAGCUGAAAAGGCAAAGAUUCAUGAAAGUAAGUGACAGUUUAGUUUUUCCACAUGUACAAUUAACUAGCAGUGUGAACCAUUCUUACUAUGGCAUGCAUUUGAGUUUGCCCUUUUCUGCCAAAUAACAGUAUUUAUCUUCUCAUGAAUUUGAUCCUAGCAAAAGCAAGCUUUCAAUUCUACUUUGUUCUUCCUUUGAAUCUUGUUUGGAUCUUUCUCCCAAAUAGCAGUAUCUAUCUUCUAAGCAGGAAAACUGCUCCACCACUCAUACAGCCGUAACCAAACAAACCAACCAGCACCACCCACUCACGCUCCUGCCCUGUCACUCUCUCCCUUCUGUCUCCCCAGAAGUCAGAAAAACUGCAGCGGCUCACACCCCCACAACGUCGCGUGUUUUGUCUGUGUUUUGAGUGCGUGGAGUUGGGUCUGGUAGAUUUCUCCGAUUGUUUUAGCAUCAUCCUUUUGGAGGUGGAAGGAGGGAAGGGUGAGGUGAACGUACCAACUCCCCUUUAUAAUAGUAAAGAAAAUGACAAUCACUGUUAGUGGAUUGACAUUGACUGAAAAGAAAAUCACUAGUCCUUGCUUAAACAUAGAUAGUUAAAGUGGGGGUUCUAAAAAUGUCAUACACUUGUAUGUUUGCACUUGACAAGUUAGUAAACUUUCAAACAUCGUGGUUCAUUUGCUUCUUUAGUUGGUAUAGUCUAUGUCUCCGCUCAUUGCUGGAAUUGUGAGAUGUAAACUUGUUUGGGGUAAGGCUAUAUUUAGUGAUGUAAUUGUAAUUUCAAGACAUGAAUGGGUGUAUACCCGGAAGAUAGUGGGAUGUUCUCGCUGGGCAGUAAAUUGGGGGUGUGGUUAAUUGGAAAUGUUGAAUCUGGCAAUUAAAUUUUCCAGCCAUACCCGUAAUAUUUGUAUCUCACUACUUGUUUUGCAUCUCCAUUGCUCUACCAAAGAUUUAACUUAUUGUACUUUGGGAAUUGUAUUUCAUUGGUGCGACCUAAGCUAAGAAAUGCUUAUUGCUGAAAUUGUGAGAAAUGAUACUUAUUGUACUUGUGGAAUUGUAGCUUCAAGACUUACAAGGAAGAUUGAUAGAUCUGUGGGACGAUUUGGGAGUUACCAUCCAAAAACAGAGGCCUUACUCUUUUAUGAUCUGCAACUGCGCUGCAAAAGUAGAUGAAGUGGUUGAAGAGAACGCCUUAUCUGCUGAAUUACUAGAAAAGGUUAGUAUCACCUCACAAAACCUAUUUUCUCUGGUCUACAAAAAAUUAUGUGAUGGCAAAUUAGGCCUUCUCAAGGUAUGAUAUCAGCAAUCCCUGCUUAUCAUGUGGCACAUAAUGACUUUUAACAUACUGUUGGCACUCUCGCUACGCUGAGUACUUGUCAUCUUUGCACACAAACCUCCUUUCAAAAUAUCGCUUCACCCACCUGUGUCUGAUGUUGUACAGCAGAGUCAUGUAUGGAUGAGUUUUAAGGUUCUACUUAUCUAGAAGAAUCAUCCAUGCAGUCUCUCGUCUGUUGUAAGCAUAUAUGGUUUAGUGGAAUUCUGCACGGAAUCUAACAUUUGAAUUUUCGUGUAGGUCGAGUGCGAGGUAGCGAGGCUGGAAUUGCUGUUGAAGAAAUCACUUACAGAGAAGGCUGGAGAUAUUUCUACAGAGGCUGAAAGUAUACGCAAUGAUGCAACAAAGCGUGAAGGUAAAUUGCUAGAAUAUGAAAAAACUGGGGGGAGGGUUGAGGUGUUUAGUAGUACUAUUAAUCAUGAUUAUAAACCCAAAGAUUCAUCUUUUUCAUGCAAUUCCAUAGAUUCACUGUUUGUGUUGCGCGAACAAAGCACUAUCUUACUUAUAACCAAGUCUCCAGCUCGAACACACACAUACACACAAAAAAUUAGCAUCACUGCCCACGGUGUUUUCUGUUUUCUGGGAGGUGUAGAUCCGACUGAAACUACACACCAUGAUCAGGCAAGCUUGCCUCUAGACACUGCUGAUGUUCAACUCAAUCCAUGGUAUGGUAAUAGGUUUCUAAGUAUAACCACCUUAGCAUGUGGUGGCGUGCAAGUCUGUAAAAACUUUAGAAAGUACACUAGUGUCAAAAACGCUCUUAUAUUAUGGGACGGGGGGAGUAACUCCCAUGUGCAUGCCUACAACCAGUUUGCAUAAAUGCUGAAUUAACACUGUUUUAUGCAGGGCUAGCUGAUGCACCUAAACUGAGAGAGGAAGUCUGCGCCUGGGAAGAAGAGCAGGGCAAAAGAUUUUUCCGUGAUGCUAAUCGCUUGAAAGGAAAACUGUGCACUGAAGCAGUGGGCCGCCCACAUUUGUCCGCAGGGACUUCCCAUGCGGCAGGUAUUCGAGUUACUCCUGUACCUAACGCUUCGGUUAUCAGAGUCAUCUUUUCUUAUGUAUUUUGGUCUGAAAGGUGCUGCUGCUGCCGCCGCUGAGGCGGACUCGUCGAGCUCACCUUCCGAUCACUCCAGCAAGGAUCCCGACUUUGAUCCAUCCGAUGACUCUGAGCAAGAAGNNNNNNNNNNNNNNNNNNNNNNNNNNNNNNNNNNNNNNNNNNNNNNNNNNNNNNNNNNNNNNNNNNNNNNNNNNNNNNNNNNNNNNNNNNNNNNNNNNNNNNNNNNNNNNNNNNNNNNNNNNNNNNNNNNNNNNNNNNNNNNNNNNNNNNNNNNNNNNNNNNNNNNNNNNNNNNNNNNNNNNNNNNNNNNNNNNNNNNNNNNNNNNNNNNNNNNNNNNNNNNNNNNNNNNNNNNNNNNNNNNNNNNNNNNNNNNNNNNNNNNNNNNNNNNNNNNNNNNNNNNNNNNNNNNNNNNNNNNNNNNNNNNNNNNNNNNNNNNNNNNNNNNNNNNNNNNNNNNNNNNNNNNNNNNNNNNNNNNNNNNNNNNNNNNNNNNNNNUCAUGAUUACGACAUGUUCCUCUGUUGUGUUGAUGUACGAACUACAUGUAGAUAUAACAACAAAGCGCGGCGGUGACAAACCUGUUGGUGAGAAAACUAGAGGCUGUACGGACCAAAGGAUGGCCUUAAACAACACACUCGUUACGUUUUCCUUUGUGUUUUUUUAGUGGAGUGUCUGGCCAUGUUUGGAUCACUGCCUGCGGCUGCCGAGCCACACAUGGGGCGUGCCUUCCAGCCACUCCAAACCAUUUCUCCCUACGUUCCAAAAUGAAUAAGGCGCGCAUGCAUUCUAAAUUUCAACUUUGACUCAAACUCUAAAUUAGACGAGCCAAAUAUAGAUUAUAUCUGAUAAAAAUUAUACCACUGAAUUUGUAUUGAAACUAAGUUUUUUGUAUAAUUUUGUAGUCACCAAAAAAUAUAUACUAUUGAUCAAAGUUGACUUUUAGGAUGCGUGCACACCUUAUUCAAUGGAAUGUGGAAGUAUAAGCUUAUCCCAGAGUGGCGGCCGAUUCGUUCGUGGCAUGCCGCAGUUUAGCGUGGCAACUUGAGGAUCCAGUCCAAACACGCCUUUGUGUUAUGGGACUUUUCAUUUGUAUCCUUAACUUGAAUCCACUACUUAGAGUUACUUCUAAUUUCGGAGCAUGUUCAAAUUUGUCCCAUUGCCGUCAAAAUCUGGACGUUUGCUGGACAUUUUGCCCCUAACACCACGUGUCACUUAUGGGUGGGGCCCACUCAUCAAAAAUAUAAGCAACUACUGUUUUUGGUCGUUGUCAUCGUCAUUUUUAUAGAAAACUCCUUGACUUUUAUGAAAAUAAACACGCAGUCCAGUAAAUCUAUAUCUAUAACAAUAUAAAAAGAUCCAAACCAUCUCGACCGUCAAAUCAUGUUAUCUAGCGGUUUAAAUCGCUUCAAUGUUGAGCACCAAACACGUUUAACGCUCUAAUUACCCAUCAUUGCCAUUGGCUAUAAACACGUUUUGACUCAAUGCUAUCCUAUGAAAUCUGCCAUGUAAUUAUUAUCCUGUCAUUUCCGUGAAAAAAAUGAUUGAUAUCUUACCAAAUACCAAUGUGCAACAAAUAUAUCUGCCUAAUAUAACGUGCAACUAAUAUCCUAUCUAAUAUAAAUAUAUCUACCUAAUAUACCAAUCUGCCAUGUAAUUUUUCGUCGCUUGAAAGAAAAAACACCCCCGAAUCGAGCGACCGCAUCUCCCACCCCAUCUCGAUGCGCCGCCUCGCCGCCGCCGGCCCGCAUCCUCCGCCACGCCAUCCUCCGCCGCGCCGUGCUGCCGUCCUCCCCGCACCCGGCCUGCCUCCUGUCCGCCGCGCCAUCCUCCCUGCGCCAUCCGGGUCCUCCGCGCGCGGUUCGCCGACGCCGAGGCCCAGGCCGCCGCGCUCCGGGCCUGCACCGGUCGGCUCGAGCACGCGCCGCCGACCGCGACGGGCUGCUCAACACGCUCCUCGCUGCCAUGGGCAACGGCCGAGAGGAGGAGGAGGACACGCAGGAGGCAGGGCAGCGUCAGAAUCGCGCGCGUUGGAUCCGGCCGAUGGUUACGGCGACACGGACGCGGAGGCUCUGGCCGCGGUCGCCGCGCUCUAUGCCCCGCCCCUGCUCGCCGAGCCCUGCCUCUCCGGAUCUCCAGCCAUGUAUGCUGCCGGGGACCCUGCAGGUCCAAGCUCGUCGGCGAGGGGGAGCGCAGACAGCAGCCUAGCCCGUCAGUAACAUGGCAGUAGGCCUCUUCUCCCCUUCCCAGUUUACAGCAGCGUGCCACACUUUCUCAGGCUCCUGUCCCCGUCGUCAGCACACCGAUUCAGAGGUAGAGGCUGACUUGCAGCUCGUGGACACAGAGGAGGAAGCCUAAGAUCAAUCUCAAAAGCUGUUAUCACUGUUCUCAGCCAGCGAUGCAUAGGGGAAUUGUUUGCUCAUCUAUGUGUUAAAAUCUGGACCUUUUCAUCAACGACUUCAACAAGGACGAGAUCAAGCUGCAUCUGCGCUGCUCUGUCCACCACAACAAUUUUGGAAUGCAUUAACUUUUAUCUGCCCAGGUUGAAUCCUUCAUUCCUCAUUCUCAUCCUUAUUUCUUGAUGUUGGGCAAGACACUCUAGAUGAGUUGCUAACUUCAAAAGGCUUCAGUUCUAACUAGAAGAAAUUUCCCUUAGGAAUAUUUUAUCAGUUCAACUGGUGUUACAAUAAAAGCAAGAAAGUGAUGCAAGUUCUUUGGGAUAUAUGCACCGGAAAAUAUAUGAACACUGUUGGCCCAAAAUCACAGGGCCCACUAAAUUGUUGUCCAUUUGGCCUCAUGAUUUUAAUGAUAAUUGUUCUACCAUGAAAUCUUUCUUCCGCUAGCAUUUCAACAGUACUGUGUGCUGUAGCCAUAUACAUCUGAAUCAUUGGAUAAUAAGAGUUUCCUCCUAUGCCAUGCAUCCGGUGUAGCGCUCCAGUGAGAAAUAAUCAAUGGUGUACUUAUCCCCUUUACAUGUUCUUUAUUGACAUUUUUUACAUUGAAUUCUAAGCUAAGUGCUUAGUCUUUUGUUACUUGCAGGCAGGAACAUGAGCAUGCAUUUCUGGGAGUUCGCAAGAAGGCGUUGACCCCCUUAUAUAUAUUGCUGCUCUCUGCCAGAAACCAAAUAAAUAACACUUCAUGAUGCUGCUCACUGAUCGAUACUAAAUAUAUGGCUUGUUCUCGAGGAUUGUUAUCACUUUUUGAUUCAUAUGGAAUUUGAGGAUAUGGAUGACACUGGUUUGUUUCUCUUUCACUAAUAAAAUUCUGUCCACCAUUAGCUUACGGGCAAUGCUCCAGAUCCACAUGAACAUGCCUGAGUAAAUGCUCUUUAUGGUUCCAUGUUCUUAUGUAAUAAGACUUGAUGUGUUUUAUCUUCCAAUAAUUCAGACACGGGCCUUCCAACUUGAUACAAGCUACUGACAAGAGUUAGAGGGUCAGGUUUGAUAUUAUUAUUUGUUGUAUGACUAUUUGUUCUCAUUAUGGCACACCUUAUUUAUCUUUUAUUAGUUAUUACAUAGUUUGUCUAUAUUACUCGAAACAUAAUUAUACUGCGUACAUUUAGUGGAUACUGUUGAGUAAAAACAAAAUUCGAACUUCAAAUUACAUACUGGAUUUAGAUUGUUUCCUUAGAAACGAAGAGUUCUUUUUUUGAUGAAAAUGCCAGAUUGGCUUUUCAUUCAUGAAGAAGGGGUGUAGUACAAAGUGUUUCUCAAAAAUACAGGGUAGUACAGCUGCAUACGAACUGUAUGCAGGAAACAUACAGUGGAACAGAACUGAAGCAUCUCUAAUCUGGCUCCCUUGGUUUUUGAAUCAGCUGGUUAAAACCCAAGAUAUCUUUUGCGGUUCCCAGUAGUUGUUUACUAGAGGUAUCCAUGAUCCUUUAGAAAUUAGAAGUGUUAGCAAAACAAAGUGGAACUGAACUGAAGCUAUUUCCAUUAGUAUUGUCUACGUCUCCUUGACCUUUCAUGGGAAUCUGAUGUAACCAUCCUGCAACCUGCAAUACUAUAGAUGAUAUGCAGAGAAGAUUUCAAUAUUACUUAUUACUGCCUUAGUACCAUGCCGUUCUUCUCUACAUAAAUCAUUUAUAAAGCUGUAGGAGGAGCUCAGCUUACAUAUCUGAAUAUCCAACCAAUUGCCUUACCACUAAUUAGUUGCCACACUGCAACUACUGACAGUGGAUACUGACAUCUUAUUCUCUUGGUAGAGUUCAAAACAACAUGAAUCAAGCUGAUGAAAUUCAGUUGUAUUUUUUUCUUUUCCGACCAUGUAGUUUUUUAAACUGCUCUGAAGGUCCUUUCAUAUGUAAUUAAGCUCACACGCAAACGUCCUUGUACGUACUAUAGAAUCAUAUGCUGACAAUAUUGAACUUUUCUGUUGUAGUAAGAAUAUCAAGCGUUGUUUUGUCAUUGGUGUUUCAGUUUGUCGGUUACAGGUAUAUCAUUCCAAUAUUCAUACUAUAGGAGUUGUUGUCAGGGAGUGCGAGAGGGGCAGCAGAGUGGCCAGUGAGGGGAGCACCAUCACGGGAGAUGUGUUCAUACAACGCAACGUCGAGGAGAUGUCGACGACCUCCGUGGAUGAGCGGUGGUUGUGAGAGUUUUCCGAGGAAGGCCCACUCGAUCAUGGAGUGGCUAUCGCUGCAGAAGGCGACGCUAGCAACAGAGGCAGCCAUCCAUUUGUGCCACCAUCAAUAACAACGUUGUAACAAGCAUGGCUCUGCACUGGUGAGUAGAACUCUUCCUCCAAAUCAAAUCCAACUAUUGGAUUAAGAUGUUCUAAAAUUUGUUGCCUCACUGCCUCAUCUGUGUCCAUAUCUCUGUUGGGAAUUUGCAGGUUGCUGAAGCAGUAGAGUGGCUUAUGUCAUGUAGGCAACUGGUGGCUACAAGGAUCCGUAUGUAAACAUGGUGUGUGAAAUUUGUGCUACACAGGAAUGGAAUUGCCAAUUUACAAAAUAUAAUAUGCAUGUUUGGUUGAUGAUUACUUGGGGUAGCCGAAUAAAACUUGGAACCAGUAUAACUUCAGUGUGGCUAUGAAAAUUUUAGAUGGAGUUAGUGGUUUGUUACCUAUUGGAGUAACAAAUUCCAGUUACCCAGUAGAAAGCAAGGUGAAUUGGAAAUCAAUUAUCAAAUCUCCUUUAUAGGCUUUUGCUAAAGAGAGAAACUGAGAGAUACUAAUAUCCUGGUUUCAUUGAAGCUUAUUUGUCGUCUUGAAUCCCGAUUUGGACAAGAACUCCCCCAUGAUCCUUGAAUCCCUGUAAAGCAGCAUUGUGCAUUGCUAUUGGAUGACGCCGUGGAUUGUGGGCGUAGAGUGGAGGUUGCAUCACAUGCUCAACGUUGUGUCAAAGGACUUGCAUAGCCCACAGGGAUGUGGUGGUGUUCAUAGUGGAUGGGCAUGUCAUAAGUUUUUCUCCCGUUGCAACGCACAGGCAUAUUUUCUACUAGUAUAUAAAAAAACCCUUUCUCUCACCCUCUCUCUCCCCUCUUCACUUCCGCUCCCCCAAAUGCUCCAUUCCUAGCUAUUGGUGCCGUCCCUGUGACUGUGAGGUUCGCCUCGUCCGCUGGGCAUGGACAUCCCGUGCUUCCCUGGACAUGCUUUAUUGUGUGGGUGCUCCAGAGGCUCCCGCGAGCAAGCUUCUGCGCAUGUGCGCACGCCUUCCCGCCUCUGCAGCUUGCUCGAGGCGCAUCGCCGCUGUUCCCGAGCUCACGCCGGAGUGUAAGCUCCGGUUGUGAGGCUGACUGUGGCCCAUACUGUUUGCAUAAUUAGGAUCAGCGCUAAUGAAACUAUAUGAGGUAAACGUAGCUAAGCAGUGGACCCCCACACUUAAUUAACACAAUGUAUUUACAUUCUAAAAUAAACAAGUCACUAAAAAGUUUUUUUUUGUUUUUUCUAGUUUGGCCCCACAUGUUAGUGUGUGAGAGAGAGGGCGUGGGAGUAAGAGUUUUUUUUUCAUUUUUUAGAGUGGGUCCCACCUGUAAGUGACAUGUGGAGUCAGGGAAAAAAUGUCCAACAAACAUCCAGAUAGCGGUCAAAGCCCUUUGACUAGACGGUAACGACACGAAAGGUUAUUUCUAUAAGUGCAUUUAACGGCAGAGGGACAAGUUUGAGCAUGCUUCGAAAUUAGGGUUAAAUCUGAGUAAUGGAGAGUUAGGGACACAAAUGUAAAAGUCCCUUGUGUUAUUAGAGUAUCUACAACCGGAUGGGGCAGAUCCGCCCCUCCCCCUCCCCCCACCCCCCCGACACCAAUGUCGCUCCUCAUUUGUAUUUCCAGACAAUCGCACUUCCCAUAUGCCAACCCUUAUAUCCAUGCAUGUCCAUCAUAUAACACAAAUUAAUCAUCAAUUGGACAAAACAAAAUAAGCCAUAAUUGUUUUGAGCAAACACAGCGGGGAAGGUCCCCACAGUAACUCGCUAAUAUUUUUGAAUAAUACAUUUUUUUAUUAAUUUUCAAAAUAUUACGUCUAUUUUUUAUUUUCAAAAAAUAAUACAUAGUCGGCCAUCUGUUGGCCGACUGGACCUUAUCGUCCUACAGGAAGCCGACAUGGCGGCUAUAGGGAGGCCGAUUGGGCUCCUACCUCCUGUCGGCCGCUGGUCUUAGCUUGCUAAUUGGCUUACCGCAGGCCGACUGGGACUAAUUGUCCUACUGUAGGCCGACUGGAGCUAAUUGGCUUCCCGUCUGCAUCGUCGAAGGGCAAGAGUUCUUCAUCGUCGAAGGGCAAGAGUUCCGUAUCGUCGAAGGGCAAGAGUUCUACAUCGACGAAGGAUGGCGAUGAUGAUUUCAUGUAGUUUUUAAGCUGUAUGUUGUAAGUUCAGUCCUACCUACCGUUUAAUUCAGAUGUAGUUGUAUCCAGUUGUUUGUACUAUCUUAUUGUAAGAAAUUAUGUUCUAUCUAAAUAUGAUGUUGUAGUUUGGAUAACAGAGUACUAAAAUAGAGUAGGCUUAUGUCUCAUACAUAAGUACAUAGUCAUUUGUCUCAUACAUAGAAUAGAUAUAAGUCUCAUACAUAAGUAGAUAGUCAUGUCUCUACUGAUAGAGAGAAGCGUCACUGACGACGUUUGCCAUGGCGCUGAGGCGGUGCUUGAGGCGUCGAUCAUCCAAACCUGUGGGGUGGCCUAAUGUUAUGAGGAGGAAUCUUAGACCUGUCCUGCUCAUACUGUGUAUCCUAUGUGGGUUCUGGUGGUUGAGUUGAAUACAUGUCCAUCCACUGUGUGUGCUGCGACAUGUAAUCCUGUAUGUUCUCCUCGGCCUACAGGAAGCCAAUUAGCUCCAGUUGGCCUACAGUAGGACAAUUAGUCCCAGUCGGCCUGCGGUAAGCCAAUUAGCUCUAGUCGGCCUACAGGUAGCCGACAGGAGCUAAAACCAGCGGCCGACAUGAGGUAGGAGCCCGAGCCCAAUCGGCCUCCCUAUAGUCACCAGGGCGCCUAUCGGCUUCCUGUAGGACGACAAGGUCCAGUCAGCCAACAAAAGGCCGACUAUGUAUUAUUUUUAAAAAAUAAAAAAUCGACGUAAUAUUUUUGAAAAUUAAUAAAAAUGUAUUAUUUAAAAAAAUCAGCCUGUAACUCUAUUUUCACUAAUAUGGUGAGAGAGUUACAAAAGGCUAUAAAAAGAUAUGAUCAAGGAAGACAAAUCUACAAGUAAUCUAGUCAUGUCAACAUCCCUUCUUUCAAGCUAGGUUUUGCCUUUUUGAUGAUCAUAUCAAAAUGUUCCUUAAAGCUUGAGACACAAAAAGCCAUGCUCUUUACUUUGUGAUCAAAGAUGUUGUUGUUUCUAUGUUUCCAUAGGCUCCAGCAACCUACAAUUAAGCAUUCCUUGAAACAAUUGACAUUAUUCUGCCUCUUUCCAUCCAUGAGCAUAUUUAUGAGUUCAUAAUCUGUGUUCCAUUGCAAACCAAUGGUUAGCAAAAAAUACUGACUGAAAUCACAACCGAAGAAUAAAUGGAGCAAGUGUUCGUUAGGCUCAUCAUCACAUAGCACACAUCUGCUUGUCUCGAUGUAGAAGUUUUUCCUCCUAAGUAGGUCUCGGGUGUUCAGUCUCUCCUGUAGUAAUAGCUAGAAGAAAAAAUUCUGCUUGGCCAAAGUGCAUGAUUUCCAUAUCCAUUGGAAUGGUUUUGGGGCAUCAGUAGGAUUUCCAAUAUAUUCUAAGUAUAUUCUUUGGUUGGAAUAUUUAGUUCCACCCCAAUAAAACUGCCAGGAAUCAUGAGAGUCCUGAUUGGCUCUGUUAUUAAUCAAUAUCCUUAGGUUAUUGCUUUGUUGGAAAACAACGGAAGAUAUUUGCAGGUGGAACAUCUCAUAUAAACUCCUAUAAUCUAGGUUACUCGCAUAGGCAAGAGUAAUGUGUGUAUUUUUUGCAUAUGAGAAUAACUGGGGCAUCAUGUUGACCAAGGGUUCUGAAGGAAAUAUUCCCUAAAGGCAAUAAUAAAGUUGUUAUUUAUAUUUCCUUAUAUCAUGAUAAAUGUUUAUUAUUCAUGCUAGAAUUGUAUUAACCGGAAACUUGAUACAUGUGUGAAUACAUAGAUAAAACACAGUGUCCCUAGUAUGCCUCUACUAGACUAGCUCGUUAAUCAAAGAUGGUUAAGUUUCCUGACCAUAGACAUGUGUUGUCAUUUGAUGAACGGGAUCACAUCAUUAGGAGAAUGAUGUGAUGGACAAGACCCAUCCGUUAGCUUAACAUAAUGAUCGUUAAGUUUUAUUGCUAUUGCUUUCUUCAUGACUUAUACAUAUUCCUUUGACUAUGAGAUUAUGUAACUCCCGAAUACCGGAGGAAAACCUUGUGUGCUAUCAAACGUCACAACGUAACCGGGUGAUUAUAAAGAUGCUCUACAGGUGUCUCCAAAGGUGUUUGCUGAGUUGGCAUAGAUCAAGAUUAGGAUUUGUCACUCCGUGUAUCGGAGAGGUAUCUCUGGGCCCUCUCGGUAAUACACAUCAUGAUAAGCCUUGCAAGCAAUGUGACUAAUGAGUUAGUUGCAGGAUGAUGUAUUACGGAACGAGUAAAGAGACUUGCCAGUAACGAGAUUGAACUAGGUAUGAAGAUACCGACGAUCGAAUCUCGGGCAAGUAACAUACCGAUGACAAAAGGAAUGACGUAUGUUGUCAUUGCGGUUUGACCGAUAAAGAUCUUCGUAGAAUAUGUAGGAACCAAUAUGCGCAUCCAGGUUCCGCUGUUGGUUAUUGACCGGAGAUAUGUCUCGUUCAUGUCUACAUAGUUCUCGAACUCGUAGGGUCCGCACACUUAACAUUCGAUGACGAUUUGUAUUAUGAGUUAUGUGUUUUGGUGACCGAAGAUUGUUCGGAGUCCCGGAUGAGAUCACGGACAUGACGAGGAGUCUCAAAAUGGUGGAGAGGUAAAGAUUGAUAUAUUGGACGAUAGUAUUCGGACACCGGAAGUGUUUCGAAAUGUAUCAGGUACAUAUCGGAGUAAGGGGGUGGGGGGUUACCGAAACCCCCCGGGGGAAAGAUAUGGGCCAUAGGAGGGAGGCAAGGCAGCCCACAAGGGGUGGCGCGUGCCCCCCAUGGGGAGUCCUAAUUGGACUAGGGGAGGGGGCGCGGCCCCCCUUUCCUUCUCCUCCUCCCUCUCCUUCAUCCUUUCCCCUUCCGGUAAAAGGAAGGGGGGGGAGGGGCGAAUUGGACUAGGAGGCCAAGUGGGACUCCUCCCACUUGGCGCACCCCUAGGCCGGACUCCUCCCNNNNNNNNNNNNNNNNNNNNNNNNNNNNNNNNNNNNNNNNNNNNNNNNNNNNNNNNNNNNNNNNNNNNNNNNNNNNNNNNNNNNNNNNNNNNNNNNNNNNNNNNNNNNNNNNNNNNNNNNNNNNNNNNNNNNNNNNNNNNNNNNNNNNNNNNNNNNNNNNNNNNNNNNNNNNNNNNNNNNNNNNNNNNNNNNNNNNNNNNNNNNNNNNNNNNNNNNNNNNNNNNNNNNNNNNNNNNNNNNNNNNNNNNNNNNNNNNNNNNNNNNNNNNNNNNNNNNNNNNNNNNNNNNNNNNNNNNNNNNNNNNNNNNNNNNNNNNNNNNNNNNNNNNGUCAUAGUGCUUAGGCGAAGCCCUGCGCGGGUCACUUCACCAUCACCGUCACCACGCCGUCGUGCUGACGAAACUCUCCCUCGACACUUUGCUGGAUCAAGAGUCCGAGGGACGUCAUCGAGCUGAACGUGUGUAGAACUCGGAGGUGCCGUACGUUCGGUACUUGGUCGGUUGAAUCGAGAAGACGUUCGACUGCAUCAACCGCGUUAAAUUAACGCUUCCGCUUUCGGUCUACGAGGGUACGUGGACACACUCUCCCCCUCUCGUUGCUAUGCAUCUCCUAGAUAGAUCUUGCGUGAGUGUAGGAAAAUUUUGAAAUUGCAUGCUACGUUCCCCAACAGUGGCAUCCGAGCCACGUCUAUGCGUAGAUGAUAUGCACGAGUAGAAAACAAAGAGUUGUGGGCGAUGAUAGUCAUACUGCUUACCACCAACGUAUUAUUUUAUUCGGCGGUAUUGUUGGAUGAAUCGGCCCGGACCAACCUUACAUGACCACGUUCAUGAGACCGGUUCCACCGGCAGACAUGCAACUUGUUUUGCAUAAAGGUGGCUGGCGGGUGUCUGUUCUCCAACUUUAGUUGAAUCGAAUUUGACUACAACCGGUCCUUGUUGAAGGUUAAAACAACAAACUUGAUGAAACAUCGUUGUGGUUUUGAUGCGUAGGUAAGAACGGUUCUUACUAGAUGUAACGCCCCGAGACCGACGCUCCAGAAGACUUCCAUGUAUUUCGUUGUCGCCGUGUGAUUUAUUUAUUUGUUGCAUUCAUCAUUGCAUCAUCCGCAUUGCAUCCGCAUGUUUUCUCAAAACUCUUAGUUCGUUCGUAGUUGCCGCGUCUCUCCGUUGUCCGUUCCGAGACCAACCGGGUUUUUCGAGUCCCUCUUGUCUGGCCGCUUAAUCUCUUUGCUUAGUGCUCAAACCCCUCGCUUGCUCGUCCGAAACUUCCCCGAACUCGAUCCGGGCGGUCAUGACCAGUGCGUCCGGAUCAUCCCCAAACAUUCCUACGAGCAGAGCAGAGUAGCUUCGCUUGUCCCGCACGAGCGCCUUGACCCUGCCUCGCUCGCGUUGACCGCGCCUCCAGCGCGCCAGGCCGCUGCCCAGCAGCGCCCCAAGCCCUCUGGUGAGAAGCCCAGAUCCAGUGCCCCGCCUUACACUAAUGGGCCAGCCAGUUUCAGCCCGUGGACGUUUUUUUCCAGUUCUGGACGAUUUGCUAAUUAUCCAGAGUUUUACUGUUUUACUGAAAAGUCCCUCUAGAUCAUGCAUAUAAUAACUCCACAACCAUGCAUCAUAUUAAAAUGUCUUAAAUAUGUAAAAUGCUCAGAAAUUUGUGUAGUUUAAUAAUAUGCCGCUUUCAUCCAUGUUUAAAAUGUUUAAAUGUGCUGUUUGAAUUAAUUUGCAUAAAUAGCAUGUUAAAAUGAAUUAUUUCAUAACUAAUUAACCGUAGCUCCAAAUUAAAUGUUCUUUAGAUGUAAAUGGGGUAGAAAAAUGCCUAGUUUAACAUGGUGCACCUAUCUUGCAUGUUUAACGACAAUAAAAUAUGCUUUAGGACAGAACAGCACCAAAUCUAAAAUAUGGACAUGAGGAUUUCCAGAGUUGUUGUUUGUUGUUCCGGCCUCAUUUAAACUUGCCUAAAUAGUUAGUUUACUUAUGCUUCACCUCUUGCCAUGUUUAACAACAUUUAAUAUUGUUGGGUACAUAACCGAGAGAGAACUAAAUGAGUCAUGUGGUGUUUCAUCAAUAUGCAAGUCGUUGCAUAUUGAGCUCCACUUAAUUUGUAGUGUUGUUUGUUGCACUUUGCCAUGCCAUGCUCAUUAAAUCGGACAUGCAUCAUACUUGAUUGUGCAUCAUGCCAUGAUUAUGCUUGGUUGUUUACCAUGUUGUUUGCUUCUUUCCGGUUUGCUUCUCUUGUUAGCUUCGGUUUCAUUCCGGAGUUGUGAGGAUUCGUUCGACUACGUCCGUUUGUCUUCUUCAUGGGCUCGUUCUUCUUCCUUGCGGGAUCUCAGGCAAGAUGACCAUACCCUCGAAAUCACUUCUAUCUUUGCUUGCUAGUUGUUCGCUCUAUUGCUAUGCCGCGCUACCUACCACUUGCUAUAUCAUGCCUCCCAUAUUGCCAUGUCAAGCCUCUAACCAUCCUUUCCUAGCAAAUCGUUGUUUGGCUAAGUUACCGCUUUUGCUCAGCCCUUCGUAUAGCGUUGCUAGUUGCAGGUGAAGCUGAAUUUUGUUCCAUGUUGGAACAUGGAUAUGUUGGGAUAUCACAAUAUCUCUUAUUUUAAUUAAUGCACCUAUAUACUUGGUAAAGGGUGGAAGGCUCGGCCUUAUGCCUGGUGUUUUGUUCCACUCUUGCCGCCCUAGUUUCUGUCAUACCGGUGUUAUGUUCCUUGAUUUUGUGUUCCUUACGCGGUUGGGUGUUAUGGGAACCCCUUGACAGUUCGCUUUGAAUAAAACUCCUCCAGCAAGGCCCAACCUUGGUUUUACAUUUGCCUACCUAAGCCUUUUUCCCUUGGGUUUUCGUGAGCCCGAGGGUCAUCUUUAUUACCCCCCCGGGCCAGUGCUCCUCUGAGUGUUGGUCCGAACUAGAGUCCUUUGCAGCGCCUCCUCGGGAAAACUUGAGGUCUGGUUUUAGUUGUACGGAGUGCUCAUCCGGUGUGCCUUGAGAACGAGAUACGUGCGACUCCUAUCGGGAUUUGUCGGCACAUCGGGCGGCUUUGCUGGUCUUGUUUUACCAUUGUUGAAAUGUCUUGUAACCGGGAUUCCGAGACUGAUCGGGUCUUCCCGGGAGAAGGAAUAUCCUUCGUUGACCAUGAGAGCUUGUGAUGGGCUAAGUUGGGACACCCCUGCAGGGUUUAAACUUUCGAGAGCCGUGCCCGCGGUUAUGUGGCAGAUGGGAAUUUGUUAAUGUCCGGUUGUAGAGAACUUGACAUUUGACUUAAUUAAAAUGCAUCAACCGCGUGUGUAGCCGUGAUGGUCUCUUUUUGGCGGAGUCCGGGAAGUGAACACGGUCUUGUGUUAUGUAUGAACGUAAGUAGCUUCAGGAUCACUUCUAGCUUCUUGACUGUCGGUGUCAAAACCGGCGGAUCUCGGGUAGGGGGUCCCGAACUGUGCGUCUAGGAUCGAUGGUAACAGGAGAUGGGGGACACGAUGUUUACCCAGGUUCGGGCCCUCUCUAUGGAGGUAAUACCCUACUUCCUGCUUGAUUGAUCUUGAUGAAUAUGAGUGUUACAAGAGUUGAUCUACCUCGAGAUCAUAUGUUGUGGUCUAAGCCCUAGAGGUAUGAUGAGUAAUGUCAUAAUGAUCUAGCAUAUAUCAUCUAUAUAUCGACUAGCCUGGCCUCGGCUUAUGUAAUGCACCAGAGGCCUAGGUUUACAGGAGUCCUAGCCGAAUACGCCGGUGGAGAGGAGUCCUUGUCUUGAUCACCAAGUCUUGUGGAAUCUUCCUUGUACAUGUCAUCGGCAGUCCGAACUGGCCCAUAAGUAUUCGGCCCUGGGGUCCUCGGCCCAAUCCAACUGAUCGGGAGACGACGUGGUGAGUACCCCUACUCCAGGACACCGUCAGUAGCCCCCUGAACCGGUCUUCAAGUUGGGGACGCUCCUCGAUUCUUCCGAACUGUUCUUCAUCUUCGGUCAUCGGUCUUGAAAACUGGUUCAACAAAUCCUCUCAUCUUCAGUCAUGAGGAUCGCCGAAGUGAAUCCGGAAAGUUUACACGUCGGGUAUCCGAGGAGCCCUUUUAAGUUCUCAGCCUUUAUCAAUGCCUUGUUAUAUUUUACGCCACACCUCGGGUUUGAAGUGUUUCCCGUGCGGCGGUGUCUUCUCACAUCCGAGCUCCAACGCCGGACUGUAUUCGAGGUAUCAUUAACAACCGAGCACACACGCCGGACUGCUUCCGAGCUCCAACGCCGGAUUGUAUCCAAGCCCCCACGCCAGACUAUGUCCAAGCUCCAACACCGGACCGUAUCCGAGCUCCAACGCCGGACUAUAUCCGAGGUGUCAUAGAACACCCCGGUUCAAAAAAGUUGAAGGAGUUUAGCCGAGCUUAAUGCCGGAAAUGCCCUCUAUGGAGCCAACCAUUCAAAUCCGAGCUUUAUGCCGGACUACCUCCAAGGUGGUGCACCACCUCGGGCUUGGGCUAAUUGUCUACGGAUUUUAUUUCCGAUGCGUGUAAAUUUAUUCGCUGUCAACAUGUAUAACUAGUAGCCCUCAAGGUGUGUGUCGGUCUAAAACCCGAGAUGCACCUGAAGGAAAACAUGAAACCGCUGAUCCUAGUAGCCCCUGAGACUCAGGUCGAUGCACGAAAUCGGCCUGAGGAUCAACUCCUAGCUCGGUAGCACAUGUAGGAAUAGAAACGCAGUGUAAUAUAUUAGAGAUAAUAGUGAUCGGCGAACGGGCCCUUGAGAGAGGGUCUUUGAAAAGUUGCCGUAAUAUAUUUAGCUUGACGCCGGAUAGGUCCAAAUGGUACCUAUUGUUAUCCGAAGAUACGUUUGCCCAUAGUUCGGUCAAGCCGAACACUUGGCAGUUGGAAUUUUCUGCAUUGAAAUAGGCAAUGCAGUAGCCCCCGAGACACUGGUCGGGUGGCAACACCGGAGCAGGGGAUCGAUGUGUCCCUUUUAAUAUUUAUAAAUAAUGAGCACGAAGCCCAGCAGCCCCCGAGCCUUAUUAUGGGCACAGGUGGCCGAAUUAAGGAUCGAUAUCCAUUUGAAUUUUUUUUUGCUUGUGUGUAACACAAACUUCUCGGAAAGAGAAUGAAUAUCUCAUAAAGGAGUUAGAGCUAACAAAAGCUGAGCUCGCCAAGGUAGGUCUCAAGGGGCUCAAAAGAAAGGAAACUAAUGCCAAUAAGGAACUAUGGGAGCGUUAUGUCAGCUGCUCGGGCGUCUCAAAGAGACUGUGCUAUUGACUCUUUAAAAGAUUGGCGGAGAAAAAAUUGAUUUUUGCUCACCAUUUAUGUGUAAUGAUUCUAUGUACCCAAGUACUUUACAUCAUUAAUGCACGGAUCCACAUUGUACAAAACUUUGUUGACCGACCAUCGGCUUCAACCUCUUCGGCCAGUAGCCGAGGAGUGUUUUCCUACUUUAUAUAGCCGUGAUAAGGGCGAAGAUUUAUGGAAAACAAGGCAAUCUGGCCAUACGGUUUUAUAAACGAAGGUACGCAGAGAGAUAUGUUAUAUUACUUUUUAACGUAAGAAACAUCUUCCAAAGAAAAUAGUCCCGCUAUCGGUUCCUUUCUUUGGGUUGUUAUGCCGACCAUGAUCAUGAAACCUCACCUCCGAUCAAUGCGGGAGGAAACUAUUGAGGAUUUACUUAGGGGAAAGUUCCCGAACUCUAUGGUAUUAAUAAACCAAAAUUUUCACUUCCGUCAUUGUCGACCAAUGUGAUCCUUUAAGAUUGCUAGCUUUCGGCUUCACCCAAUCUGAGGUACUUACUCGGAUGACCCGGUAGUAACAAUCGCAGAGGUGCUCCCUUUACCACCUAGCCGAACAAUCGGGAACGUAGGGGUAAGCACAGGAGCCAGGCAACCCAGCUUGGCCAAAAUCUUAAGUCAAAUUGAUGCAUAUUUAUGGCUUUAUAACGAUAAUUACAGAAGGCAGCGCUUGUAUAGUGAAUACAAAUACUGGUGAUAUAUGUUUAUUUUAUGUAUAAUGAUUGUAUGUACUAAAGUACUUAUAUCAUAUCUGUGUUCGCCCGAACUUUAAACGCGUCUUAACCGACCGUCGGCUUCUCCCUCUUCGGUCAAGGGCCGAAGAGUGUUAUGUACUCCACCUGUCGAGUAUAUCGGCAGUGUUUCCGAUAACCAGGCAACCAGGCCAUAAGGCUGUAACAGACAAAGCGCGCUUAGGGAACUUAUGCUAUAUUACAGACGAAGUGUAAGAAGCAUCUUCGAAGAAAAUAGUACCCCCACCGAUACCUUUCUUCGGUGCUCAUUAUUACUAUGAGACUUGUGCAAUAGAUUUUUUGUACUCAUGAGUUCCGUUGUGUGCCGACCAUGAUUGAAAACAAUAAGAGCGCUAGCUUUCGGCUUCACCCAGUCUGAGGUCAGAGCUCGGAUGACCCGGUCAUGACAAUCGCAGAGGUGCUCCCUUUACUCCCUAGGCGAACAAUCGGGAGCGUAGGGGUAAGCACAGGAGCCAGGCAACCCAGCUUGCGGAACACUUAAGUCAAUAUGGUGCAUAUUGUGGCGUAAUACACAAACAAGGAACGAAGCCGUACAAGUAUAAUCAUAUGCAAGAGGAAAAGCUUCAUGAAGGAAGCCCCCAAGUAAACAGGAUAUUUGAAUUUGUGCGUCACAAAAAAAGUUUUGACAAGGAAGUAUGACGCUUGGUCGAACCGAGAAAAAUUUAAAACCGAAAGUUUUUGAGCUUGAAAGCGACUUAGCUUGUUAAUGUGUUUGGUAUUGAUGACGCGGUCCAAGCUUGAUGCGGGACAAAGUUCCAUCCCCAAGCCGGUCCCAAGGUGGCGGAGCGAAGAACUCGGCACUCCGAAGUGGUGGCAUAGCACGGCCAAAGCGGGCCGGCAGAGUGACGCUGAAGCCCCUGGUGCGGGUUAAUGAAGUGUUGAUGAAACCUCCCGUCCAGCCGAGGAGACAGCACUGCCCAACUCGAUUCAUUUACCUGUGCACAAAAAAUAGUGCAAACCGGAGAUAAUGGUAAUAAUGAUGAAUAAAAUUGUUGCAUAAUAAAUAAUUUAUGCAAAGUCAGUAAUAAAAGAAGUAUGGCCUGUGCGCCGAACACUCGGUGAGGUAGAGCUCUCUCGGUGAUGCCGAAGUCCCCGAGGCAACCGAACACGUCGGUAUGGCAACACGACAAACAAGGUGAUCACGCAAGCCGAUUUAUGCCAAUUUGAGACAGCGGCGUUGGCUUGCCGAAGCGACCGCGUAACGCAGUCGAAGUCGAUCACCUACACGCAUAAAAUAGUGCAGUCCAAAAAGAAUAAUAUAUAUGAAAUCCUUGCGUAAUUGCUUUUCGCAAAAAUAAUUUAUUUAAAGAGACGCGACCUGGCGCCGAAGUCAAUGUUGAUGCAGAGCAUCGGCGUGACGCGAUGAAGGCGUGGCAAAAGCCCGAAUUCACAGGCCGGUCCGAGUUCCGAAUUCGGUGUUUGCCGGACUAUAUACGGAAACUGAUCGUACCACCCCGUGACCGUCGAUAAUGCGGCCGCCAUUUGACAGGCCUGCGUAGAGAUGAUGGAACAAACCAGAGUAAUAAUUCUUUGGGGAGAAUAAACCCAAACAAGCAAAAAUUACUGGGAUAAAUAGCACCUGGUUUAUUUAUUGUAGCAAUCCGAAGAAAGGUGACUCCCAAAAUUGGGACUCAAUCCGCACACCCAUUGCCUGAUGGGUGAUAAAGCGCCGGCAUGGCGAUGCUGGCAAAGGUUGGCUUGCCGAGACAAAGCCCUCGGUCCAGCUAAUCAUGACGAAGCUGGUCGGCUGGUGACGCCAAAGUCACCGGAGUAGGUUGAUGAAGAGAUGAUGAAGCCCCCGGUCUAGCCGAGGUGUUGGAGCAGCUCGACGAAGAGAUGCCGGAGUCUACAUGUCAGCCGAUGUGUCGAAACAGGUCGGCGUGUUUGAUGAUGAUUUGAAGAAGAGGGAGCAUGGUGAUGCCGACGCAGGUCAAGACUUGUGACGCGAUCGCCGCUAGCUUGAUGAAGCUACUGCGUGGCGAUGCCGGUGUGCCCGCUUCGUGUAAUCUGUGGGGCAGCGAUGUUGAUGAUGAUUUAUCCUUUGCGAUGCCGCACUCUUGUUCGGCUUGCCGAGAUGAUGAUCGAAGGAGUAGAGCUCGGCUCAAUAAAGCGGCGACGUGUCUAGCGCAGGUCGGCAGCCGUGUAGCAAUACUGCCGGACUGUUUUGACACCAGCGUGAUGGUGAAGAUUACCUUGGAGGAGGCUUAAAAUUUGGUGGGUACGUGUUUAAAAACAACGCGCAAUACCCUAGAAAAAAAUUCCUUCAAAAGGGGUGUCCGAUAUCCCGUUCAUGAAGAAACAUGAACUUGGGCCGGAUUCGUAUUCACGCAGAAAAAGGAUCCAAAAAUCGUUGUGCUCAUCGGAGGUUUCCCGGAGUUUGAACGGUCGGAUCGAGCUGAAAUUUUGAGGGGUGGUAGAUAUAGGAAUUCCGCAGCCGAUCAAUGGUUGGAUCUUCCAAAGGACGUCCAAGAUAGAUGCUGGACGCCACGCUCCAAACUCGUGCAGAUUCUCGUCCAGAUUCGAAACGGCUCCGGUAUAUCAUAGAUUGCCAGAGAUUCCUCCAUCGGAACUCGAUGAAAUUUUGCAUGGUUGUUGUAGACUCAAUUCCGCACAAUCCCACCGAAGCAAUCAUCAAAGCGAUACUCAAGGAGGCGGUGGCGGCAGAUACGAGUUCGCUGUCCAGAAAAACAACACGGUCGCUCGAGGGCUAUGUUGACGUUGAGCCCCCGAGCUCCAUGGAUGAUUCCUCCAUGAUCUUGAUAGAGAUCAGAGUUGAUGUUUGAUGAAGGCCCUCAUCCGAACAUGGUGAUCCGAACAUGGGGCGCAGUUCUUGGUCGAACCAAGGUGACCAGUCGAGCUGGUGACGAAGAUGGCGAAGUCGCAGUUGAUCUGCAGGCGAGCCAUCGAUCUUUCGCCGAACACACAGCGGAACUCUCAAUGAAAGCACCAAUGUCGGUGUCAAAACCGGUGGAUCUCGGGUAGGGGGUCCUGAACUGUGCGUCUAGGAUCGAUGGUAACGGGAGACGGGGGACACGAUGUUUACCCAGGUUCGGGCCCUCUCUAUGGAGGUAAUACCCUACUUCCUGCUUGAUUGAUCUUGAUGAAUAUGAGUGUUACAAGAGUUGAUCUACCUCGAGAUCAUAUGUUGUGGUCUAAUCCCUAGAGGUAUGAUGAGUAAUGUCAUAAUGAUCUAGCAUAUAUCAUCUAUAUAUCGACUAGUCUGGCCUCGGCUUAUAUAAUGCACCAGAGGCCUAGGGUUACAGGAGUCUUAGCCGAAUACGCCAGUGGAGAGGAGUCCUUGUCUUGAUCACCAAGUCUUGUGGAAUCUUCCUUGUACAUGUCAUCGGCAGUCCGAACUGGCCCAUAAGUAUUCGACCCUGGGGUCCUCGGCCCAAUCCAACUGAUCGGGAGACGACGUGGUGAGUACCCCCUAGUCCCGGACACCGUCAUCGACCGUUGCGUUGCUUCUCUUCUCGCUCUUAUUUGCGUAUGUUAGCCACCAUAUUUGCUUAGUGCUUGCUGCAGCUCCACCUCAUCACCCCUUUCCUGCCCAUAAGCUUAAAAAGUCUUGAUCUCGCGGGCGUGAGAUUGCUGAGUCCUCGUGACUCACAGAUUCUACCAAAACAGUUGCAGGUGCCGAUGAU